RNAcentral lists this long non-coding RNA (95484 nucleotides) under Solanum tuberosum (potato). Its description in RNAcentral is "long non-coding RNA (STUB_LNC009734)". The record is from RNAcentral. Lineage: Eukaryota; Viridiplantae; Streptophyta; Magnoliopsida; Solanales; Solanaceae.
UCAAGGAUUGGUUAUUAUAGUAUGGAGCAUUUUUGUGUUGUUAUUCUCUGAUUUAAAUAUGCACUGAAAUAUGUCUUGCUGUAAUUUAGUUAGAAAUCAGCUUGCAACAGGUUAAAUGAGUUUCUUAGAUUAGGAGAAUUGACUGCAAACUCGAUUAGUUGAAGUUGUGAUUGACAUUUAUAGCUCAUUUCAGUUUUUUUUUUUGUGUGUGUGUUAGAAUUAUCCUUGGUUUUCUGUCCAAAAUUGUUGUUUCUUGUUAUCCAAAAAAAAAAUACUUUUCGUGUUCAUGUAUUGACUAAAAUUGACUAUACAUGGUUAAGUAUUUUACUAUGCGACUAAAAUGAAAAUACUGCUCUGUUUGAUCCUAGUCCUAUCAAAUAAUUUGAACUGAUGUUGAAUGUGUGAAAAUGUUCAUGGAGUCUAAAGUUUUUGUGUUAACUUUUUUUUUAAAAGAAUGGGUUGUUAAGCCGAAACUAGUUUUCUAUAUCUAACUAUUAAUUUAGAUAGGAGUGAUUAGCUGAAUAUUUUCUUGAGAAUAUCUUAGUACUCUAUUGAUCCUAAUCUCAUUUUCAGAGUUCUCAAAGUACUGUUUCAAAUUUAGCUAAAAAAUGUAUAGAUUCUCAAGAGAAGAUUUUUUUUAAAUUGGUAAUAUAAGGUAGGAAGUACCUCCUAAAGUCAAAUGUUAACACUCAUAAGAAAAUUGAUAUUUACAUGAUUUUGUUGACAAAUUAGCUCGUCUUUAGGUUCGUAAAUUGUUGGACUUAUAAGAAUUGAUGUCACUGUAUUUAUUUACUUUUGUUCAUGUCUGUUUGUGUGUUUGCAUCACUGUACUAUUAAUUAAGUUGCUAAUCUUUACCCUUUUUUUUCAUAUGUUUCAUGUACAACCGGAGAGCUAGAGUUUCUACUUUGAAACUCGGUUUGGCCUAAAAUAUUAGGCCAACAACAAUUAGGAUCAUCAGAAUGCUUGGAGUCUCAUAAUUAGGAGUCUAAUGUUCCUCAGCCUUUCUUUUGUUGCCUUAUGUUUUUUUUAUGUUGGCUAACUUUUACUCUUAAGUUUCAUCGUCCUACUUAUAUUGUUUUUGAUAUGUUAGCUAACAUUUACUCUUAAGUUUUGAUACAUUGCUUGUCUUCUUUUAUUUUUAAAGAUUAUUCAUGUGAGCCAAUAUUUGUUUGCUUGUGAGUUUAGUUGAAACAUUUUUUAGGAAAUGGGUUAGCAUUUUUACCUAUAGUACUCUUUUUAUGUUUUUUUUUGAGUUGAGGAAAGGGGCUUAUAGUUUAAGAAUUUUCCAAACAAAGUUUCAAAGGUUAAAAUAUAUUACUAAAAUAUUUUAAUCUUGUAACACGCUAUUUCAAAAUUUUAUUUUUUAUGCUCUUUACAUCACCUCUUUAUAAAAUAUAUUGACUAUUCUUACUUUUUUGAAUCAAACAUUGCAAAAANNNNNNNNNNNNNNNNNNNNNNNNNNNNNNNNNNNNNNNNNNNNNNNNNNNNNNNNNNNNNNNNNNNNNNNNNNNNNNNNNNNNNNNNNNNNNNNNNNNNNNNNNNNNNNNNNNNNNNNNNNNNNNNNNNNNNNNNNNNNNNNNNNNNNNNNNNNNNNNNNNNNNNNNNNNNNNNNNNNNNNNNNNNNNNNNNNNNNNNNNNNNNNNNNNNNNNNNNNNNNNNNNNNNNNNNNNNNNNNNNNNNNNNNNNNNNNNNNNNNNNNNNNNNNNNNNNNNNNNNNNNNNNNNNNNNNNNNNNNNNNNNNNNNNNNNNNNNNNNNNNNNNNNNNNNNNNNNNNNNNNNNNNNNNNNNNNNNNNNNNNNNNNNNNNNNNNNNNNNNNNNNNNNNNNNNNNNNNNNNNNNNNNNNNNNNNNNNNNNNNNNNNNNNNNNNNNNNNNNNNNNNNNNNNNNNNNNNNNNNNNNNNNNNNNNNNNNNNNNNNNNNNNNNNNNNNNNNNNNNNNNNNNNNNNNNNNNNNNNNNNNNNNNNNNNNNNNNNNNNNNNNNNNNNNNNNNNNNNNNNNNNNNNNNNNNNNNNNNNNNNNNNNNNNNNNNNNNNNNNNNNNNNNNNNNNNNNNNNNNNNNNNNNNNNNNNNNNNNNNNNNNNNNNNNNNNNNNNNNNNNNNNNNNNNNNNNNNNNNNNNNNNNNNNNNNNNNNNNNNNNNNNNNNNNNNNNNNNNNNNNNNNNNNNNNNNNNNNNNNNNNNNNNNNNNNNNNNNNNNNNNNNNNNNNNNNNNNNNNNNNNNNNNNNNNNNNNNNNNNNNNNNNNNNNNNNNNNNNNNNNNNNNNNNNNNNNNNNNNNNNNNNNNNNNNNNNNNNNNNNNNNNNNNNNNNNNNNNNNNNNNNNNNNNNNNNNNNNNNNNNNNNNNNNNNNNNNNNNNNNNNNNNNNNNNNNNNNNNNNNNNNNNNNNNNNNNNNNNNNNNNNNNNNNNNNNNNNNNNNNNNNNNNNNNNNNNNNNNNNNNNNNNNNNNNNNNNNNNNNNNNNNNNNNNNNNNNNNNNNNNNNNNNNNNNNNNNNNNNNNNNNNNNNNNNNNNNNNNNNNNNNNNNNNNNNNNNNNNNNNNNNNNNNNNNNNNNNNNNNNNNNNNNNNNNNNNNNNNNNNNNNNNNNNNNNNNNNNNNNNNNNNNNNNGGACUAUCUUUGGAUAGGCUUUGAGGGGUGCUUAACACCUUCCCCUCGAGUAACCAAAACCCUUACUCAGAAUCUCACUGGUUUCGCAAAUCAAAACAGAGUUUACAUUUACAUAAAUAAAAAUGGUUUUCCUAAUAUUUUCCUUAAAAUUUAGGUGGCGACUCUAAAACAAAACAAUUAUUUUUCCAAAAUCAGAGUGUCAGCCACAUUGUGUUGUGAACUGUUUCGGCCUGGUUCGAAAUAGGGUGCGACAACAUCAGAGGGGGUUUUGACCUGCAAAUUACGGGGUUUCAACCCCAUUUCACCAUUUUUAGAUUUGGGAGCGUUGGGGUGGCGAUUUGGACCAGAUUUUUUAGCAAAAUCUUUUGGGUAAUGAUUCUUAACUCUAAAUCUUCAUUCACCCAUUAUUAUUUAUUGAUUUAUGUAAUCAAAUCAAGCUUUUAAAUUUUUGACUCUAUAAAAAAUUUCCAUAUGAUUUAUUCUUGGUAAAUAUUUGAGGCCCCCCAAAAUUGGGGCCCUAAGGCAUAUGCCUUAUUUUUUUACAAAAUAGAGCCACCCCUGCACCCAUGGUAAGUAAAACACACUUAGAUGUUGACUAGACAAAACAUUUAUCAAGAAAUGCUUCUAGGCGUGUUUGCCCAUAAAAUCUCCAUCCAUCUAGUAUAUAUUACAACUUUAUUAUUAAAUUAAUAAUUUUUAAAUCCUUAACUCUCCCCUCUCAAGUCAGAGAUAUCGAGAUCACGCCUAAGAUAGUGGAUGUCACGGUUGGAACAAAUCAAUUUAUACGAUGAUAGUUUUAACUUUUAACUUAAUAUUAAUUUAUUUAGAUUUGCUACACGGGAAUUAACUUUUAACAUGAAAUGCCACGUGACAGAAUUUUUAAACAAAAGAGAGAGUAUACACACAUCAUCAGAAAUUUGUUGAGGUGUGUUUCACUAAUUAUCAUAGUUCAAGUAUGAAACUCAUACUCUUAAUAGUUCAAGUGUGAAACUCAAAAAGCUGAUUAGUUUAGAUAUGACGUUUUUUACCCUUUGGGGUCGUUUUGUAGAGAGUAUUAGGAGCAAUAGUUCAUGUAUUAUGUAUGGUAUUAGUUAGGGUACUGUGUUUGCUAGAAUUUUGGGCUUAUAUAUAAUUAAUCUAUGUAUUAGUUAUACACCCUACAAGGUAUUAUUGGAUGUACAACUAAUACCUUCCAUUUGGUGGUAUUAGUAAAUACAUACUUCCUUUGUCCCACUUUAUAUGACUUACUUUCACUUUAAUAAUUCCCAAUAAAAUGACACAUUUCUAUAUUUAGUAACAAUUUAACUUUAAAAUGUCUAGUUUACCCUUAGUGAAAUGAUUUUUAGCCACACAAAUAUCUAUGACUCAUUUUAGACCACAAGUUUCAAAAGUCUUUUUUUCUUUCUUAAACUCCCUACCAAGAACUAACACAUAUAAACUGGGACGGAGGGAGUAGGAUUUAAUACUAUGGGAUGAAUCUAUGUAAAGACAAAAAUACCCCUCAAAUCCUUUUAAUCAUUUGAUUUAUUUUCUUGAUUUUAUGUUUUAUAUUUGUACUAGUAAAUUUAUUUAAAUAAAUUAGCUUACAAAUUUUAUUAUUUAGAGAGAGUUGUUUGUUGCUAAAUAAAUCCAAAAAUACAAAUCAAUACAAUAUUUGAAAUGUGAGUUAUUUAAUAUUUACUAAUUGAAAAAGGCAAAUAUAUGACCACAUGACAUUUAUGAUCUUAAUUGAAUUUAUUAUUUGCUGAUAUAUAAGUAUGUGGUUUUCUAUUUUUCGUAUUUUAAAUAAUUUAUAAAAUUGCAUAGAUAUUAAAACUACAACUUGUAAUUUGUAUAUGUAAACGUAGAUGAUUUAUUCGAUUUUACUAUUGCUUACCGUCUUUUCGAUUUUAAAAUUAGAUGGUCUAUCUUUUAAAAUUGAAUAUUGAUGUUUUAUUAGGAGAUCAAUUUAUUAAGAUGACAAUUAUUUACCCUCAAAUAAUUCAAGUGAAAAAAUUACAAACAUGACAAUAAAAUUGUUCUUCUCCUAACUAGUUAGAAGGCGAAAAAAAUAAUAUUGUCCAGCUGUUAUCUACUUUGAUCCAAUUACAUAAAAUAGAAAAUCACAUGACAAUUCUAGGAUAUAAUUGAAAAGAAGAUUUUGUAGAGUUUUAAUCCAAACACAAAAUUAGAUGGGAAGCAAUGAACCAAACCCUUAUAGAAAAUAAAUCAUGCAUUACUAAUUCAUGUAUUACUAAUCCCUACGUUAUUAAUAUUUGUACCAAACAAACCCUCAAACAAACCCUUAAUUCAAUAGACAUACAUCACCUACUGUAAUUUAGACCCAUUUAAAGACCUAAUUGAAUGCAACGUGUUGGCUUGUUGACGAGUAUCAAUAGAUUACUAAUUAAAAAAAGGCUAACUUUUACAUUUAGCAAACAUAAAAAUCAUAUUUGUAUGUUUUAGCUAUAGUUUGCAUAAUUACGCUCCAUAGCAAAUUUUAUGUUUGCUAUGGAGCUUUUGAUUUGUAUAAUUCGCUAGAUUCAUUCAAUUUUAUACAAAUUGUUCAGUUUUGUAUAAAUUCAUUUAUACAUUGUAAUUUGUAUAAUAAGAUCUGUAUUUGUAUAAUUAUAAGUGUAUAGGAUGAAAAUAUAUGUAUUUAUAUUUGUAUAUACAUUUUUCUCUCAUUUUAUACAAACACAAAUGCAUUUUAUACAUUUUAUAUAUUUGAUACCGAAUGGGUAAUUGUAUACCGAAAAUGACUAAUUGUAUACCGAACCAGAUGACAAAAAAUUGGAAUGUUUGCUGCGAAUUACAAAUAAAAUAAACUAUGGCUAUAACAUUUAAUUUGAAUUAAUUGUUUGUUAUUUCAUACAAUUUUCCCUUAAAAUAAUACUCUUCGCAAACAAUAAAUAUAGAAUCAAUCAGCUCAUGAUUGAAAAGAUAACACAUUAUAACUCAAUUAUUACAAUACUUUCUUGCAAACUUCCAUAAUAUUUCUGAGUCAAUAUAAUAUAAAACCCUUCAUCAAGUUGAGAUGGCAGGCAGAAAGGAAACUUACAUUUGAAUAUAUGUUUGAUCAGAAGAAUGAUUAGUUGUUGUGGAUUAGAUAAUAACUAGUCAUUAAGUUUAAUUUAACACAAUUAUAAAAAUUACAAUAUUUUCUAUACUCCUUGGUCUGAAUUUACGUGACACUUUUAAUUUUGACUAGACCCUUCAUCAAGUUGAGAUGGCAGGCAGAAAGGAAACUUACAUUUGAAUAUAUGUUUGAUCAGAAGAAUGAUUAGUUGUUGUGGAUUAGAUAAUAACUAGUCAUUAAGUUUAAUUUAACACAAUUAUAAAAAUUACAAUAUUUUCUAUACUCCUUGGUCUGAAUUUACGUGACACUUUUAAUUUUGACUAGACACAAAAUUUAAAAAUAAAUAAAAAAUGAAGACUUUUGAAAUUUGUGAUCUAAAACACUCUUUAACCAUUGUGUGGCUAAUUUCUUUAAAUGGAAUUUAAAAGUUAAGUUAUUUCUAAUUAUAGAAAGGUGAUAUAUUUUCUCAGAAACGGACUAAAAAAAUAAUGUGUCACAUAAAUUGAGACAGGGAAAGUAAUAAAGAAAUCCAAUGCAUCCAUGUGUAGAGGCUUUGAGCAACCGUUAUCAUUUUGGAAUGCCAAUCCUCAGAUCAAGCCCAAGGUCCAUUCCGUUGUAGGCAAUGGGAGCAUACAUCCAUAGAUCUUCAGAGCUCAAUAGCUGCAUGCACAAAACACACCACAUUAACAUCCAUCUCUUCAUUCCAAAGUAUCAGAUAGAGCACAUUUUUAUUAGUUAAUUAUAUCUUCAACACGCUUCUCACGUGCAAGUCAUAUUCUUUUUCAUGGGACAAGCACAUGUAAAUUCCUUCCUAGGACCUUUGUCUGCUCUAAUAUCAUGUUAAAGUGUAUGACUAUCUCAUCUAAAAGCUUAAGUUGUUUGAGAGAACGCACUUUUAUUAGUUAAUUAUGUUCUCAACAUAGUAAAUCUUAUCUAGUAACAUAAAAAAAGAAAAUGUUGUUCAGUUUUAGUGUCAGAUCCUCCAAAAGUAGUGCAUUUUUGGAAGAUCCAAUACAGAUAUAGAAACAUUUUUGUGGAGUCUGAGCUCAUAGAUUGUUCUCUCCGUGUGAAUAUGAUUGUGUAUGUUUAUUGUCUUCGUGCAGUUUAAAUCCUUAAUGCAUUGCAACACUUUGUGAAGGGAAGAUAAUAAACCUUACCUUGAUUUGGAGUUGCAAAAAUUUAACAUACUGAACUGCCUCUUCAAGCAUGGUGCUAAUGUCAACCUGUCAUCAAAUAUUUUGCCAUUUAGGUUCACAUUCUUUCAGCAGAUAUAUAACAGAACGAUCGAUCACUAAUGCAGUUACACUGACUUAACUUACCUUGGUUCCAUUAGGGAUGAGACUCUGCAAGGUCUUCAAUCUCUCGUUAAUUCGCUCUCUUCUUUUCUGUUAGAAGAGAAAGAAGAAAAUCAUUUACAUAUUUACUAGCAGAUCAACAAAAUGUAACAGGCAGUUAGUUACAUACCCUGGCAUACAAGCUCUGGGGGUCAGUUGCUGAACCCCUGCUUGCUCUGGAUUUUUGAGUCAACUCGAGAGAAACAUUAGAUUCAUCUUCUGAGCAACAACUGAUCAUUGAGUUUUGCCUCUGAAGCACAGCCUUGUUUUUACCAUCCAUCUCGCCAGUCUUAACGUCUGUUUGCAGCUUUGUGCUUCUCUUGUUCUUUGGUACCUACAUCAGGAAUCAUUAAAUCUACAAUUCUGAAAGAAAAUUAACAACAACUACUAAUAAUAAUAAUAAAUCAGAUAGAAAGGUUUUGAAGUUUAUGAAUAACACUCACAUGACCAUGUAACCGCGCUCUUUUCUUAGAACUUUCUGUUGGACUAUGAUCUUCUGGAAAUCGCUCAUAAUCUAUUCUUCCUAGCUGCAAGCCUUUUCCAUCAAGAAGAGGUUCAGCCAUGUUUCCAUCAAACUCCAUGUUAUUAACGAAGUACUCAUCUGCUUCAAUUGGAUUAUUAGUAUCCAUCAGACCACGUUCUGUUGUUAUUGAACUAUCAUUUCUCAUCAAGAUAGGCCGAGAAUAACUUGAGUAGUAACUUUCAUGACUCGGAGGAGGAAAGAGAAAACCACUAUGUUCUCUUCCUCCUGACGAUCCAAUAUUUGAUUCAUGACCAAUAUUCCAAUAACCAGAUGAAACUCCGUAGUUAUUAGAAUCAUUUGGAAACGAACAGUUACCAAGUAACUGUGCCAUGAAAUCCGCCUCCUCAGUAAAACACAUUCCACUCAAGGAACUCCAAUCUCCUUCAAACAUUGAUGCCACAUGCUCCAUUCUCUUAACAACUUAUUUAUAAUAGAGAAACUCAAUGUUGGAAAUAGUGAGAGAUAGAAGCGCGUAUUUAUAGCAAUAUAUAGGAAUAACAGAAGGGAUUUGACUUUGGUAGGUAUAUCAAUAUUCUAUGACUGAGCAACCAAUAAACAGAAUAUGCCCCCGAUUGUUUUAAAUAUAAAUAGAUUAUGUAUAAAAUGGGGCAAAUUACAACUAAGAUAGACUUAGUUCAACCAGAUAGGGACUAAAUUGAGGGAAUAUAAACAUUUAUAAUUAUGUAAUUGUGACAAUGACUAGAGUAUAUAUAGCAAUGAUUGAGAAAAGGAUUAAGUAUUAUGAGUAACUAUCAAUUGUCCAAAUUUUAUAAUUAGGAAAAUAGGGAAAAGAGAUUGAGAAUCAUACCUGGAGAACGUGGGAGUCUUUUUCAAUACAUUAUAAAAUGAAACCACAAAUGGCAUCACCUGAGAAUAUGCAGAUCUAUUGUGGUGCUGAGUUUGACAUUUUAGAAGGGAAAGAUUGAAAUGUAUCUUUCAAAAAACUCUGAUACCGGUACUUGUUGGUGUAGUCGAAGUGCCUGGAAGCUAAUCUCUUACACUAUCGUCAUUAAAAAGAAAAAAGACUAUUGCUUAAUAUCCUCAGUUUCCCAAGACAGGGGCAUAUCCAGGAGGGGAUCACCGGGUUCACGUGAACCCAUGCUCCCCUCCUGAAAUCAUAUAUACAAGUGUUAUAUUUUUUUUUAAAAAUAUUUAAAUAUAGAUAUGUGAACCCACACUCGAAGUAUCAUAUAAUGUCGUGUGAUGAUAAUUGGGUGGACCUAUCUAAGUUAGGUUAGAAAUUUGAAUUUUUUAUCUAUCUUGUGAGAAAAGGCCCAAAAUAGUCCCUCAUCUUUGGAUUAAGACUUAAAGUCAUUCUUGAGUUUUCACAUGGAGCAUUAAUAGUCCCUCAUGUUUGCAAUAUUGGUGCAUUUUUGGUCCUCCUUCAAAAUUUUGCCUAUUUUUUAACAUUGAUUUUAUUCAUAAUUUAUGUAUGGAAUGUUUUAUCGCCAUUUUAUAUAUUUAGUAGAAAUAAUAACUCCAUGUGAGAGAUUGUGAGAAGAAAAACACUUUGUUUUGUUUAGUAGAAAUCGUAUUGCAGGUACAAUCGAGAGGUUCAUCACGACAAUUUCACGUGCAAUAGUACAAAUUUUUCUUUUCUUGCAAUGUCAUAUGUCAAAAUGUUCUUAGUUUAGCUGCAGUAAUAUUUAUACUGAACAGAACAAGGUGUUCUUCUCACCUUCUCUCACUUAGAGUUAUUUUUUCUAUUAAAUAUAUAAAAAAAAAUUGAUGAGACAUUCCUUACAUAAAAUUAUGAACAAAAUUAAUGUUAAAAAAUAGGCAAAAGUUUAGGGGAGGACCAAAAGUGCACCAAUAUUGCAAACAUGAGGGACUAUUAGUCUGCAUGUGAAAACUCAAGGAUGACUUUGAGUCUUAACCCAAAGAUGAGAGACUAUUUUGGGCCUUCUCUCUUUUAUUUUCCUUUUUAAAAUUGGAUAACACUUCUCUAAUUGGUUUGGAUAGAUAAAAAAUAAUUUUAGACCUAUAAUUUUAAAAUUUUAAUGGUUUUCAGUGAUAAGAACAUAAAUAUUAAAUAAAUCAAAUUUAUAUCUUAGAUUCACCUUUUCGUAAUAGUGCAUCCAUAAUUUCAAAAUUCUGAAUACGCCUCUGGCUGCGGAAAUUAGACUUGUCAUCACCGAACAUAUCAAAUAUGCCGUUACCAUUAUGUGCAUGUGCGACUAUGAGAUAAGCCGUCACAGCUUGUUAGUAAGUAGUAAUUCACAACAAGGGCAUGUCUGGAAAUCAUGUGUAGGGAUGGCCAUGUGCGGGACGGAUGCCGAGCGGGGUGAAUUUAAGGCUAUACGGGGCGGGACGGGUGGUAAAAGGUCCUCUAUAAAGUUUGAUAUCGUAACAGCAAUUUCGGCCAAAAUUGGAAUAUUUUUUAGACCCUUUUCCCAAUGUGUAAAUAAGUUUUAAUGUGUGGUAAAUUUUUUGCUUCUCUUUGAAAAUUGAAUAGUAUAAUUAUUCCUUAUUAUAUACAUCAAUUUUAUAUUGAUUAAAUUGCUUAUCAAACAAACACAUAAAAGCUAUAAAACUACCAUUAGAAAAUGUAUAAAGUCCACCUUAAGUUAGUACGUAUUUCAUAAAAAGACACUUGCAUCCCUUGAACUACUUGAAAGUAAUAUUAUUACUUCUUUUUUUUAUCAAGCCCAGUUAUUAAAAAAAGAAACAAUUUUUACUUACCAAUCUCGAAUUUUCAUAUAUUAAAUAUCAUAAAUUAUAAAAAUAAAUAUGAGAAAAUAUUAUUCUUUCAUAAAUAAAGAAAAAUUCUUUCCAAACUCCUCCCCAAACUCUUCCCCAUCCCCACUUACUUUUCGCCUUUCCCUAACCUUGUUCACCAAAUAAAAAACAGCAGUUACCUUCAUUAAGAAAUGAAAAACAAGAAUCAAUCCACUAUUUUGUGUUAUUUAUCAUUGUAAUAUUAGAAAAAUAAUCAUCAUUUUAUUCUAUUUUUCUAUCCUUGAAAUUAUAUAAAUAUAUCUAUGGGUAGUAUCUUAUGAUAUAGUGAUCGAAUAUAAUAGUGAUUAAUCGUAAUUGUUGAUGGUAACGACUGAUAAUUUGUAGUGAAAUAAUAGGUGGUGAAUGAUGAUGAUUGCUAGCGGUAUAUAAUGUUGACUAAUGAUAGUAAUUAUUGACGGUGAUUAGUAGGAUGUAGUAAUGGAUUAUGGUAAUGAUUGUAACUGAUGGCUAAUGUUGAUGAUUAUUGAUUUUGGGAAUUAGCGAUAGUUGUGACUUGUGAUUGUAGUUGGGCUAAGGAUGGACGUGAUUGUGGAUGGAAGGCAGUGAUGAUUGACUCAGUGGUUGUAGUUAUGGAGGUCAUAGAAAAGUGUCACAUCACCUUUUCUAUGUUUCUCCUUUAUUAUAUAUAUAGAUUUUAGAAAAAUAAUCAUCAUCAUUGUAUUCUAUUCCUCUAUUCUUGAAAUUAUCAUAUCAUCAUAUAUUACUAUAAGUGGGAAGAACCUAGGUCAAAAGUCGAAUUACGAAAAUACCCUUUAACUGUUAAUUUAUUUUCUUGAAAUUAUUUAAUAUAUUAUUUUUUUCAUUUAAUAUUUAUUUUGUGAUUCAAUGUAACCCUUUAAAUAUUAAUCUAUUUUCUUAAAAUUAUUUAAUUAUUAUUUUUUUAUUUAAUAUUUAUUUUGGGAUUCAAUGAAUUUUGAUUUUUCGUAUUAUGGUAAUUAAAACUCCUAUUUCCAGCUAGACUUACAAUUUAGUACUCAUUAUUAAAUUGCAAAUUAUUAUUAGCAAAAAAAAAGGCAACAAUCUUUACAUCUUCCACGUAGUAAUAGUGAUGAUUUUUCAUAAUCAUAGUUACUAUAAAAUUUUUAAUACUUAGUCAUUAUGAUUUUCCAUUACACAUUUAAUAUAUUUGAAUUCUUUUACAUAUUUUAUCAUUAGAUUACAGUUUUAUUUCCACAUUACAUUUAAAUGUUAUAAAUUGUUUAAUAAAUUAAUUAUUAAAUAGUAAUAAUAAAUCAUCAUAUUAGUAUACAUAAAUGUCCCGAGCCUACACCCCGGAAGCGACACGGCGUACAAGACUCCGAAAAAUCUCAUACAAGCCUCAUAGCAUUCAUAACAUUCAAUAUAAGGAAAAUGGUACAUAAUUAAAACUUUAUUUAAAACCAUACAAUCAAAAUACUCAUUUAAAACAUUCAAAAAUAGCGGAAGUCUAUCGUCUCACAUGGCCAUCUAAACAACAUCUUGAAAACUAAAGUAGGGACACGGUCCUUUACAAUCGAAAGACUAACAAAUCUCUAUUACAUGAAAGAAAUGGAAACUACAAUACUUGUCCUCGAUCUAUGAGGACAUACCACUUUGCCUUGAAAGAAUCUCAAAUCCAAGCUUCUACUAGAGAGAGUCAAACCGUACCAAUCUCUACACUUCAUAAAGGUAAAGAAUGUGGGUUAGCACACUAAAGUAAUAAGUAUGGUAGCCAUGCAAAAAUAUGCUUAAAACGGAUAUUUUAUUUGAAAGUCAUGAUAUAUUCAUGAAUAUAAGCAUAAGAGGCAUAAUACAAGACAUAAUCAACAUAUAAGACAUUUCAUUACCUUUAGCUUUCACCUCAAGUAACCCUCAAGCUAUACUUUCUGCAAUGUAUGAAUAGCGUCCCAUACCACUAUUCACACUAAGUACCACCUCAAGGUCACCAAAAGUGAACUUACCAUUCAACCUUUCCAUCUUUACACAAUACUCAUACAUAAGAGACAUAAACAUUACAAAAGUCAUAUCAUCACAUUAGGACCAUCAUCUAGGGCAACCUUAAGUCAUAUUUGUGCAAUGUAUGAGUAGCAUCCCAUACUACUACUCACACUAAGUACUCCUUUGAAGUCACCAUAGAGAAGGCACCUUCAUACUCAAUAAGUCAUGACAAGGAAGUAACUCAUAAUACAAUCCAAGUAUAGCAUACAUCAUUACAUUAAAUACAUAAAGUCAACAUUCCCCAUUAGCUUCAUUAAGAACACCUUCAUUGAUUAGAGAUUAAACCAACAUUCUCCAUUAGCAUCAUCAUAAGAGCAUACUCAUUUCAUUUAACAUUAUAAAGGAACACACUAUGACUACUCUUAAAGUCUACUUGUGCAAUGCAUAGAUGGCAUCCCAUACUACCACCCAUACUAAGUAGUACAUUCUUGAGAAGCCAUAGUUCAUUAACAUUCUUUGUGGGGUAAACCUUAACCUACAUAGACCAUGUGAGCAAUUCAUGGAAUCCCGGUGUCACCCUCACCGGAUAAGGGAUUCGUACUUGCAUAAGGUAGGACCAUUGAUUUUAGCUUAAGUGGAUCCACUAGCUAGACCUAUGUGGGCACAUAGUUAUGGGAUAAGGAGAUUGCUACUAGAUACCCCGCCUCAACUCACGGAUGAGCAUCCAUCUCAAGAGAUAGUUACUAGAUACCCCGCCUCAACUCCCGGAUGAGCAUCCAUCUCAAUUCAUAUCCACUCGGUGCUUACCAUUAUUCCCCACAGAGUAUUUAGCAUUCAUUACAUUAGUCAUCAUUAUGGGAUAAGAGAUUGUUACUAGAUACUCCGCCUCAACUCCCAGAUGGGAAUCCAUCUCAACCCAACAUUCAUUCAUUAGAUAGCUCAUAGAUUCAAAGAUGAGAAUAUCCUUUCACCUAAGAACCCCUUUAUUGUGAGAAAGUAAUUUCACAACAAGUCAUUAACAUUCAUUAGAGUACAAUUGAGAAUAGCCCUUUCAAUAGACUCAUCAUCAUUAACAUUAUCAUAGAANNNNNNNNNNNNNNNNNNNNNNNNNNNNNNNNNNNNNNNNNNNNNNNNNNNNNNNNNNNNNNNNNNNNNNNNNNNNNNNNNNNNNNNNNNNNNNNNNNNNNNNNNNNNNNNNNNNNNNNNNNNNNNNNNNNNNNNNNNNNNNNNNNNNNNNNNNNNNNNNNNNNNNNNNNNNNNNNNNNNNNNNNNNNNNNNNNNNNNNNNNNNNNNNNNNNNNNNNNNNNNNNNNNNNNNNNNNNNNNNNNNNNNNNNNNNNNNNNNNNNNNNNNNNNNNNNNNNNNNNNNNNNNNNNNNNNNNNNNNCCAUAAAUCUAAGAUACUACAAUAGAUAAGGAAAUUGACAUGAUUCAAUAACUAAUCCAAUAUAAACAUCAACAAUUCAACAUAUUUACAUAAUCAACCAAUUCCGAAUCUCAAUUCACCACUUAAGAAUUUGGGGGAAAACAUGGGUUCUAGGAAUAAAUCAUCUUAAUUCAUCUUUAAAACCACAACUCAUUCAAAAUUCAAUGCAAUAAAGCCUUUGAAAAUCGUUUGGAAUCGAACCCAUGCCAAGAUUGAAAACUAGGGUUUUUGGGGAAACAUUGGGGAUUUGAAAUUCACUUUGAAACUGGCUCCUUGAAAGAAACUAAGUCAAGGAUGAAGACUACCAUACCUUGCUAUUGAAUCNNNNNNNNNNNNNNNNAACACCUUGAAUCCACAAACCCUAGCUCCCACCUCUUCUUCUUCUUCCUUGGAAACUUCUAUAGAGAGAAUUUUUUAGAGGAAGAACUCUUUGAUUUGAUUUGGGGAAAUAAGUAGUAAAUGACUUGUUUAAGACUUCAAACUAUAUAUACUAGUGAUAUAAAACAAUUAAAAACAACCCCACCUAAUAAUUAAUAAAAGGGAAAUUACUCAAAACCCCUCAACUUAGGCAGCCCCGUCAGGGACCACGCCCAUUUUGACGGGUCGUGAGGGGAACCAAUGCUCGUGGUGGUGCCCGUGGUCCCUUAGGUAGUGUGCCUCUCUAACUUGCCAAGCCUUCAAGGGCAUAAGGCAAGUCCACGAAACCUCCCACGAUCCGUGGUCAAGACCACGAGUCAUGGUUGAGGUCGUGGUCUUGAGGCAGUGUCAUGGCUUCCCAAGCCUUGCCUCCACACGCCUAAGUGAUCUUCACGAUCACUCUCCCAUGGCUCAUCAAGGGCACCACGUCCCAUGGUGGCGCCCGUGGUCCCUUGACCAGUAGCUCCCUCAUCAUCCACCAAUUCCCAUUAAGCUAAGACAACCCAACGAGCCUUCCCACGGCCCGUGGUCAUGACCAUGAGUCGUGAAAUGGCUUGUGAAGUGGUGCUUUGGCUUGGCACCUUUCUAGGGCUCACUGCCAUGACAACCACGGGUGGCACCACGACUCGUGGUGGCCACCACGGGUCGUGAAGACCCUCAUGGUCUUGGUAGGUAGUGGUUAGGCCUAGUUUUUAGGCAGCCUUGGCCCCUCACCAUGGCCUACACCCAAAACCUUUAGCCCUUGCCCUUAACCCUUGACGUUAACCCUCACGUUUAGGCUCUAUUUCAAACUAUCAUUUUCCGAGUCGUUACAUUAUCCCACCCUUAGGAACAUUCGUCCUCGAUUGACACUUUGAAUACAUUAAGGGAUAACGACUCAAGACUAGCAGCCCAUCAUGCAUGACACAUCAAUACAAUGCACAAAAAUCAUAGGAGGAAACAUCAACUCCACAUCAAUUAGCUCAAUGCAACACAAGUAAGUAGGAACUACAUCUACAAACUCAUUAUGCACGAAAACAUCAACAUUUCUCAUUUCGUUGGAGGAACUACCUUCCCCAACUCACAUCUGCUUAUCAUAACAUCAUUAGGCAAAUUAUGCAACUUUUCUCAAAACCACAUUUAAGCAUGAUCAAUAAUUCAACUCAUGAAGAAUUUAGGCAACUCAUUAUAGAUGCACAUCAACAUGAGGAACAUAUAAAUAAAAAAUCCCAUUUCUCAUUAAACAUAAAUUUCAUCAAAACAUGCAUAACAUAAGGAGAUCAUGGAAACACAUAAAUCACACAUGACUCCAAAAUAUGAAACAAGCUACAAGGAACUCUUGGUCUCAAGCUUGAAUAGGAAUAGAAGGAAAGAGAUAAAGAUCUUGGAACUCUCAAUAACCUUACUAUUCACAUACCAUCUCUCCCUUAAGAGUAAACCCAUUCUAAGGCUACCAUGAAAACAACAUAGGAACCUCAAUACAACAUUCACAACCAUAAGGAACUAUCACUUACCGGUACCUUUAAACUAGAAAGGUCCUCAUUAAGCAACUCUUGCUCACAAACAACCUUACUAACACCUCUCAAGGUCUCAUAUGAGUCUACCACACCGGGUCUAAACUCCUCAAACUCACUACACCUCAUAGGGUGAGAAUAUCAAGCAAGCCUAACUCAUGAACAUCAAAGACACUCAAUGACCUUACCAUCUAAGCUCAUUAUCCCCCCAUUUGGGAGUAAGCCUAUACAAGCCCUUUUAAACUUCACUUCUUUCCAUUCUAAGGUCGGAGCAAUUCAUCACCAAACCUUCACACUCAUCACACAAGAUGAUUCUAAACCAAGGUGAGUUACACUUCUACCAUUCUUACAGAAGCCUACUUACUCAUCCCAUAAAGACAUUUCUAAGGCACCUCAUUCAUCAAAUCUUUCAACAUACCUCAAAACUCAUCAUAACUAAGGCGAGUUCUAUCAUCAACUAGACAUAUCCAUAAAGCAACUCAUUCAUACUAAGGACAACAUUACAAUAUAUCACCUCAAAUCUAACAAGUCACAUAGCCAUAAUUGGCAUCAAAACCAACCUUCCUCCCCCACUCUUUCUAGCAUAAGCCUUUCAAAUGGUCAUACCCUAAAGCCCAUCGGAUAAGGAAUAAGAAAAAGACAUUCUAGAGUUAAACUCUAUGGCACGACUUGAAGAAUAUGAAAGAAGUGUAACUUCCUAACGUCCUAUAACCUCUCACUCAUAUAUGUGUCGCGACUCACACCGAUGAACAAGACUCUACCGUGAGAAAUCAAUCCUAAAAACCAUUUCCAAAAUCUUGUGCUCUGAUAUAAUGUUUGCCAUGAACCGAGACUACACCACGGAAGCGACACGGCGUAAACGACUACAAAAAGUCUCAUACAAGCCUCAUAGAAUUCAUAACAUUCGAUAUAAGGAAAAUGAUACGGAAUUAAAACUUUAUUUAAAAUCAUACAAUUAAAAUACUCAUUUAAAACAUUCAAAAAUAGCGGAAGUCUAUUGUCUCACAUGGUCAUCUAAACAACAUCUUGAAAACUAAAGUAGGGACACGACCCUUUACAAUCGAAAGACUAAAAAUGUCUAUUACAUGAAAGAAAUGGAAACUACAAUACUUGUCCUCGAUCUAUGAGGACAUACCACUUUGCCUUGGAAGAAUCUCAAAUCCAAGCUUCUACUAGAGAGAGUCAAACCGAGUACCAAUCCCUACAAUUCAUAAAGGUAAAGAAUAUGGGUUAGCACAAUUAAGGACUAAGUAUGAUAGCCAUGCAAAAAAUAAACUUAAAAUAGUCAUUUUAUUUGAAAGUCAUGAUAUAUGCCAUUUUAAGAAAACUUCAUGAACAUAAGCAUAAGAAGCAUAAUACAAGACAUAAUCAACAUAUAAGACAUUUCAUUACCUUAAGCUUUCACCUCAAGUAACCCUCAAGCUAUACUUUGUGCAAUGUAUGAAUAGUGUCCCAUACCACUAUUCACACUAAGUACCACCUCAAUGUCACCAAAAGUGAACUUAUCAUUCAACAUUUACAUCUUUACACAAUACUUAAACAUUACAAAAGUCAUAUCAUCACAUUAGGACCAUCAUCUAGGGCAACUCUAAGUCAUACUUAUGCAAUGUAUGAGUAGCAUCCCAUACUACUACUCACACUAAGUACUCCUUUGAAGUCACCAUAGACAAGGCACCUUCAUACUCAAUAAUUCAUGACAAGGAAGUAACUCAUAAUACAAUCCAAGUAUAGCAUACAUCAUUGCAUUAAAUACAUAAGUCAACAUUCCCCAUUAGCUUCAUUAAGAACACCUUCAUUGAUUAGAGAUUAAACCAACAUACUCCAUUAGCAUCAUCAUAAGAGCAUACUCAUUUCAUUUAACAUUACAACGAAAUACACCAUGACUUCUUUCAAAGUCUACUUGUGCAAAACGUAGAUGGCAUCCCAUACUACCACCCAUAAUAAGUAGUACAUUCUUGAGAAGCCAUAGUUCAUUAACAUUCUUUGUGGGGGUAAGACUUAACCGACAUAGACCAUGUGAGAAAUUCAUGGAAUCCCGGUGUCACCCUCACCGGAUAAGAGAUUCCUACUUGCCUAAGGUAGGACCAUUGUUUUUAGCUUAAGUGGAUCCACUAGCUAGACCUAUGUGUGCACAUAGUCAUCGGAUAGAGAGAUUGCUACUAGAUACCCAGCCUCAACUCACGGAUGAGCAUCUAUAUCAAGAGAUUGUUACUAGAUACCCCGCCUCAACUCCCGGAUGAGCAUUCAUCUCAACUCAUAUCCACUCGGAGCUUAGCAUUAUUCCCCACAAAGUACUUAGCAUUCAUUACAUUAGUCAUUAUUAUGGGAUAAGAGAUUGUUACUAGAUACUCCACCUCAACUCCCGGAUGGGCAUCCAUCUCAACCCAACAUUCAUUCAUUAGAUAGCUCGUAGAUUUAAAGAUGAGAAUAACCUUUCAACUAAGAAUCCCAUAUUGUGAGAAAUUCCUUUCACAACAUGUCAUUAUCAUUCAUUAGAGUACAAUUGAGAAUAGCCUUUCAAUAAACCUUUCAUCAUUAACAUAAUCAUAGAACUUCAUUCAUUAGACAUUCAUGAGUGUGUAUGUGAGAAUCACCUUUCACAUAUAACCUCAUCAUUCAUAGGUGUUAAUUAAGAAAUAAUAUUCAAUCAUAACACAUUUACAUUCUAAACAUGAUCAUAACACUUUCAUUGAGAUCACAUAGAUAUACUUCACAUCAUAAUCAUACAUAAUCCUUUAUGAAAUUGCCCCUUAGGGCUAUCAACCAACAUCAACCCAUAAAUCUAAGAUACUACAAUAGAUAAGGAAAUUGACAUGAUUCAAUAACUAAUCCAAUAUAAACAUUAACAAUUCAACAUACUUACAUAAUCAACCAAUUCCCAAUCUCAAUUCACCACUUAAGAAUUUGGGGAAAAACAUGGGUUUUAGGAAGAAAUCAUCUUAAUUCAUCUUUAAAACCACAACUCAUUCUUAAUUCAAUGCAAUAAAGCCUUUGAAUAUUGUUUGGAAUCGAACCCAUGCCAAGAUUGAAAACUAGGGUUUUUGGGGAAACAUUGACAAUUUGAAAUCCACUGUGAAAUUGGCUCCUUGAAGAAACUAAGUCAAGGAUGAAGACUACCAUACCUUGCUAUUGAAUCCCUAUGAAAUUUGAGGAAGAAAUACCUUGAAUCCACAAACCCUAGCUCCCACCUCUUCUUCUUCUUCUCCCUUGGGAACUUCUAGAGAGAGAAUAUUUGAUUGGAAGAACUCUUUGAUUUGAUUUGGGGAAAUAAGGAGUAAAUGACUUGUUUUAAGACUUAAAACUAUAUAUACUAGUGAUAUAAAACAAUUCAAAAUAACCCCACCUAAUAGUUAAUAAAAGGAAAAUUACUCAAAACCCCUCAACUUAGGUAGCCCCGUCAGGGGCCACGCCCACUUUGACGGGUCAUGAGGGGCACCACGGCUCGUGGUGGUGCCCGUGGUCCUUUAGGCAGUAUGGCUCUCUAACUUUCCAAGCCUUAAAGGGCCUAAGGCAAGUCCACGAGACCUCCCACGAUUCGUGGUCAAGACCACGAGUCAUGGUUGAGGUCGUGAUCUUGUGGCAGUGUCAAGGCUUCUCAAGCCUUCCCUCGACACACCUAAGUGAUCUUCGCGAUCACUCCCCCAUGGCUCGUCAAGGGAACCAUGGCCCGUGGUGGCGCCCGUGGUCCCUUCACCAGUAGCUCCCUCAUCAUCCACCAACUCCCAUUAAGCUAAGACAACCCCACGAGCUUUUGGUCAUGACCACGAGUCGUGAAGUGGUGCCUUGGCUUGGCACCUUUCUAGGGCUCACUGCCAUGCCAACCACGACUCGUGGUGGCCACCAUGGGUUGUGAAGACCCUCGUGGUCUUGGUAGGCAGUGGCUAGGCCUAGUUUUUAGGCAGCCUUGGCCCCUCACAGUGGCCUACACCCUAAACCCUUAGCCCUUGCCCUUAACCCUUGACGUUAACCCUCACGUUUAGGCUCUAGUUCAACGUAUCAUUUUCCGAGUCGUUACAAUAAAUUACCACUAACUCUUCUUAAACAUAUGUAACUCUCACUAAUUAUAUUCAUUAUGUUUUUUACUCUUAUCUCUCAUCGAUAAUCUCAAAUGGAUUAAUAUCAUAUUUAUGACAACUCUUUGUGUUCCUCAAUGUUAUCUUCACUAAUUAUAUUCAUUAUGUUUUUUACUCUCAUCUCUUAUCAAUAAUCUCAAAUGGAUUAAUAUCAUAUUUAUGAAAAAUCUUUGUGUUCAUCAAUUCUAUCCUAUAAAUAAUGACAUUUGACAUCAUAAUAUACAAACUUAAACCAAUUGGAAAAAAAACAUGAGAAAAUAUCUAUGCCCGAUCUUCUCGUCUCUUUUUAUUUGUUUAGUUUAACAUUUAUGUUUCUUGUUUGUUGUUAUUGUACAACUUUCUAUUGUUGUGUUGUUAUUAUUUUUGAGAAUUUACCAUGGUUUGUUGCUUUGUAUACAUUAGCCUAACAUCUUGUAUUUUAGUAUCCACAUUUGAAGGGAUAAGACACAAGUACCCCCCUAGACUAUGACUAAAAUCUCAGAGACACACCUUAACUAAACUAAGGUCCUAUUACCCCCUGAACUUAUUUUUUAAAAAUAAUUUUGUACAGCUUUUGUCUUAUGUGGCACACUCUGUGACUCCACACAAUUGAGGCGCGUGAGAGAUAUUUGGAUACCACAUAAGCCAAAAAGGUGCACAAAAUUACAAAAAAAAUGGGUUCAGGGGGUAAUAGGACCUUUGUUUAGUUAAGGUGUGUCUCUAAGAUUUCGGUCAUAGUCUAGGGGGGUACUUGUACAUUUUCCCCACAUUUGAAUAAUAAAUUUGUGUGAUAGUUAGUUAUUUUUACUUUAUGCACUUUUAGUCAAUUUUAUAGUUACAGGUAUAUUCUUUUUAUUAUGAAGAUAUAUGUAGUUCCUAUCGAAACAAUAAUGAAUCUUUCAAUACAAAAUUUAUAUGAAGUAUUUUGGGAUAAACGUGCAACGCACGUUCCCAGAUCUAGUAUAAAUAUAUCUAUGAGCACCAAAAAACCUUCCUCCUCCUACUAUUGAAGCAACCAUGGCUAACCAUCACUAAUCGGUUAUUGUCUUCGAGAAAUACAUUUUCACCAGAUAAAAUGGUGGUCGUAAUGACCUUCUUGCUCUCUUUUUUAAAUUCAAAAUGGCUUAAGAGGGCCAUAUUGCACUACAACAAAAACAACCUCUAAGGAAGGGAAAUCUAGUCCCUAAAAGUUCAAAACUGGUCCCAAAUGGUCUAUUGAUAUGGGAAAAGGAUGGUCGCCACCCAUCCUAAUAGCUUUCUUCUCUAAAAGUUAUUUGUGACGGGUUCUCUUUUUUGUUCGUUAAAUGUUUAUAGAGAUGGAAACUACGUUGGUCGCCAAAACACUUUUAGUGACUAUAUUUCUCGUCCCAAAUAGAUGAUUUUCUUCUUUGAAAUGUACUUAUUUUCUAGGCGUUAAAUCACUUUCGCGACAAGCAAAUACCUCAUCCUAGAUUGACCUUUAGGGACGAGAACCUACCUCAUCCUAGAUGAACCUUUAGGGAUGAGAAACUACAUCGUCCUAGAUAAAAUUAAAGGAAAAAAAUGUCUCAUCCUAAAUGAACCUUUAGGGAAGAGAAAGUACCUCGUUUUUAAUUGACCACGAAUGGUUCUAGAGCUUCGUAUCAUAAAAUUAAAAAAAUUAUCAAUCAAUAUAAGAUUGCUACUGAAAUCUCCAUACAAAACGCUGAUAUAUAUUGGAUAACAAAACUUAGAUUUCAAUAUUUUCUUAACAAACAAAACUUUGGUAAUUAACAUCUCGAGCUAAACUAUGACAGCAUGUUCUACAUAACUUUCAUAGCAUAAUGAUAUUGAUCUUGUUCAUCUUCGAAACUUGCAUCUAGACAUGUAACUUCAGUUUCCAAAAUCCUCCAAGAAUUAUCCAGAAACGUGAACAGGCUGCAAGGAUGUAAAAAAAUUAAUUAGGAAUGCUUUGAGAUGUAUUAACCAAUAAUUCAAAUUUUUAUCACAAGUGCAAGAAUAAGUAUCCAUUCCGACCUCUUGAAUCAGAACAACCAUCAUGAUCAAGUAACCAUUUUGGUCAUUUUCAUUAAAAAAAAUGUUUUAAUACAGCUCCAAUGUUCAUUAUCACAUUAUCUGCUACAAUGAAGAGCUUCUUCACAGCUAAACAUUAUAGAUAUCCAUUGAACUGUGAUAAUCUUCUAGGAAAAAGAUUCAUAUAUGUUACAAAUCAUUCAUAGAGCUUUCUUUUUCUUUUUCAUCAAAUAAGGAUAAAAAUGUUCUGGAUAUAAGAAGUCUACCAAAAGAACAGAAAACCGUACUAAAAGAUAGAGACAUUGUUGCUUCAUUACAAAUAAUAUGCUAAGAAACCAUCAAAUGAUGCACAAAAAUAGAACUUUAAGUGUCUAUUUGGUACUAUAUCUCAAGUCUAAAACGUCUAUAAUUUUCAAGUUUAUACAUCUUGAUGAGGUGUUUGGAGACAAAAACAGAUGAGAGUACUGGACACAAUGAUUUCAUCAAAUUGUUAUCCUCUGUUGCCAUUUACCGAAAACAUUUUUUUUCCCUUUGUGGUUGCCUCCUAGAGUUACCUAUUAGAAAUUCAAUUGUACAUUCGAUAGUGUAUCAGAAGUCUAAAACAUCUAUAAAUUUUAAGUUUAUAUGUAUUGAUGUAGUACAAUAGGUGAAAGAAUAUCAGGGUUUUUUUUAUCUCGUUGCGAGAGUACUACACUGGAAUUGCUUUACUUUAUCAUAGUUGCAGUUCUCAACAAAUCACAAAUCUAAGCCAUCUCUCAGAAACCAUUUAAAGAUUCUUCAGUCAGAAUUCUAGUUAAGGGAGUACUACAUAUCUUAUGAAAUCACAUUUCUAUGUUCUUAUUGAAGAGUAUGAUUAGGUACAGAUGUGCAGAAAAUAAAAAAUGUGUGCACGUAGCUAUGUAGAAAAUAAAAGAUGUGUGAACGCAGCUGUGCAGAAAAAAAUGAUGUGCAUGCGCUGAUAUUUAGAAAAUAUAAAAUGGAAGAAGACGUGUGUGCAACUGUGUAUAAAAUAAAAUAAAAAGAGGAAGAAUAUGUAACGUGCAGUUGUACAAAAAAUAAAAAAUAGAUGAAAAGGACAAGCACAUAUAGCUGUGCAGGAAAUAAAAGACAGAGGAAGCAACUUCAGCUAUGUAUCAUGAAUCAGAUCUAUAUGAUUCUCGCACAAUGAUCAUAUUCAAUCAUACCUAUUAACAGGGACCUACUUUUUCAUUAGCUAUUUCAGUAUGUAUGUAGUUACAGAACUAUUUUUUUCCUUUCAGUCACAUCAUCAAAUUUCUCUCACAAAAGCUAGGCAAAGAUAUGACUCAUGAGACAAAUAACUCGAGCUAUAAAGCGUAGGUCCAAUAACUGAGAGCCAAAGGCUAUAGGUAAUCAAAAAACCACUAGCUAAGAGAAUAAAAUCACCCAACAAAGGACCUCACAAGGGAAGAAAGCAUUCAAACAUAAUCUACAAUCUUAUUAGCUUUCUAACAGUUCAGCCUUACAAUAACCUUUUAAACGACUAUACGUAAAUCAAUAUGGGUAUAUGCUUACUUACUUGGUCAGAGAAAUAUUCUAGUGGUCAUUCAGUUGAAAUGUAUGCAGGUCAGACCACAACUGAAAAGAGAGAUACGUGAGUAAGAAUAACUAGGAGCUAGUUUAGUUGUUAGUUUUUUCAAUACUUACAGGUGUUAUCAAGAAGAAAUUAUUCUAUUCGAUCAAAAAAUAUAUUGUUCGACCUAGUCGAUAUGGGGCUUAAUAUAUUGAACUUGUCAAAUUGGAAUAAGGUUGGAAUACCAAAGUUAUAUAGUGUACUAUAGCAAAGAAGAAAGACAAGUUAAGGAUUCAUAACAUUUACAUCAAAGAUAACUCUAUAAAUAAUGUCCCUACACCUAAACAAUCUGGUUGGGUGGUUAAAAAAGUUUUGGAUGAAAGAUCCUUAUUAGCUAUUGGAACUCUGUUGAAUUGAACUGGAUUGAUUCAUCGGCUGUGGUGGGUUCAACAUAAAGAGUGCUUAUAAAUCUUUUCUUCCACAAUAUCCUACAGCUACAUGGAAGAAAUUCUCUAUGGAAAAAGAAAAUCUGAUAAACAUCAGCUCGUCCUCUGUCUAUCCCUGUAAACAAGACUAGCAACAGUUGAUGCACUAACAAAAUGGUGUAUUUAAGUUGACAUUAGCUAUAUUCUAUGCUAGGAUUCCUAGAAAUACCACACUAUAAUUCUACAUGCUUCCAUUGUCUACCAUACUCGAAUGGAAGGAACAUCCACAAGUUACAACAGAAAUGUUGAGGGUCAAUCAUAAUUUUGAUGGAGAUUGCUAAAGAGCUACACAUAGUUGUCCAGAAGCAAAGUAGAUCAAAAGGCAUGAUGAUACUGUAGUCUUAUGACUUAUCUAUAGGAUCCAUUUGUAUAUACAGCUGAAAGUAGUAGUAGUGGUCUGAAUACUGAAACUAGUCCUUGAGUCCAAAAUGACUAGCUAUACAUAUUAGUCAUUUAAUUAAAUAAACUCAUAUCUUUUGUAUAAUUUAUUUUUUGAAAAAACAUACUUGUUUCAACUUCUUGUAUGUAUAGCUUAACUAGUUCAUUAGAUUGAGAAAAUAAAAUUCAUAGUAAGAAAUUUGCCUUUUGAUGUCAAAGACUUAAUCCCUCGUCGGCUAGUCCUCAUCCCUUUCCAAUUGCACCAGGCGCGACGAAUAAAUAUCUCAUAGUACAAUUCAUUCUUGAUCAUCCCCAUUUUCAGUCUUUAUACUGAACCUACAGAGAGAGGCAAAAGUACAAAAUUAAUAGGUAAAAUUCUUAUCCAGUGAACCGAAGGAUAUAAUCCAACUAAUCUUUGACCUUUGCAAAAUGUCAAAACUAUACAAAAAGUACUAUAAAUUAUCAUUUUCUCAUACAACAAUAAGUAAUUAUCAAAAAUGGGCCUUUUUAAAGCGUUGUUGAAACUUUACUGUGGUAUAAUUAAAGUGUAUUAUUGUUCCCUACAUAAUACAAAGACCUUGAUCCAGAAUCAAAAGGAGAAAUCAGUCUCGUGACUAUUUCCCAUCAGUAAGCAGCCUGUGCGAUAAUAAAGAUAUGCCUAUCAGAAUGGGUUACAACAAACAUAUUAGUUAAUAGAAGAUAUUUUACAUCAUUAGUUCCUUUUUGUUUCUUUUGUGAAAGAUUUUCUAAGUCAUCUACAACAUCAUCAACCAUUUGAAUGACGAGGUCGAGUCUUUUUCACUACAUGCCAAUCUUUUUUGGAAUUAUCAUUAGCAUAAAACACUUGAGAUGCUUAAUCCUCUACAACAAAAUGCUCAUUUUUUUCUAAUAAUCUACUUAGAUUCACACUUACGAAGUCAUAUAUACUUAUAUCUUUUAAUCAUCCUUUCUCUGUUUUGAAAAGCUACAACAUUUUUAAUGAAAGUUGGCUUAAAUUUGUGAUUUGCCGAGAACUGCCAUUAAGAUAGAGUACAACAAAAGUGACAGAGAAUCUCAUCUACAUUCAAAACCUAUAGGAUAUUCUACAUAAUAUAUAUAAUCCAUUAAAUUUCUAUUAAUUUUGUUCCAACUUUAAUAAUAGUAAGAGUAGAUGUAGUAAAUCGAAGAGGAAAGAACAUAUAUUGUUUGAGGUUGACAAGAGACGAACUUGAACUAGGUUUAAACCAAAUUGCUAAUUGAAUAUAAUAGAUUACAAAACCUAAUGUUUCAACAACAACAACAGGAACAUAGCAGUGUGAUUUCAUAAGAUAAAUAGUUGUAAGAAAUAUAACAAUAGGUAACAAAGUUUGUAUUUCAUCAAGCCAAACACCAUACACACACCAACUCGGAAUUCCAACUCAACAAUCUUUCAGAUAUUGUACAAAAAAAAAUAAAAAUUACUACUCCCUCAACUAGGACUCCCAAAUCAACAAUAUUUCAAUAAUUGCACAAAUAAAUUACCAUCAGAUUGUGCAAGAGAUUAAGAAGAUAAAGAGUUACUUCAGUAAAGCAAAUUUAGAAAAGAAAAAGAUAAAGUCACAGAAGAGGAGACAUACCCAAUAUUAUAGUCGAUGAAAAUAGAUUUGGGCGAACUAUUGUGCUUUCUCUAUUUUAGGCGAGCUGCUGUGAUGAGCAACAAACUCCAUGCUUUCCUUGUUUUGAGAAACUACAAUGUUUUUUUUGAGUGCUGGCUGAGAAUAGCGAUUUGCAGAAGAGCUGCUGCUAGGGGACAAUAGAAAAACGAGAUAUGUAUUAAAAACAAAGAGCUUUUGUUUUAUUUUUUAAGAAUUUUAAUUCUUACUUUUGGCGCCUGAUAAGUUUGGUGAAAAUAUAUCUUUAAACUUUAUUUUAAUUUUUUUUUAAUAUAUGUUUGAGCGCACUUUUCUCCCGCUCCCACUCUCAAGUUGUAAUUUGGGACCAGAUACUAAUUUAUUUAGAGACUAGAUUUAGUACCUUCACAAUAAAACAUAGAAUUAGGGAAUAGAAUAUAAUCUCGUCUCUAUACAUGUACUUUUAAGGACAAGAUUAAUAGCUAGUCUCUAAAUGUUGGUCUUAAAUAAAGCUUUUUCUACUAGUGUUGUCACACCCCGAGCCUACACCCUGGAUGUGGCCGGCACUCGAGAAACAUUGUUUGCCCCAAGAAAACCCUUGGUCUGGCUUACUUACUCAGCGGAAAACUUUACUCAAGAUAAAUACUUUUAAAACAAGUAAACUGAACUGCUCAAAAUAUAACUUAGAAUGUAUUAUAAUAACAUUCACUGCCAAAGUGGCAACUCAAGUCUCAACUUAACUGAAAAGGAAAAGAAAAGACUCAUGAACUAACAUCACUGACUCUGUCUAUGAAGCCUCUAAAUAACUGAAAUGGACGUCGAGACAACAUCCAUGGCAUCCUAAUGAACUAAAAUUUUGAAAGAAAUAAAAAGGAUCCUCCGGAAAGUUAUGAGGCUCACCAAUUGACUCUGAGAGCUCAACUGGUUCAACGAGGCACUAGAUGCUGAUCCUAAUUACCUACAUUUGUAUCAUAAUAAGAUGCAGGCCAACUGGAAUCAGUACAUUGAAUGUACGAGUAUGCGAGUUGGAUUGCUAAACACAACAAGGCUUGAAAAGAAUUUGAAAGAAACACUUACCUUGACUUUACUCAACUCUUGAAUAACUUAACUCAAUAUAAAGCAGUAAACAUGUGCAAUAUAUAUAAAGCUUGUAAAAUAGUAGAAAACAACUUAGUUUGUUAAAGAAAAGGCAAUAACAAACUCAAUUUUACUCAUAUAAUAAAGUAAUAUAGUUUCUGUGGGAGUUUCUCUAAUCGACAACCACUACUAUGGGCCUAAGUGGUGAUACAUCGUCUUGCCCACGCUGCCAAAACUGUCCUAUACUUUGUCAUUAUAUAGAAGGCUUAACUAAGUGGAUCCACUAGUCUAUGCUAAAAGCAUCUUAAGGAGUCAUCUAAAAAGUAUGACCCUUUACUACCCAUGAUGGCUACAAGGUUUAUGGAGACGUGAGUUAUCUGAACUCGAGCUCAUCCCUAUAUCGAUGCUCAAUACUAAUCCCAAAACAUACUUACUCAGAUGUUUGUAAAAACAAAACUCUUUCUUUGGUUUGAGAUAAUUACUCAAAAACUUAGCUUAAAAGCUCUCUUGGAAAUCUCAGUUUCCUUUCUUGCUCAAAUGUGAAAACAUUUUUAACUCUUGGGAAUACUUAGUUCCCGAAUAAUCUUUGAAGAAUGAACUUUAAUCUUACUCAUUACUGAAACUAGCUUAAAAGCUUUUUUGGAAAUCUCAAUUUCCUUUCUUGUUUAAAUGUGAAAACAGUUACUCUUUGGGAAUACAUAGUCCCGAUCUACUCUUUUGAAGAAAUGCAGUUCAAAUUUUACUCUUUACUCAACUCAAAACUCAAGUCUUAAAACAAAGUUAAAACGUUUGUAAUAGACUUUUGGAAAACUUUAUGAACUUCUCUUAACUUGACUCUUGACUUUUCUUGACCCGACUCUUAACUUCUCUUGACUUGACUCUUAACUUUCCUUGAAUUGAAUUAUGGAUUCAAGGAUUGUGAUUUGUGAUAGGAAAGAUCUCAUGAUGUUUAGGAAUGAUUUUAGAUAGCUAAACAUGAGAAAUGAUCAAGAAAUCACUUCCUGGAAAUUAGUCCGCGACGUGUAGGUGUAUUUAAAUUUAGUCGCGAAAAUAAAUUUUGAGGCAGAGAGGUUCGUAACCUCGCCGCAACGCGAAGGGAAAAUUACACUUCUGACCUGGUACCCAAUUUCUUCCCGACUUGUUCCUUCUUCGCUUUCUAACCCCAAUUCGCCUAAACUCGAUUCUUUUUAUCAAAUUCCCUUUAGAUUCAGAUACCCAGUAUGUAUACAUAAGAAUCUAACUCAUAUAACUCAAGGAAACAACAUUUUAACCUUAAGGAACUCCUCAAUAUCAACCUAACUCAAGAACGAAGGCCAAUUUCAAGAACACCAUUCAAGAUUCAUCAACUUUCAACUUUCUAGAACAAACUUCGCUGAAAUAAUAUGAUUGGUGCAUGGAUGAAUGAACCCAGCGCUAUGAAAGACUCACAUACCUCAAAGGGAUCACCCCUUGACGAAAUCCACGAGCCUAGCUUCAAGAACUUGACGAUUCCUUGCUCUUUCUCCUCCUUUCUCCUCUUAUUUUCUCUUCUCUCAAAACCCUAACUUGUUUCUCAAAAGCGUAAACUGAAUCCAAUCAGUUUAGACCCCAACUUAAUUACCAAAAAUGAAACUAAUUAAUUGGGUGGUGAAAAGACCAUAAUGCCUUUUUAAAAUCCGGAUUGGACUUUACUUCUUUGAACAACCCAACUUCAAAUGGGCAUAUCUCACGUAUACGAACUCGAAAUCGCGCAAACUUAGCGGCGUUGGAAAGAUUAUUCCAAUAUCUUUCCUAAAAUAUUUGGUAACACAACUAACUCACUUAAGAUAGGAGUUCUGGUCGUUUGAAGUUGACCAAAAAAACUCAAACUUAACUUAACCAAUUUUCCUCAUUUUUUAUUAUUUCCAAAAAUAACUCUUUCUAAUUCCAGAUCUUUCUAGUUCUUUCAAUUUGCGAGAUGUUACAAUAUCUCCUCCUUGGGAAAAUUCUUCCUCAAAUGAGAUUACUCUUAAUAGGCCAAGGGUGUAACAUUUAACAUUCAGCUAAAAUACCUAACAAGCAAUGCAAUUAGACCAUGCUAAUCUUAUAAAUAAAAGCCAAGAAAAGGAUUAGUACCUAAAUUUGGAAUUUCUCCAGAUUCGAAGAGAUGUCGAUAUCUCUUCUUCAUAUCUUCCUCAGCUUCCUCAAGUAGCUUCCUCAACAAACUGGUUCCUCCACAGAACUUUGAUUGAUACUACUUCCUUAGUCCUCAACUUGCGAACAUGGCGAUCUAGAAUCUGAACAGGAAUCUCUUCAUAAGAUAGCUAUCAUUGAUCCCAAUAUCUUCAGUUGGUAUGAUCAAUGAAGGAUCGCCCAUACACUUAUCCAACAUGGAGAUGUGAAAAAAACUAGAUGAACCGUGGCUAACUCUUGUGGUAGCUCCAAUUCAUAAACUACAUUAGCUACCCUUUUGGAUAUUCUGUAAGGGCCAAUAUACUUGGGACUAAGCUUCCCCUUCUUACUAAAUCGCAUAACACCCUUCAUGGGUGAAACUUUCAAGUAUACCCAAUCAUCUACUUCAAACUCUAAGUCCCUUCUCCUAACAUCAGUGUAGGAUUUCUGACGACUCUACGCUGUUUUCAACCUCUCUUGAAUGGCUUCCAUUUUAUCCAUACCUUGAUGAACUAAUUUUGGUCCUAUCAACCCAACUUCACCAACCUCAAACCAUCCAAUAUGAGAUCUGCAUCUUCUCCCAUAAAGAGCUUCAUAAGGAGACAUUUGGAUGCUAGAAUGGUAAAUAUUGUUGUACACAAAUUCAAUUAGAGAUAUGUGAUCAUCCCAAUUACCCUUGAAAUCAAUUACACAAUCUACCUUGAUAUCUCAAAUCACCAUCUCCCCCUUGUUCAAAGCCAUCACUUUUUGCCUAUGAACACUUGCCUUUAAUUCAAGCAAUAAAGGAUCUUGGUCUUGCUUAUCUUUUACUUCUGACACUAAUGAUGAUUCAGCCCUAUUCAUCACCACUACUCCUCCUUAUGUGGAAUCCAUUAGUUGAACUCCUAGUCGUGUAAGUCUAUACACCUCUUUUGCUAACUCUUUCUUAUCUUCCUUAAAAUGGGCGGUACUACCCAUAGAUAACCUGCUCAAGGCAUCAACAACAACAUUAGCCUUACAUGGGUGAUAAAGAAUACUCAUGUCAUAAUCCUUGAGUAAUUCUAACCACCUCCUCUGUUUGAGAUUAAGCUCUUUCUAACUAAACACAUACUGAAGACUCUUGUGAUCGGUGAACACAUCCACAUGAACACCAUAAAGAUAAGGACGCCAUAUUUUCAAAGAAAAUACUACGGCAACCAACUCCAGAUCAUGGGUUGGGUAAUUCUUCUCAUGAACCUUCAACUAUCUAGAGGCAUAAACUAUAAUUUUGCCAUUCUACAUUAGUACAGAAUCCAAACCAACUCUAGAUACAUCAAAAUACACCACAAAACCUUGAGUACCUUCUGGUAAGGUCAAAACUGGGGCAGUAGUCAACCUCUUUUUCAAUUCCCGAAAGCUUUUCUCACAAGCUUAAGACCAUUGAAACUUCACUGUUUUCCGAGUCAACUUGGUCAAAGGAGAUGAAAUAGAUGAAAAUCCCUCGACAAACCUUUUAUAAUAUCCAGCCAACCCCAAGAAACUCCUAAUAUCAGUUGGAGAUGUGGGUCUAGGCCAAUUCUGCACUGCCUCUAUUUUCUUAGUAUCAACUUUAAUUCCCUCUCCAGACAUAAUGUGAUCUAAGAACGCCACAAACUCAAGCCAAAACUCACACUUAGAGAACUUGACAUACAACUCUCUAUAUUUUGGAGUUUGGAGAACUAUUCUGAGAUGACUAGCAUGAUCUUCUUCAUUCCUUGAAUAGAUUAUUAUGUCAUCAAUGAACACGAUAAACAAACAUAUCUAAAAUAAGGCUUGAAUACUCUAUCCAUAAGGUCUAUUGUAACACCCCGAAUCCAAAAACAGACCAAAAAUGCAGAUUUUGAGAAGUUGCAGGUGCAACUUACGGUCACCAUCCAUGGACCGUAGGUCAAACCACGGCCCGUGCUGGUGGUACGUGAUUCACCACUGCAACCACUCCCCAAACUAGCUCAGAAAAUUAUCUAAGUCCUGACUCACGGACAGACCCACGGUCCGUAGAUCAGACCACAGUUCGUGGUCUGUGUCUGUGGAUCGAGACUUCCCUUACCCAGCCUCUGACACAAACUACGGUCGACCAGCAUGGACCGUCAUUCAAUGCACGUUCCGUAGGUCUGACCGUAGAUGAGGGUCAGCAGCCAGUUAGCUGAAAAUUGUUGAUGGAUCAACUUCAGAUGGUCAUAACUUUUAGAACAAAGGAAUUAUGUGUACCAUGACCUAUGAUAUGAUAGAUAAUUGAAUUCCUCUUUUCCAACGUCCACCGAGUUUGCUAAAAUCCGACAUCCAAGUAAAAAGUUAUGCUCAUUUUAGUGAAGCCCUAUCGGGCAGACUCGACCGACGAUUCCAAUCAACGAACCGUCGAUUGAAUGACGGCCCGUUAGUCCCGUCCGUCAGUCACUUCGACAGCAGUUAAGUCAAGGGGUUUUGGUCUUUUCCUAUUUCAUUUAACCCCUAAGGUACGUUGUUUAGACCCUAAAUCAUGAGGUUUUAGUCAGUUUAAGCCUAGAAACAUAACUAGAACUUAUCCAAGUCAAAUCAUUAAUCAAAACUUAGAAAAUUAGAAGCAAGAUUCCAUCAGUUCCAGCCUCGAAAUUGAAAAAUUUCUCCGUGGAAUUCGUCACUAGGUAUGUGGGAUUUCACUAGUGGGCCCUUUCACCCAUUAGGUCCCUAGUUUUCAGUCAGUUUCUUGAUUCCCUUAUUAUGAAUAGACCUAGGGUUUCUAGAAUUCAGUUAUACAUGCCUCAGUUUAUGAAUGCAUCAUUAUCAGAUUAAUUGUUGCAUUCUCAGUUUGCAUGUUCAGUUCGAGCUAUCCAGUAUUUACAGAAAUUCAGUCAUAACCAGUUAACUACUUAAUUUAUUGGGAGUAGCAUAAUACCGAGUUGGACUAGGGUUUCAGCGUACCCAUAUAGUCCCAGAACUACGAGCCACGUAGGUGUAAGUCCCCUCUGUGGGCAACAUCAGUUUAGUGAUCACGCCAGCAUGCCUCUAUACCUCUGGUAGGGUAUAUUGGGUCCUCUCGAUGGGGCGUAUACAUCGGACUCCACAUUUAGCUCAUGUGGUUUUAUGUCGGUUAUUAGUAGCUCCCACAGUUCAGUCAGACUCUAUUGCAUUGACCACAUUUACAGUUCAUUCAGUAUUCAGUAUUUUCAGUAUCUAUAUCAUGUUCAGAUUAUUUCAUUGCUUUAUUGCUUUGUUCAAUUAUAUGUUAUUUCAACUUUACUCUAUCAUGCAUGCUCAAUACCUCUCAAGUGCUGACGCAUACGUGCACUACAUCUUCUCGUGAUGUAGGUUCAGGUUCUCAGCAUCCAGAUCACGCUUAGAUUGAUUCUCGAUCUUCAGUUCAGCAGCAUCAGUGGUGAGUCCUCAUUCUUCGAGGACUAGUGACAUGUUUAUCUUUAUCGCUUUUAGUCUUUAGUUUCAGUUUUGCUAGACCUAGUUGGGGCAUAUCCCAACAUUUCUAGUCAAUUUAGAGGCUUAUUUCAGACAUAGUUAGAUUUAGCUUAGUAUUGAGUUAAUAUCUUCUUUGUAUUAAACACAUGAGUUAUCAUUUAUCUCAGUUAUAGUAUAUGGGUAUUAUCCAUCUUUUCAUUUUAUUUAUGAUUUAGCUUUCGCACAGUUUCUAUUAUUCAGAUUAUAUUUAGUAUGCUCAUGAUCAGGCCAGCAGGAUUAGCUUGGGAUCACUUGUGGUCCUAGGUCCCGUGUUCGCGUCUCGGGGGUAGCUCGGGGCGUGACAUCUAUGAACGCUGCAGGUGCAUUGGUCAAACUAAACGACAUGACUAGAAACUCAUAAUGACCAUAACUGGUCUUGAAUGUUGUCUUUUGAAUAUGACAUUCCCUUACUCAUAACUGAUGGUAGCCAGACCUGAGGUCUAUCUUAGAGAAACAUGUAGCACCCUGAAGCUGAUCGAAAAAAUAUUCAAUUCUCGGAAGAGGAUACUUAUUCAUGAUGGUAACCUUGUUUAACUGAUGGUAAUCUAUACACAUCCUAAGGAACCAUCUUUCUUUCUCACAAAUAGGACCGGAGCGUCCCAAGGUGAAAUACUUGGUCGAAUGAAACCUUUCUCUAAAAGAUCUUUCAAUUGCUCUUUAAGCUCUUUCAACUCUACUAGGGCCAUUCUAUAUGGCAGAAUAGAUAUGGGACGAGUAUCUGGAAGAAUGUCUAUACCGAAGUCUAUUUCUCUCUCAGGAGGGACUCCGGGAAGAUCAUCAGGAAAGACUUCUGGAAACUCUCUUACUACUGAAACUGACUAAAUAAGAGGUAUCUCAACACUAGAGUCAUUAACUCGGACUAAGUGAUAGACACACCCCUUGGAAACUAACUUUCUCGCCUUAAGGUACGAAAUAAAAUGACCCUUAGGCACUGCUGAAUUGCUCUUCAACUCUAUAAUUGGUUCACUGGAACUUGACUACUCGAGUUCUACAAUCUAUUGAUGCAUAACAGGCAUGAAGCUAGUCCAUACCUAGAAUGACAUCAAACUCUACCAUGUCUAACUCAACUAAUCAGCCAUGGUACUCUUGUGAUUGAUAGAAACGGGACAAUCACCAUAGACUCUUUCUGCUAUAAUAAACUCACCAACGGGUGUAGAAACACUGAAGGGCUCAAGAAGUUGCUUAGGAAAAACAUCAAAGUUGAAGACUUGGAUCAUACCAGUGACAACAUUUGGCGAAUCCAUAGACUCUUUCUGCUAUAAUAAACUCACCAACGGGUGUAGAAACACUGAAGGGCUCAAGAAGUUGCUUAGGAAAAACAUCAAAGUUGAAGACUUGGAUCAUACCAGUGACAACAUUUGGCGAAUCCUCUUGCUCUCGGCGACUAGCAAUAGCAUAAAGACAGUUUCCUUCUCCGUCUGCCUUUGAAGUAGCUCAUCUAGAUGCAGCUCUAUCUGGUGGAGCAAAUGAAGAAGACUGGGCUUUAUUACCCCCAUUACCAUUACUCUGUCUGGUCCUAGGACACUCUCUCAUAAAAUGACCAUUCUGGCCACACUUGAAGCAACUAGUGGAGUCAUCACGACACAUCCCUGAGUGGAUCCUACCACACUUAGCACAUGCAAAAGUCUUAGUACCCCCUUGUGCCUUACUACCUUGCGAGUGUGCAAGUCUAGCUCUGAAGUUCUGAGAAUUCUGACUAUUGUACUCACAUUUGUUCCUUGGUGCAGGUGCACUAGCAAAUGAUGGAGCAGGUCCUUUCUGCUUAUGUUGGAAAGAAGACUGGUUCGCACUACCCUUUUGCUGCCCAGAUUCAUUCCCUGGUGUCUUAGCCUUCUUAUUCUCAAACUCUUCUUUAUCCUUUAGCUGGUCCUUCUCAACUUGUUGCACAUGGAUCAUCAGCCUUGCUAUUCCCAUGUCACCUAUUAGCAUGGCUGCCUUACUUUCCUUAUCUGAGAGACGAGACAACCCAACAACGAAUAAACUCAUCCUACUCCUCAUGUCGGCAACUAUCUAUUUGCUUCUCUUAGUUCACGGGGAAAGAAACGCCCCAUGAAAGCACUCUCAAAACAGUCCAACUCACAAUCGGUUACGCGUAAACAUGAGUUAGAAAGAAACUUUUUAGAGAUAAAACUCUAACGCACGAAAUGAGUAUGAAAAAAGUGAAGGAAUUUCCUAAAUAUUGCAGCCUCCUAAUUAUAUAUGUGGCUCACUUCACACCAAUAACUAGGACUCUACAGACACGGCUUCCUAGAUUUCCUAGGACUCUUGAACUCUGUGCUCUGAUACUAAGUUUGUCACCCCCUAGCCUACACCCUGGACGUGGCGGCACUCGAGAACCAUUACUGGCCCCAAAUGAACCCUUGGUCUGACUUACUUACUCAACGGAAGACUUUACUCAAGAUAAAUACUUUUAAAACAAGUAAACUGAACUGCUCAAAAAUAACUUAGAAUGUAUUAUAAUAACAUUCACUACCAAAGUGGCAACUCAAGUCUCAACUUAACUAAAAAGGAAAAGAAAAAACUCACGAACUAACAUCACUGACUCUGUCUAUGAAGCCUCUAAAUAACUGAUUUGGACGUCGGGACAAGACCCACGACAUCCUAAUAAACUAAAAUACUGAAAGCAAUAAAAAGGAUUCUCUGAAAAGGUAGGAGGCUCACCAACUGACUCUGAGUGCUCAACUGGAUCAACGAGGCGCUGGAUACUGAUCCUGAUUACCUGCGUCUGCAUUAUAAUAAGAUAUAGGACAACUGGAAUCAGUACAUUGAAUGUACGAAUAUGCGAGUUGAAUGCUAAACAUAACAUAGGAUUGAAAAGAAUCUGAAAGAAAUACUUACCUUGGCUUUACUCAACUCAUGAAUAAUUUAACUCAAUAUAAAGCAGUAAACAUAUGCAAUAUAUAUAAAGCUUGUAAAACAGUAGAAAACAACUUAGUUCGUUAAAGGAAAUGCAAUAACAAAAUCAACUUUACUCAUAUAAUAAAGUAAUAUCGUUUCUGUGGGAGUUUCUCUAAUCGACAACCACUACUAUGAGCCUAAGUCGUGAUACAUCGUCUUGCCCACGCUGCAAAAUCUGUCCUAUACUUUGCCGUCAUAUAGAACACUUAACUAAGUGGAUCCACUAAUCUAUGCUAAAAGCUUCUUAAGGAGUCAUCUAAAAAGUAUGAUCCUUUACUACCCAUGAUGGCUACAUGAUAUAUGGAGACGUGAGUUAUCUUAACUCAAGCUCGUCCCAAUAUCGGUGCUCAAUACUACUCCCAAAAUAUACUUAGCUCAUAUGUUUGUAAAAACAAAACUCUUUCUUUGGUUUUGAGAUAAUUACUCAAAAACUUAGCUUAAAAGCUCUCUUGGAAAUCUCAGUUUCCUUUCUUGCUCAAAUGUGAAAACAUUUUUAACUCUUGGAAAUACUUAGUUCCCGAAUAAUCUUUGAAGAAUGAACUUUACUCUUACUCUUUACUGAAAACUAGUUCAAAGGCUCUUUUGGAAAUCUUAGUUUACUUUCUUGUUUAAAUGUGAAAAUAUUACUCUUUGGGAAUACAUAGUCCCGAUAUACUCUUUUGAAGAAAUGCACUUCAAACUUUACUCUUUACUCAACUCAAAACUCAAGUCUUAAAACAAAGUUAAAACAGUUGUAAAAGACUUUUGGAAAAUUUUUUGAACUUCUCUUAACUUGACUCUUGACUUCUCUUGACUUGACUCUUAACUUCUCUUGACUUGACUCUUAACUUUCCUUGAAUUGAAUUAUGGAUUCAAGGAUUGUGAUUUGUGAUAGGAAAGAUCUCAUGAUGUUUAGGAAUGAUUUGACAGAGCUAAACAUGAGAAAUGAUCAAGAAAUCACUGCUUGGAAACUAGUCCGCGAUGCGGAGGUGUAUUUAAAUUUUGGUCGCGAAAAUAACUUUUGAGGCAGAGAGGUUCGUGACCUCGCCGCGAUGCGAAGGGAAAAUUAUACUUCUGAGGAACAGGUCCGCGACGCGAACCUGGUACCCAGUUUCUGCCCGACUUGUUCCUUCUUCAUUUUCUAACUCUAAUUUGCCUAAACUCGAUUCUUUUUCUCAAAUUCCCUUUAGUUUCAGAUACCCAAUAUGUAUACACAAGAUUCUAACUGAAACAACUCAAGGAAACAACAUUUUAACCUCAAGGAACUCCUCAAUCUCAACCUAACUCAAGAACGAAGGCCAAUUUCAAGAACACCAUUCAAGAUUCAUCAACUUUCAACUUUCUAGAACAAACUUCGCUGAAAUAACAUGAUUGGCGCGUGGGUCAACGAACUUAAUGCUAUGAAAGACUCACAUACCUCGUAGGGAUCACACCUUGACGAAAUCCACGAGCCUAGCUUCAAGAACUUGACGAUUCCUUGCUCCUUCUCCUAUUCUUUUCUCUUCUCGCAAAACCCUAACUUGUUUCUCAAAAGCGUAAACUGAAUCCAAUCAGUUUAGACCCCAACUUAAUUACCAAAAAUGAAAUUAAUUAAUUGAGUGGUGAAAAGACCAUAAUGCCCUUCUAAAAUCCGGAUUGAUCUUUUCUUCUUUGAACAACCCAACUUCAAAUGGGCAUAUCUCACUCAUAUGAACUCGAAAUCGCGUAAACUCAACGGCGUUGGAAAGAUUAUUCCAAAAUCUUUCCAAAGAUAUCUGGAAAGACACCUAACUCAUCCUGAGGUAGGAGUUAUGGUCAUUUGAAGUUGACCAAAAAACUCAGACCUAACUUAACCAAUUCUCCUGAUAUUUUAUUAUUUCCAAAAAUCACUCUUUCUAAUUCCAGCUCUUUCUAGUUCUUUCAAUUUGCGAGAUGUUACACAUAUUAUUAAUCAACAAAAUAAAUCCAAAAGGUCCAGCCCAAAAUGGGCAUCCACUAGCAAAACAAGAAAAGUAAAAGGAAAGAAAAUCAAACAACCAAAAAAGGAAACAAAUUAGGGCAAAAUAAAUAUAGAAGCUACAAACGCGUUCUUCCCCUUUUCAUCUGGGAAACUGAACGCCUCCUUUGACGAAUUCCAGCUACUGAUCUUCAUUCUCCACACCGACGAAGCAUAGAAAACAUCAGUUACGUAGCUCAACUAUCGGUAUCAGAAAAGACGCUGGGCUAAUUUCAUCAUAGGCGACCUCAAAUCUCUUACACAUGUGUUGUGACAUAUGACCCAACGGGAACAUUCCUUGUCAAUCUCAUUGCCAACCGAAUACUAUGUAGGAGGUAACUUCCAUCCUUUUUGUGUAGAUAAUCAAAUCGGAAAUUCUUAGAACAUUGACGCAAAACUUUUUUAACCAAGCUAUUUACUAUAUCACUUUUGAUAGAAUGAGAUUCUGAAGAUGCUGAUACCACACAUCAAAAGUUGCACAGUGAACAACCAGAUCUAAAAGUUCUGCAAUUUUUCAGGUAAACAUACUAUAUACCUUCUCAAGACCAUUGAAUUAGUCCGGUUCUCAAGCCUUCAAGUAGUUGUAUCUAAAACUAGGGGUUUGUUGUUUAUAUAAGAGAAUCAAUUUUGAACUUCUUGUGGUAGUUGUUGCAAUGAAUUAUAGCUUAUAGCACCCACACAACAAGUAAUAAAAUCGGCAAUUUUAUUGCCUUCUCGUAGUACAUGAUGCACUGUACUAACGCCUUUUGCCCUCCAAAACCUUAUCCUGUCAAUCUUCAUCCUUAACUUCGAAGGAGUAUUCCAUGUACCCUCCACCAUAUUCAACAAAACUAAUGAAUCUGUCUCCAAUCGUACAGGAACAAAAUUGUUCCUCGUGCAAUAGUCAAUCACAUUCCCCAAAUCCACUCUUCUACGUAUAAAUUAGUGUUAACUUCAAUUCUUAUAACAUAGCAUAAAUAAACUCCCCUUCAUCACUUCUCAUGCAAAAACCUAAUGAACUUGGGUCUGGGUUACCUUUAGAGGCCCCAUCCGAAUUGCAUUUAAACCAUCCCUGUAGAGGAAACUCCUACUUAACCAAUCUAAAAUGAAGAACUCGCAUAUAUUCUUCGAAGUACUGCACCAUUUGUGGCCAGUUAAUUGGUAUAUCCUUCAGCCGAGGAUAUGUCACAUUUGCAAGCAUAUGAAGAAUGUGGCUAAUAUCACUUACAACUCAAUUAUUUGUCAUAAAUCCUCCAUUAGUAACCACAUUUCUUCUUCUCAUUAAAUGCCACAAAAUGAUUUAAGGAGCAGAUUGAUACAAUGACAUAAGUUUUUCCCCACAUUCAGCCUUCCACCAUUCUGUAAUAGCCUGAUUGACCUGUAUAAAAGGGCCUAACAACCCUACAGCCAUAGUAAAGUUUCUCCAAAUACUUUGUGCAACUUCACCAGUUAAAAAAAUGUGUGACAGUCUCUUCUUGAAAUUGUCGACAACAUCUACACCUAGACUCCCCAUGAUGCCACAAUGUCAUCUAUUGGUAGCUUUAGAUUCCACAACCUCCAAAUAAAAAAGAAAAUUUUCAUAGGAAGACCUUUUACCCAAAAUUUCUUCCAAAACCAUCUUUUCUGCUUUUUUGGUCUCUGAAUUUCCCUAAAAUUUCCUUUAGUAGAUGGCAUCCACCAUGCUCUAUCUUUGUCUUCCAAGCUCUCUCAUAUCAUGAGAUUCUUUGUCACAUGUUCAGCAAUUUGAUUAGGCAAAUGUUGAUGUAGACUUUCCUAAUUUUAUUUUUCAUUAUCCAUAAAAAAAUUUACCUCCUUGUUUAGAAAAACAUAAUUUCAACCAAGAAGCCCAGAUUAGAUCUGCCCUCUUCCAAGUUGCUUCAAAAGAAUUUUGAAAAAUCUUGUGCAACUCAUUCAAAGCGCAUUUAGUAAGAGCUAAAGUUGAUAAAAGAUAUAUAGGCAUGUUUUGCAACACAUUUCUAAUCAAAACAACUUUGCCACCAAAGGAUAAUAACUUACUCUUUCAGUUCUGCAACUUUCCUUUUACCUUUUUGAUGAUUUCAUUAUAGAAUAUCUUCUCUUUCUUCAAUAAAAUAUUGGGCAGCCUAAAUAUAUGAAUGGGAACACACCUUUUUCCAUUCCUAUGACUAAUCCCACCUGCUGCACCUUUUUCGGGGUGGCCCAGUGGUUUGGGCUUGGGACUUCCAUGUUGGAGGUCUCAAGUUCGAAACCCCUUGCCAGCGAAAGCAAGGGGUUUGCCUUCUGGGUCGAGCUCGUCGCACUGGGCUUGCCUAGUGCGGGUUACCUCUCCUAUGUGGUUUGCGAGCUAUUGCAUAGGAGCGGGGGUUUUAUCAUGUGCGCACCCAAAGGGUAGCGGCUGUGGGUUUUCCUUGUCAUAAAAAAAAUAUCAUGUUAAUUUAGCAUUUAAUUCUAAAUAGAUUUUUUUAAAACAGAGAAAAUACAUUUAUGUUUUGAGAUUGUUUAAAUUUUUUCACUAAACUGAUAAAAAUAACAAAAAUACUUGUUCCUAUAAGUUAUUGUGCAUGAAAAAAGAGAACCAAAAACACAUUUAUAUCAUGCUAAAAAAAUUAUGUUCAUUAAGACAAAUUAUGCAUAUGUAGAACUUCAUGUAAUAGUGAGACAUGCUUCUUAGCUCUAAUUUUUAUGUAUGAGUGAUAAAUAAAAAAUAUUAAUAAAAGAAGUCUUGUGAAAUAAAAAGUAAGCACUUUAAUCUUUGUUGAUCAACUGACCUGAGAUCUCCUCAUAUUUCCUCGGCACUUCCAUAACAAGAUCAAGAGAUACUUUAUCUGUUAAGGUGAAUAUUAUAGUGUCAUCUGCAUAAGUCAAAUGAUUUAGCUUCUCACUCCAUCUUGGUAAGCCAUAUCCCUUAUACAAACUAUUGUCAAACAAGGCAUUCAGUGAUGUGAUCUGGACAACACUUUUGCGGUUAGUAAAGACAGAGUUGGGGAUAAGGGAUCUCCUUGCUUCACUCCCCUAGUAGAGUAAAAAAAAUCCAUGACUUUGCCCAUUAAAAAUAAUAGAGUACCAGGUCUUUGCUAUUAAUCUUCAUACCAUGACAGUAAAAAUCUCACUGAAACCCAUCUUUCUUAGCACAUUAGAUAAAUAUAGUCAGGAUACCCUAUCAUAAAUCAUGGUCAUAUCUAGUUUGAUAACAACAUUAGAAGCUUACCUCUUUUUCUUAUAUCAGUCAAAAUCCCUUGAGUUAGCAACACAUUCUGAAUUAUGCAUCUUCCUUUUUGAAAAUUCAUCUUGAGUAGGAGAUAUGAACUUGGUUAGAAUGUCUUUUAUUCUUCCAUGUACCACUCUAGAGAUGGUCUUAUUAAUCAAAUUUUUUAGGCUUAUAGGCCUUAAUCUGAAAAUGAAUUGACCAACUCCCUUUUACGUAGCAGUACCAGAUUUGUAUGUGUGAUCGACUUGGGCAAGGUAUCACUAUUAAAAAGGCCUUUACUAUCCUAUAAACAUCAUAACCAACAAUGUCCCAACAUGAUUGAAAGAAAUUGACGUUCAAGCCAUCAGGUCCACUUGCACUUGAUCCCUCCAAUUGGAAAAUAGAUUAUUUUUCACCACCUCCAUUAGUGGUAUCAUUAGAAACUUCUCAUUAUCCCCUGAUUUACCAAAUUUGGUAUACAUUCUAAUAAAGAAAAAUCAGAUUCUUCUUCACCUAGUGUAAAUUGAUUUUUAUAACAACUUAUUGCCUCUUCAACCAUUUGAUCCUCUCUUUCAAGCCAUACUCCUUCUGCAUUUUAAAUUCUCUUGAUUUGAAGUCUUUUUCUUCUCCCAUUUACUAGACUAUGAAAAAAUACGCAAAUCAUGUAAUUUCAGCUUUCUGUCUCCAAAACUCCUCUUCAUAGUGAACAUACUUUUUCAUUUCCGCAUGAGCAUGUUGUAGAAUCAUUCUAUUAGCUGUUGUAGGCUCUUCCUCAAAGUUUUGUUCUUUAAUUCUGACUACUUCUUCUCUGAUUAUUAGUUGCUUGAAAAUAUCCCCAAAAGUGUUUCUACUCCACUGAUUCAAUGCAACUUUUAUCUUGUUCACCUUGUGCUUGAAAAUUUAAAAAGGAUGCCCUUCAAAAUCAACGGUCUAAUUGGGCAACUAUAUUUUAAAAUUCAGAAUGUUCUAUCCAAAAAUUUAAAGUUUUUUUAACUGUCUGAUUAUUAUUUGAUUUGUUUGGUCAUCUCUCUUAUUCUCCUUAAGAGAGUGAGCUAUACUCCCUAUGCCACAUCGCUAAAAAUAGUAAAAACUACUUGAAUUUUGUAGUGUUAAGAGUUAAUUACAUCUUAUUUCUAUUCGUUUUCAAAUUAAAAAAAUCCCCAAAAAUAUAAGAAUUUCGAAUAUAUCACUCAACGUCUCGAUACAUCGUGUUCCGGUACAUCGCGUAAAAGUGAUGUAUCCAAGAAUCUAAGAGAGAGUGAGGAAAAUAUGAUUUUUUGUAAUUCUUUCAAAUGGUAGGAAAUUUUAAAGAAUAUGAUAGGAAAUUUAAAAAAAUAUAGUAAAAUAAGAAUUUUGUAAUUGAAAUUAAAUAUUAAAUUCUUGAAAGUUAAAAGAGUAAAGAAAUUGAGACGAAAAAUAUUUAUAGAUUAAUGGGGAGUAAAAAAUACUUAAAAAUUAAAAAUAUGAGAUUAGAUUUUAGAUUAUUAUUUUUUGUUGUUAGUGGGCCCACAACGGUCAAAAAAUUGACAAACAAAUUCUCGAAAAGUUCGUGCCUCCAAUGGAUAUUCCGUUAGUCUUGGACCAGUUCGAUCUGGGCUUCUACUGAUUUGGGCCAAUUUUGGAUCGAUCCGAUCUGAUCCGAUUGACACACUUAGUUUGAAUUAUAUAAAUGACCAUCAAAAGGCAAACUAUUUAACUACAAAACGAAAAAUUAAAAUUACUUAUUUGUGUGAGAGUUCUUGAGUUCUUUCAAGUAUGUUUAAUUUUCAGUUUCUUUAUCUUUUUGGGCCACCAGUUACACUUGUGAAGUAAUCUAUGUGCGACAUGUGAGUUUCUAUGCGCUUUCAUAUGAAAUCAUUUUUUAGUCCUUUACAAAAAAAAAAUUAAUUUUAUGUCCUUUUAUAAAAAUAUCUUCAUUUUUCUAUACAUAAGUGAUCUGAAAAGAAUAUUUUCUUUUAUUCAAAUCCUAAGAAGACAAGAGAUCUCAUUUUGUUGUUUCCUUGUAUGCUUCUACAAACACAUUUUAAGACUUAUAUAUGGGCAGAUUCUAUUUCUUUAAGUCUGUUUUUGUUUGAGCAUUUUAUUUUUUUUAACUAUAUGAAAUUCAUACAGAGAAGUAGUAGAAAUUGCACAGAUUUAAGUUUUAAAAUGUGUUUGUAGAAGCAUACAAGAAAACAACAAAAUGAGACUUCUUGUCUCCUUACGAUUUGAAUAAAAGAAAAUAUUCUUUUUAGAUCACUUAUGUGUAGAAAAAUGAAGAUAUCUUAUAAAAGAACAUAAAACUUAAAAAAAUUGUAAAUGACUAAAAAAUGAUUUCAUAUGAUGAAAGUGCAUAGAAACUCACAGGUCACACAUAGAUUACUUCACAAAUGUAAUUGGUGGCCCAAAAAAGAUAAAGAAACUGAAAAUUAAACAUACUUGAAAGAGGAACUCAAGAACUCUCACACAAAUCAGUAAUUUUAAUUUUUCGUCUUGUUGUUAAAUAUUUUGCCUUUUGAUGGUCAUUUAUAUAAUUCAAACUAAAGGUGUGAAUCGGACGGGAUCAGGUCGAUCCAAAAUUGGCCCAAAUCAGUAGAAGCCCAGAUCAAACUGGUCCACUACUAAAGAAAUAGGAAAAAUUAUCCGUCGAAGGCACGAACUUUUAGAGAAUCUCUUUGUCAAUUUUUUGACCGUUGUGGGGCCCACUAACAGCUAAAAAAAAUCUAAAAUCUAAUCUAAUAUUUUUAACUUUUAAGUUUUUUCCAAAAAAAAAAACCGCCCCAUUAAUCUAUAAAAAAAAUUCCUCUCAAUUUCUUUACUCUUUUAACUUUUAAGAAUUUAAUAUUUAAUUUCAACUUACUCAAAACUAUUUAAUUAUCAUUUCUCUAUGAUAUCAUUUAUUAGUUACUCCAUUACUUAUUUUUAUUGGUUAUUAAUUUAUUAUUUUUCUUAAAGUGCUAUUAAGAUUAUUAUUAUUAUUAUAAUAUUACUUAUAUAACUUAUUACUAUUAGUUAUUAGUUUAUUGUUUCUGUGAAAAUGUUAGCAAGAUUAUUAUUACAGUAUUACUUUUCAGUUAUUACUUAUUAGUUACUCCCUCCAUUUCAUAUUAGUUGAAUUUUUGAGGCAUUUUUCAUUUUUCAAAUUAACUUAAUUGUUCAAUCUUCAAGACUAUUUUUAAAAUAUUCUUCCAAUUUUAUCCUUCAUGUGGAUUUUCAAUGUGAUGAUUUCAAUAAAUUUGAUAAUAAUAAAUAAGGGUAAAAAUGGAAAACUAUGUUCAAUUUAUGUCUUAAUCUACUUUUCUUAAAGGGUGUGAAAUACUUCAAAAAUUCAACUAAUAUGGAAUGGAGGGAGUAUUAUUAUUCAUUAAUACUUAAUACUUAUUGGUUAAUAGUUAUUACUUUAUUAUUAUUAUUUUUAUUUAUUAGGUAACUCCAUGAUCAAAAGGAUCAAGGAUUAAAUAUUAUUAUUAGCUAAUCAAGUGAUAUUAUGUUACCAUUCGAAUCAAGUAUUUAUUCUUUUGCGAAAAUUUGAUAUACUCGUUUCAUUUAUUUCUAUUUUUUUAGUAUUUUAUAUUUAAUUUUAGUUAUUUUAAUUAAACUAGCACAAUGAAUUUGAUGCAAAAAAGCUGAAAAGUUUGUUUGAGGUUGUAACGACCGGGUUCCGUCGUUAUAGAAAAGCCAAUGGGGGAAAAUUUGGGGACGGAAAACCUUUUCAUAGUAUUUGGAUUUUUUCCAACUUAGUCCAGAUUUGGACGAAAUCGGAGUCAUUAAGGUGUAGGGAAAUCUGGCAUUAAUCGGGUGAUUUAUUUAUAAUUUUGAUUACAUGAGGGGAUAGAUAACUCAUUAAGGAAUCCAUACGACUUUACGGAAUUGAAUGCAAGCCACUUUGGCGCUGGGUUUUGUCCCUCUGGCGGGGUAAGGGUCGCCGUGGCGGGCUAGAUGCGACUGAAAGUCGUAAAUAAACCCCUAAACGACUUAUUUUUGCACUUUUCAAUUUUUAAAGCUAAGGAACGAACCCAGGAGACUCUUGAGAGUUUUCCACCAUUCUUGAGGCUAAAGGUAAGAUUUUCACUCCCCGAAUCUGUUUUUCGAUCCGUAGAGCGUAAUAGAAUGGGUAAUUAUCGAUGGGGGAAGGUUUUGAAUUAAAAACCAUGAUGGAAAAAGUCCUAAUUUGGAUACUUGGGAUCAUAGGUAUGAUCUAGGUGCCAAGCCCCAAAAUCUAGGGGCGCAACUGGCUCCUAAUGCCAGAACUCAGGCCCGAGUCGACCCUCCUGAACCAUUUGCUACUAGCGCAUGGCAGCCACACGCAAUCAAGAAAAUAAACAAGUAUAUCUCGGCUUAAAACUAUGACAUCGGCCAGUAAGGCCCCUGUCAACAGAUCUAUAAAAGAAAUAUCUAUUCCCAAGAGUUUAUAUAAAAAAAUAGCCAACUAGCACAGAAGUCCAGAUUGGACCGUCGAGGCCACCACGAUCUCUAUACCAAAACUGAAAGCAGGUAUAUAUCAAGACAAUACAUCAAAUAGCUCACAAGCUUCAGCAAACCAACAAACUAGGCCAGCAUGGUCAUAACGUAGCUAUACACCACACACACUAGUCUGCAAGCCUCUAAGAGUAGAAAAGAUUGGCAGGACAGGGCCCAGCCUACCCAUAAAAAUAUCUGCAACAAAAGCUAACAAACCUCCCAACUCUGGCAACUCCGGAGGAAAGGGGUUAGCCAACCAGAUAGAAGUCAAUCUUGCUGAUGAGGAGGUCUACUGGGUCGUCUGUUGGGACCUGCAUGCAGCACCCUCAGGCAAUAGGGCAUCAGUACAAAAUAAUGUACAGAGUAUGAAAGGCUAUAGACUAAAUGAGCAAGUAUCAUAAUAUACCAAAAGCAAUUAGGUAAGGAAAUCAAUAUUUAGCUAAGCAUGCUAACCCACUACUAGAUCUAAAAAAAUACAAAAAUGAUCAAACAUCAACCUAACCAAGCCCCCAUAAGCUCGGUAGGUACAAACAAUAUACCACCUACCUAGGCUCCCGUAAGCCCAGAAGGUGCCAAAUCAAUCUACAUAACCCUAUCGGUAGCCCCUUGUCUUUGUAAGAAGUCACAUAGCCCUUUUUGGCAAUGAUAUAUCCCCGUAGGCAGCGCAUGACCCUCUUAGGCAACAACAUAGCUCUGUGGGCUGCACAUAACCCUCUUUUGCAUCAACAUAGCCCUGUAGGCAACACAUAGCCCUCUUUGGCGUCAAAAUUGCCUCAUAGGGAACACAUAACACUCUUUGGCAUCAAUACAACCCCAUAGAAAACACAUAGCCCUCUUAGGCAAUAACAUAGUCCUAUUAGACAACAUCAUAGCCCCAUAGGCAGUUCAUAGCUCAACCGCUAACCACAAUAGCCCCAAGGGCGACAACAAACAAUUGAAUAAGCUAAAGGUGAGCAAUUUAGCUAUAUAUAUAUAUAUAUAUAUAUAGUUUCCAAGUCAUUCCUAACUUAGGGUCAUUCUUAACAGAUUAUGAGUCCCUAUAAUAGGGGUUUAUAACCACUCAAUCAGCCAACCACUCACAAUUACAUCUACAAGAUCACCAACAUUAACUACCAUACUAUAUCAUUCCCAAGCUCUAAGGAAAUAUGCCGAACGAAGGGAAUAGCCUUAACAUACCUUUUCCUUUAUAAUCUAUGCUUAAAAUACCUCUGUCCGCACCACUACAACACUAAAUAAAAAGGUAAAAUCAAUUAGUAAUUAAGGAUAAAAAAUACUACGACAAUUCGACAAUCAAUACGGAUUCCUAUCGUAAAUUACUAUCCAAUACCUAAGGUAUCCGUAAACUGCUAAAAAUAUGGUUCAUACCUUUCUUUACACGCCCAUAUCACUUGAAUAAAUCAAAACACUAAAUAAAUGCCUGCUGCCACAACCUCCACGGAUCUACACCGCUCAAUUCACCGUGAAAAUUAUACCAAAACGACGAGCUCGCGACGUAGGGCAAUUUUUUAUAAGGAGCCAAGAAGAGAUCAUGAACAUACAAAGAUGAUUUGAGGAAUAAUUCUCUGAUUUUCGUGGGUUUCUUAUGAGUUGGAAUGAAGAAAAAUGAAGAAGAUGUUAUCUUAUAAGCUUCCACCGACCUAGGGGACCCACCUCACAUGCCUGCUUGCGCAGUCUUGCAAAAAUGUGAAUAUCUCUUUAUUGUGAAAUCUUAGGAACAAACGAUUUGAUGUGUUGUAAACUAGACUCAUAGCCCUUCGAUUCGAUAGGUCGUGGACCCCAUAACUCUUUAUAGAUUGAGAGAAAACCUCUGAGACAUUUGACCCAAAUUUCAGAGAAAUAUUUAAAAAGGAACUUAUGAUAACUUUCGCCAACUUUUAUUUUGCGACUUACCUAACUUCAACACUUAAAAUAUGACAUACCACAACAUUCUUAAUUUAUUACUCACCCUUUUUGUCUUUCCACGAAGGUACGAGUUAAUUUAGAUGUUUCGAAAAGUCGGGGUGUUACAUCCUUACCCCCUUAGAAACAUUCGUCCUCGAAUGAAAAAUCUGAGUCACGUGGUUAAGUCCUUAGGAGUUGGCCAAAAUUUAGGCAAGUAUCCUUUGUAAAUGUGACUAUCCAGGAACCUGAAACACAGAAAUUCUAACUUAGGCAUCUUACAUGACGACAUAAAUAGCUAAGCAUUAUAGCUCUGCAAUAACAGUGCGAGCAAAAUACAACGACAACAACCAUAAUAAUAAGCAAUAAUAUAAAAAUCAGAUAGGUAUCCUAUCUCACUGCACUAAUAUAAACUAAUAUGCCAUCACCUUGGGUAUGAAACAAGUGAGGAUAUUUGGACCUCAUGCCAUCCUCAGCUUCCCAGGUCACCUAUUCUCUAUUCUUGUUUCUCCACAAUACUUUAACUAAAGCCACCUCUUUGGUCCUCAAUUUACGGACCUGUCGAUCUAAUAUGGCAACUUGAGUUUCCUCGUAGGGACAACUCCUUUGUGAUCUGAACAUCCUCAACUGGGACAACCCGGGAAGGGUCUCCUAUGCACUUCCGUAGCAUCGAUACAUGGAAAACUGGAUGACCAGAUUCUAUCCCUGAAGGCAAUUCUAACUCAUAAGCCACUCAUCCUACCCUCCGAAGGAUCUGGUAUGGCCCAAUGAAUUUUGGACUAAGCUUUCCUUUCUUGCCAAAUCUCAUAACACCUUUCAUAGACGAGACUUUAAAGAACACCAGUCAUCGUUAGGCAUCUUACAUGACGACAUAAAUAGCUAAGCAUUAUAGCUCUGCAAUAACAGUGCGAGCAAAAUACAACGACAACAACCAUAAUAAUAAGCAAUAAUAUAAAAAAUCAGAUAGGUAUCCUAUCUCACUGCACUAAUAUAAACUAAUAUGCCAUCACCUUGGGGUAUGAAACAAGUGAGGAUAUUUGGACCUCAUGCCAUCCUCAGCUUCCCAGGUCACCUAUUCUCUAUUCUUGUUUCUCCACAAUACUUUAACUAAAGCCACCUCUUUGGUCCUCAAUUUACGGACCUGUCGAUCUAAUAUGGCAACUUGAGUUUCCUCGUAGGACAACUCCUUUGUGAUCUGAACAUCCUCAACUGGGACAACCCGGGAAGGGUCUCCUAUGCACUUCCGUAGCAUCGAUACAUGGAAAACUGGAUGACCAGAUUCUAUCCCUGAAGGCAAUUCUAACUCAUAAGCCACUCAUCCUACCCUCCGAAGGAUCUGGUAUGGCCCAAUGAAUUUUGGACUAAGCUUUCCUUUCUUGCCAAAUCUCAUAACACCUUUCAUAGACGAGACUUUAAAGAACACCAGUCAUCGACACAAAACUCUAAGUCCCUUCGUCGCACAUCUGAGUAUGACUUCUGUCGGCUUUGAGAUAUUAGCAACCUCUCCCGAAUGAUCUUAACCUGCUCCACUGUCUGUUGUACUAAAUCAGGUCCAAUCAACCCUGACUCACCUACCUCAAACCAUCCAAUGGGGGAUAACAUUUUAGACCAUACAAAACCUCAUAAGGUGCCAUCCCGAUGCUAGAAUGAUAACUAUUAUUGUAUGCGAACACAAUAAGAGGUAAGUGGUCAUCCUAACUUCCAUUAAAGUCCAGCAUGCAUGCCCGUAGCAUGUCCUCAAGUGUUAAAAUGGUGCGUUCAGCUUGGCUAUCUGUCUGAGGGUGAAAGGCGGUACUGAGAUUAACUUGCGUCCCUAAUCCUUUCUGGAAAGACUUCCAAAAGUUAGCAGUAAAUUAUGCUCCUCUAUCCGAGAUAAUAGAUAUUGGGACGCCGUGCAACCAAACAAUCUCUCGGAUGUAAAGCCCUGCAUAAUCUUCAGCUGUGAAAGUAGUCUUGACUAGUAAGAAGUGGGUUGAUUUUGUUAGUCUGUCAACAAUUACCCAAAUAGAGUCAAACUUACGACGUGAUCGAGCUAACCCUAUAAUAAAGUCCAUAUUAAUUGCUUCCCACUUCCAUAAAGGAAUGGCUAUCUUUUGGACUAGCCCAGCGGGCUUUUGGGUUUCAACCUUCACUUGUUGGCAGUUAGGACACUAUGCCACAAACUCAGCAACGUCCUUCUUCAUCUCGUGCCACCAAUAGAUCUCCUUAAUAUCAUGGUACAUUUUCAUCGAACCAGGGUGAAUAGAAUAACGGGAAUGAUGUGCCUCUUCCAUAAUCUAAUGUCGAAGCCCUGCAACAUCCGGAACACACAAUCGAUCGCUAUAUCUGAGGACUCCAUCUCCUUCUAUAUCAAAUGCUAAAUACUGUUAAUCCUGAGCCUUGGCUCUGAGCUGCUCUAAGCUAGGAUCCUCAUGUUGACGUGUUUUUACCUCUACAACUAGAGAUGAUACGGCUGUGUCCUGAAUUGCGACCCCACUAUCAUCUACCUCUAACAAUUUGACUCCCACGCUAGCUAACUGAUGUAGCUCUCGCGCUACCUCACGUUUCUGAACACCUAAAUAGGAUAAACUACCCAUAGAUCUUCGACUGAAGGCAUCGGCUACCACAUUUCGCCUUUUCCUGGAUGAUAUAAAUAUCCACGUAGUAGUCUUUCAGUAACUCAAGCCACCGACGUUGUCGCAGAUUUAACUCCUUUUGUCUAAAGAUAUAUUGAAGGCUCUUAUGAUCUGUGAAGAUGUCAACAUGAACGCCAUACAAAUAGUAUCUCCAGAUCUUUAACGCAUGGACAACUGCAGCCAACUCUAAGUAGUGGUCGGAUAAUUCUUCUGAUGUUUCCUCAGCUGCCUUGAAGCAUAUGCGAUAACCUUACCAUGUUACAUUAGAACACAUCCCAACCCAACACUAGAAGCAUUGCAGUACACCGCAUAGCCCUCUUAACCCUCUAGCAAUGCUAGAACUGGUGCUGAUGUCAACCUGUCAUUCAACUCCUGGAAACUAUGCUCGCAAGCCUCAGUCCAUUGGAACUUAGCUGCUUUUUGAGUCAGCUUCAAUAGUGGUGCUGAAAGUGAAGAAAACUCCUCUACAAACCUUCUGUAUUACCCAGCUAAUCCUAAGAAACUACAAACCUUAGUCGGAGUCAUGGGUCUAGGCUAAGUCUUUACAGCCUCAAUCUUUUGUGUAUCAACCAUAAUGCCUGCAUCUGGUACAAUAUGGCCUAGGAAAGCCACAGAGCUCAACCAGAACUCAUACUUAGAGAACUUUGCGUAAAGUUCCUGCUCUCGAAGAACCUGAAGGACUGCUCGCAAAUGAUCUGCCUGCUCUUUUUUGAAUGCUAAUAGACCAAAAUAACAUCAAUAAAUACAAUCACAAACAUAUCUAGAUACGGAUGAAUAUACUAUUCAUCAGGUCCAUAAAAACUGCCGGGGCAUUGAUCAAUCCAAAAGACAUAACUAAAAACUCAAAAUGCCCAUAUCUAGUUCUAAAAGUUGUCUUCGGAACAUCUUUCUCUUGAACUCGUACCUGAUGGUACCCUGCUCUCAAAUCAACCUUCGAUAAGUACUUAGCACCUUGUAAUUAAUCAAACAAGUCAUCGAUCCUCGGAAGGGGAUAGCUGUUCUUUAUAGUAGCCUUGUUCAGCUGUCGAUAAUCGAUACACAUCCUCAGCGAGCCAUCUUUUUUUCUCACAAAUAAUACUGGUGCACCCCAUGAUGAAACACUGGCCUACUGGCCUGAUAAAUCCUUUAUCAAGCAAAUCUUUCAGCUGAUCAUUCAACUCCUUCAGCUCAGCAGGAGCCAUUUUAUAUGGAGGGAUAGAUAUGUGUUGUGUACCUAGUAGAAUAUCGAUAGAAAAAUCAAUUUCCUAUUCUGGAGGGAUACCAGGAAGCUCGUCUGGAAAUAUAUCUAGAAACUCAUUAACUACCGGAAUAGACUGAAGAGUCGGUGGUUUUGCAUCUAUAUCAUGAACGCGAACAAAAUGAUAAAUACAACCCUUAGUAAUCAUCCUCCUCGCUUUAAGAUAGGAAAUAAACCUACCUUUCUGUGUUGUUGUAUCGCAUUUCCAUUCCAGAAUUGCCUCUCUUAGAAAGUUGACUCUAACAUUUUUUGUCCGACACUUAACAUAAGCAUAACAAGACGCUAACCAGUCCAUACCCAUAAUGACGUCAAAAUCGACCAUCUCUAACUCUACCAGGUCUACAGAGGUCUGACAGUCGAUAAUUUCUACCGUGCAACCUCGAUAGACUCUCCUGCAAUAAUAGACUCAUCAAUUGGUGUAGAUACAAUAAAGGGUUAAUUUAAUGACUCUUUUACUAUACACAACUUCCCCGUAAUAAAUGGGGUAACAUAAGAUAGAGUAGAUCCAGGAUCUAUCAAAGCAUAAACACAAUGAGAGAAAACAAUUAAUGCACCUAUCACAACAUCUGGUGAUGACUCUGAGACCUGUCGGCCGGUUAGUGAAUAUGUACGGUUCUGGCCACUACCAGAACUAGAUGCUUCCUCUCUACCUCCGCAUUUGCCUCUACCUACUGAAGUUUAGGGUCCACGCCCUGUAGGCUGUGCUGAGGAGGAGGAACCUACUACUGACCCGGUCGACUGACCUAUACCACCCUGACCUAUGGUCGGGAAAUUCCUCCACAUAUGCCCCUGCUAUCCACAAGAAUAAAAACCUGUGGAACCAUUCCUGCACUUCCCGAAAUGCAUCCUACCGUAAGUAGCGCAACGCGGUGGUGCUGUCCUAGCCUGGCCUGAACCCCUCUGCUGCUGAGAGCCUGAUGCUUGUGAACCCUCACCUAGGCUUGACUGUCCCUGGAACUACUGUGGUGGAGCUCUAGGUGGCCUACUAGAAUAUUAGGGUCUGGGAGCACCCUAAAAAUCUCCCGGUGAACCAGCAGGCCUAUUCUUUUUUUGUCUCUCUAUUGACCCUCUCACUCAUAUAAUGUAGAUGUCGGCGAUCCUCUAUUACUUGUGCAAAGGCCAGAAUUCGCAAGAUAUCCAUAUUAUCAUUUAGUGCAGCGGUAGAACAAGUGCCGAUAUAGUCUGAGUCAAGCCCUCCCACAAAUCUACGCACCCUAUCGUGCAUCGUAUCAACAAAUGUUGGUGCAUAUCUAGCCAAUGAAUCAAAUCUCAGCAUGUACACUCAGACACUCAUGUUGUUGUUAUACCCCAUUUUAACUCAAAGUCAAAAUGUGUACAACAUAUUGGUGAUUUCCAAAUUAUUCACAAACUUGAGAAGUCGCCACCUAAUUAUUAUGGUGAAUUAGGGCACCUAUAACGAUUAAAGUCUAUCGUCUAAAGUUAACUUCAUUUUAAGGUAUGCUAAACAUGAGAUUCUAGGUAAGAGUUGUAGUUAUCCUAAAGGGAAGGGGUAAGUCAUCUUUUAAGAUUCGUUAAAGACGGUUACCGGUCAAACUUAGGUUAAUUAAUUAAACUAAAAAUUAGUGCUAAAGAAUUUGAAAAAAUCAUAAGUUGGAAAACAUUUUAACAUUAAAAAAAAACUCUUUUAUAUUUUGAAAGAAUUAACUUGCAUUUUUCUUUUUUGAAAACAAUAGAUAAUCACUUGUUAAGAAUGACAAUUGUUUGUACAAAAUUUGAUACCAAAAUGUAUACUAAAGAAAUAUGUUUGUCCAUGAAGUUAAUAUGCAUGCCUUUAAAAAGCAUUGUUUACACCUUGAAAUCGAUAACACAUUCUACACUUGAAAGACUCUUUCGACUUUAAAAAAAAUGACAGAGCUUUUCUAAAACAAAAUCAUUUGUUUAAAGUAACUUUAUUUUAUUCAAAAUUUAUUGCUAAAGAUCUGAAAAUAAUAAUGAUAAAAAUAUUUGUUUUUUGCAGAAGCAUUGUAAGGAAUUAAAAACUCCUUUAAGACAUUUGUUGUCAAAAAAAAAAAAAUCAUUGAAAAGUUUACCGAUGUCAAAAUUUAUUGCUAAAGAUCUGAAAAUAAUAAUGAUAAAAAUAUUUGUUUUUUGCAGAAGCAUUGUAAGGAAUUAAAAACUCCUUUAAGACAUUUGUUGUCAAAAAAAAAAAAUCAAUGAAAAGCUUACCAAUUUUCAACCAAAGAAAAACUUAAAAGCCUAAUGGAGACAUUUGACAUCCUUAAAAGUUCUUUCUUUUUUAUGACCGACACUAAAGACUUGCAAAAACCAAAAAAAAAAACUCUCUGUUAACGAAAAAAUAACCCACGACAAGCAAUCAAGGAGCAACAAAUAUCACAUGACAAAUGCUCACAAAUGUCACUUAAGGUAAAGCGAACAAAAGAUGACUAAAAAUUAUAAAAGAACACUUUUCCAGAUUUCCUUGUUGGAUGAGUUUUGAGGAUGUAAGAGGCACAAAAAUGUGAGAGGAUGUCGUUUUUAAUGUCUAAUGGCGGUGAGAGUCUUUCAUGAAGACUCCAUGUAGCUCCUAUUGCGGGGUAAUGAAUGGACGCUUGCGGUCGCCAAAUCACACUCAAACUCAACUACGCUUAGGUUCGAGAUUUUCGCAAAGAGAGUUGAAUACUUUGAGCUUUUAGAAAAUCAAAUUAAUGCAAAGGAAAACUAAAGUUUCAAGAGAAGAAGUCGUCAUUCGCUGUGCAGGGAUGAAGAAAAUUUAUUAAGAAAAUUUCCGCAAACAAAAAUCGUCUACCCCAAAAUGAUUGAAAGAGCAAGUAUUUUUUCAAAACUUAAAGCUUCUAGGCUUAGCAUUUGGGCGGGAUUUUUUCCAGAAUAGAGUCAAGAGACCCGUUUGAAUUUGAACGUUGCGAUUUGGAUGGGCUUGGUCCUUCAUGUGAUUGACAAGAUUGUAUCACGAAAAUAGGGUAGCUAAACUCGGCUCUAUGAUUAAAGAAUAGUGGAGUUUGUUGAAAAGAGGAAAAGGAUAGAAAGUAGAGGAAGAGGCGGAGGUGAUCUGCUGCUACGCUUGCUACUGUAGGGUUUAAAAAGAAGUUUAGGCUGGUGCUAAAUUUUCUUUGUGGGCUGAUCUGAAAGUUCCGUUGGGCCAUAUUUUGGAGCGGAUUUGGGCUCGUUUUUCUGGCCAAUUUUGGGCUGAAUUGGAAGGUCUUUUCUCUUCUUUCUUUGUAUUAUUUUGGGCUUCUAACUUAAUAAUUAAUACAAUAUAUAUUAUGAUAUGAUAACAACUAAAAAUUUACAUGAUAAAAAUAUCGCUAAUAUAUAUACAAAAUAUUGACUUAUAAUUAACUUAAUAAGUACGAAACUAGAAAUAAGGUGACGACAAUUGAUUAUUUAAGAAAAGAGGUGUAAAAAGUGAUAAUAAUCAUUUCAACAAUAAAACCUAUAAUUUUAGUAGAUAAAUAGUCGUAAUAGUAAAAAUAGUUGUGAAAAAGUUCAUUUGAUACAUUAUUAAUUUAGAAGCUCGAAAAUGAUAAAUUAGAAGAAAGGAGGGUCAAAAUUGGGUGUCAACAACUUGUCCCUCUUUGACCAAAGAUGAUGUAAGAGUUUUUGGGCAAAGAAGUUGACGUAGAAGCCAAUUUUGUCCCGAACAACAAAUACGACCUUAGGAGAGCAUGAGACAAUAUGAGCAUGGGAUAACUGAUGAGGUAGAGGAUUUUGAGAACAACGUAGUCGCAAGCUUACAACAGUUUCCCCAAUAUUGAAUUAUGAUGUUACUAGGUAUUGUGAUCGAGAAGAGUAUUUGGGAGUGGAGUCGAGCAGAGUUCGAGGUGGACCUUUGAUCUUUGUUGGAAAGCUAAACUUUCCCAAAAAAUUGCCCCAGUUCACUGCUUAGAUAAGGUUCCACAUUGCAUUGUGUCCCUUGUUGCUGCAUGUAGAUUGUGCUUUCUGCCAAAUCUUUACAAAAUUGUUAGGAAAUUAUAUAAAGCUUGAAAUAUAUAUAAAAAAAACAUCUUAUGAAAAAUGUCAUAAGAAAGAUGCGUCAUUUCUGAAUUAAUAUUCAAGAUGCGAUUAAUAGAGUAUAUUGCAUUUUCUUGAAUCAUAAAUAAUUGCUUCAGAUUAUGCGGCUGCAAAGUCUCGUUAGUAAAAGAGACAUAUAUAUAUGUAACUUAAUUUUUCAAGAAAUUUAAAAUGCUUGCAGUGCAUAAUAAAAAUAAUUAAGACAUUGCGCAAUAUCUCCUUAGAGACUGCUAAGCUUUCAAGAAAUUUAAAAGAUAGCAUGCAUUGCUCAUAUGUAUAAAAUGAAUAAUUAAGGCAUUACAAGAUGUCUCAUUAGAGACUAAUAUGCUUUUCAAGAAAUUUAAAAGAUAGCAUGCAGUGCAUAUCUAUAUUUAAAAAUAAAUAAAUAAUUAGAGCAUUGCGAGAUGCCUCAUUAGACACAGAUGAGAUUAAAAUGUCUUAUUGGAGGGCAGACUAACCCAACAUGUCCUAUUUGAGGGCAGUUGAACUCGAUAUCUUCUAUUUUAGGGUGAAUGAACCCAAAGUAUCCUAUUUUAGGGUGGAAGGACCCAAUGUAUCCUAUUUUACGGUGGAAGAACCCAAUGUAUCCUAUUUUAGGGUGGAAGAACCCGAUAUAUCCUAUUUUAGGGUGGAAGAACCUGUUAUAUCCUAUUAGAGGGUGGAAGAACCCGAUAUAUCCUAUUUUAGGGUGGAAGAACCUGAUAUAUCUUAUUUUCAGGUGGAAGAACCCGAUAUAUCCUUUUAGAGGGCGGAAGAACCCGAUGUAUCCUAUUAGAGGGUGGAAAAACCCGAUAUAUCCUAUUGGAGGGUGGAAGAACCCGAUGUAUCCUAUUUGAGGGUCGAAGAAUCCAAUAUGUCCUAUUUUAGGGUGGACUAACCCAAUAUAUGGUAUUUGAGGGUGGUAGAACUCGAUAUAUCCUAUUAGAGGGUGGAAAACCCCAACAUAUCCUAUUAGAGGGUGGAAGAACCCGAUAUAUCCUAUUAGAGGGUGGAAAAAGCCAAUAUGCGGUGCAAACUUACAAAUAUAAAUUUUGGUGCAAUGCGAUGAGCUUGGUGCGAUUUCUUUGCGGUAACAAACAUUCAGAAUCUAGUAUGAAGAACUUGUUGCAGUGCCUUUGCAGUAUUGAAUAAUUAAGGUACGGUGCCUAGUGCAAUACUUCGCAAUAAUGCAUAUGUUGCCCAUAACUUAGGAGCUUCAAUUUCAAUGAAAGUUUGCUGCUUAUAAAUUCUGCACUCAAAGAAAAAUUAUGAAUUUCAAAUUUGAUUCUAGUUGAUGUUGCACCAUCUGAAUCUUGCAAAUUUUGUCUUGAUGUUGAGCCUUGUGGUGUUAUCAUUCAAGGAUAACAAAAAUUCAACCUCUACAUUACUCAAAGAAAACUUGUUAGUAUAAAAGAAAAUGGCCUUGCAUUGAACCAUGAAGCUUUUGCUUUGAAUCUGCAUUUCUUGUUGCUAUGGCAUUGAAGCGACUUGAUGAUGUGGAUAUGGCUUGUGAUCUCAACUUCUGCCUUUUCAAAUAAUUAUAGGCCAUCUAUAAAGUUGUCCCAGUCUUUUCUCUUGGGAGAGAAUGGAAUUUUAUUAUGUUGAGAUCGAACCCAGAAUAGGCGCCUACUUAUCCCGCUAUUAACAGGAAUCAGGUCAUACAUAGUUCAUUACAAAAGGGUAGAAAGGAUUGUAAAAGGGUAUAUAUUUCUUAAAAAGGAAAAGUUGCAGAGAUAAUGUCUUUGUUAGUCUUCUUGACUAGUUGCAUGCUUUCUUUUCAACUGCUUUGGUGCCAAUUUCAAUGGAUCACCCUUAACAACAAUUGUGCUUAUGAUAUUGCCAUUACUGGUUGAAGGAUAUAUUUGUAGCUUUAUCUUGCCACUUUCAAUCAUGCUUUGAAUCUUGAAUUUUAUGGCAGGACAACCUUCUGUAUCAUGUCCCUGAAUGUUCGAGUGGUAAGCACAAUUCUUGGUGGAUCAAAGUGUUUAGGUGUAUACUCAGGAAUGAAUCCUUUUCUUGAUUGCAGAUGCCCAUUUGCUCUCAAUCUCUCAAAUAGAUGCAUAUGGCUCAACCAAAGGAGUGAAGGAGAAAUGUUUCACCUUCUUCUGGUGGUCACAAGCUAGAUUGUGUUUGGUGCAACUGUUGUUUGCAAGGAUGGUGGAGACGUGCAUUGCAGUAGUUGGAAGUAGCAUGAGAUUGCAAAAAUUGAUCACUUGGAUAGCAUUGCAGCUGUUCCAUAGUCAUGAAAAUUGGGUUGUUUUCUCUCAUCAGAUUUACAAGUAUUUUCGCUUGGAAGGUUUGUUGGACAACUUUUGUUGCUGAGUUGCUUACAAUUCUUCCUCCUUGAAUAUUAUUUUCUAUAACAUCUCGCACCUAGAAACGACUAUAAAGAGUUUAAAAUAUGAAAAUAUUGAUUUUUGGAAAGAAUAAGGAAAGCUGAAAAUUUUGUCUAAGUUAAGAAAGUGAGUUUUGGCCAUUUUCAAACGGCCAUAACUCCUAGCUCAGGAUGAGUUAGGAGCAGAUCUUGAUAUGGUUGGAAAUCCCUUGUAGAGAUCUUUCCAACGCAGCCAAGUUUGUGCGAUUUUGACAACGUAUGAGUGAGUUAUGCCCUUCAGAAGUUGGGCUGUUGGAUUGAGGAAAGUCCAAAUCUGGAUUUAAGGAAGGGCAAACUAGUCUUUUCUCUAAUUAAUUUCCUAAUUUAUUUUUAGGGGUUUAUUGGGGUAAAAACAGAACUUAAUUCAGUUUUGGAAAUUAGAAUACGCUUAGGGCUUGGAGAAAAGAGAAAAGAAGAAAGGGAGAAAAGCCAAGAUUUCGCCAAGAACGUCAAGCGUUUGGAGUGGAAUUCGUCGGGCACGUCCCCUGUAAAAGUAUGUGAGAUCUUUUCGUGUUGGGUUAGUUCACCCACACACCACUUGUUUCAAUUCAGUGAUUUGGUGUUGUUUACUUGUUAAGAAGUGAAGUUCUUGAAGAACAUUGUUGAAUUCUUGUUGGUUGAUUGUGAUUGCCUAUUGUUGAUUUAACUCGUGUUUUCGGGUUGUUUUUCGAGUUAAAUCUAUUGGGUAUUGAGGGUACUAAUGUGUAACGACCCGAGAGCACCCCCUAGUCGUAACAUGGCGUACUCGACCCCGAAUGGAUCUCAUACAAGCCACAUAGUCAUUCAUUGCAUUCAAUAAUGAAAAUGGUGCAGAAGCAAAAACUAAUUUAAAACCCAAACAUUCAAACUUCAUUAAAACAACUUUAAAAAGACAUAGCGGAAGUCUAAGUCUCACAUGGCCAUCUUAGACACAAUCUCAAAACAUAAUUAGGGACACAACCCCUUACAAUCAAAACAAUAACUAAAAGUGUCCAUUACAUGAACAAAAGAAACUUAAAAGUCUUGUCCUCGAAUCCAUGAGGACAUACUAAGUCUUGGAGGAAGGCAAUCCAACACUUCAAACUAGCUAGGAGGAAUCACUUGCCGGAACCUACACUUGUAGUAAAAAUAUGAAGAAUAUGGAUUAGUACACAGAAAUGUACUAAGUAUGAUGACUAUGCAAAACAUGCCUAAAAAAGGACUUUUUGGUUAGAAACCAUGCAUUAUGCCACUUUUCGAAAUAUCAUGAACAAUUGCAUAAAAGACAUACAAGACAAGCCUAAUCAUCAUAUAAGUCACAAUACCACACUUUAACAAUAUCAACAUGAAAACCUUCACCUUUACCUUGGACCUUCACCUCAAGCAACCCUUAUGCUAUACCUUGUGCAAUGGAUGGAUAGCGUCCCAUACCACCAUCCAUACUAGUACCACAUUUAGGUCACCUAAAGUAAACUCAUCAUUCCUUUCUUUUCACCUUUGCACAAUAUUCAUACAAAAGCGAUAUAUCAUUUAAUAAGGUAUAACAAGGGAAAAUAAUUCAUAAUAUAACCCAAGUAUAGCAUGCAUAACAAAUUAAGCAUUUGAGAGCCAACAUUCUUUAAUAACCUUAUCUAGGGCACAUUCAUGUCACAGUCAUUAGGAUUUAGAGAAACUCACUAUGACCCUCUCCAAGCCUACUCGUGCAAUGUAUAGGUAGCAUCCCAUACUACUACCUACACUUCGUAGAACCUGUCAAGAAACCAUAAUGAAAUCUCACAUGAUGGGAAGUAAGCAUUAACCGACAUAGACCAUGAGAGCUUGUCAUGGAAUCCGGUGUCAUAAGUCCCCACACCGUAAAGAGGUGGUCUACUUGCCUAAGGAAGACCGGUAUAUAGCUUAAUGGAUCCACUAGCUACCUAUGCGGGCACAUAGUUUAUGGGAUAAGGUAGACGAUCAUUGAAACUCAUGCCUAACCAUUGGGGGAGUUUCCAUCUAACCAAAUCCGCUCGGUGCUUAGCCUACAUUCCCAUAGAAUAGUUCAUUACUUUGACAUCAUCACACAUGAAAGGGUGCCAUAAGCCUACCGAUUCAAGGUACAUUUAGGAAAGCUCAUUAACUCCACUUGAAAGGGUGCCAUGGGCCUGCCGAUUCAAGUCUCAUCAUUAACCUUUAUGGAAAGGUGCCAUAGGCCUACCGAAUCCAAGGUUCAUUACUUAUCAUUAAUGGAAGGGUGCCAUUAGCCUACCGAUCCAAGGAUUCAACAAUCAACAAUAUAAUCAUUUAUACAAGAAAAGGAUGCACAAGUUCUACCAAUUCGAGACAUACAAUAUAUAUUGAAGAAUCUUUCAUAUCCUAUCAUCAACAUUCAUGAGUGUCAAAUUGAGAAAAAACCUUUCAAUAAUAACACAUUUAUAGUCAUAACAUGAUCUCAUUAGCUCCAUUGAAUUCCCAUUCAUACAAUGUCAUGAUAACACUUCAAUUUCUCAUACUAUGCCUUCAAGGACAUGGUCACAAUGUACAUAACAAGUAAACACCUCCACCUUUCAAGUGGAUCAACCUCAAGUUAACAAUUCUAAUUCAACAAGUAGCUUCUCAUAUCUUUUCCUUCAAGGCCAUAAACUUCACAUACCAAUAUACCAACAAUACACCAUAAGGUAAGCAUGGUAAUGACAUACUUCAACAAUCUAAAGCCAUUUAAACAAGUUCUAUUCAUAUACCCCCACUUCAUAAAGGCACAAACUAGGAAUAGAGAGAAAUUAUGGGUUCAUAGAGUAUUUUCAUCUUAAAUCACCAAUACAACAACAAUAUAACAACAAGAUGCCAUUAGAAGCCUUUUAAAACCAUUUGGUGAAAGAACCCAUGAGAUUGAGUAAAACCCUAGGUUUUCAUAAACUUGAAAUCUUUAAAAGUUUACUUUUAAGUUGACUCUAGGGUGAAAGCUAACCCUAGAUGAAUGGUCACCAUACCUUUGUUAAGACUUCCUAAGAAAUUUAAUGAAGAAAUCCUUGAAUCCAAAACCCUAGCUCCCACUCCUUCUUCUACCUUGAGUUAGAGAGAAAUAUAGAGAGAGAGAACUUUGGGAUUUGAUUUGGGGAAAAAUAAUAAGUGAGUGACUUGUUUAAAAAACUUAAAACCUUAUAUAAUUAUCAUGUAAAUCAUUUAAAACAACCCCACAUAAUAAAACAAUUAAAAUGAAAUUACCAAAAACCCCCAACUUGAGGCUACCCGUCAGGGACCACGCCCAUCUAAACGGGUCGUGAGGGGCACCACGGCUCGUUGUGGUGCCCGUGAUCCUUGAGGUAGUGUGCCUCCCAUCCUUGCCAAGCCCUCCAAGACCAAGACAAGUCCACGGAAGCUCCCACGAUCCGUGGUUCACACCACGAGUCGUGGUGAAGCUCGUGGUCAUGGGGCAGCGCCUAGGCAAAGUUGCCUUGCCUCCCUUGAGCCUAAGUGAACUCCAAGUUCGCUUUCACGGACCGUCUAGGGCACUACGGCUCGUGGUGGUGCCCGUGAACUAAGGGACAGUAUCUCCCUCAACUUGCAACAUCUCCCACCAAGUUAAGGCAAACCCUACGAUCCUUCCCACGGCCCGUGGUCAUUACCACGAGUCGUGAAGUGGCUCGUGAAGGGGUGCCUUGGCUUGGCACCAAACUUGAGCAUGCUGCCUUGUCACCACGGGUCAUGAAGACCCUCGUGGUCUAGGGAGGCAGUAGUUAGGACUAGUUUUAGGUAGCCUAGGUUCCCAAACCAUGGCCUACACCUAAAACCCUUAGCACUUGCCCUUAACUCAUGACAUUAACCCCACAGUAAGGCUCUAGUUUAACCUAUCAUUUUCCGAGUCUUUACAUAAUGGUCCUAAGUGUUUGGGGAAAGAACCAUAGAAGUUUAGAGGGUUUUACAGAUGAAAAACGAAGGAGAAAAAUUGGAGUUUGCUGGGCAAGGGGUUGGGGCGCCGCGCCUCUCAGAGCGGUCCACUUCAGAGUCUGAAGUUUGGCCUCUGAGGCGACGCGCCAGCUAGAGCGCCACAACUUCACCUCUGAAGUUUGUGCUCUAGCACCCCACGCCUCUCAGAGCGCCAAGGACACCAGUGCACCCCAUCCCUCCCCCAUCUUUUCGUACUUGUUCCUAAGCGAUGUACCUAUGUUUUCUAAGUUGAUUCCAACACUCUAAGGUACAUUUAAAUAUAAUGAAAUCAUCCAUAAACAUGAGAUCAUGAACCUUGAAUCCAUAAUCCAAUUCAAAGGAAAGUUAAGAUCAAAGUCAAAGAAGUUAAGAGUCAAGUCUAGAAGUUAAGAAGCAAGUCAAAGAAAAGUUUCUUAAAGUUUUCAAAGAGUCUUUAACAAUGUUUUAAAUUCAUUUUAAGACUCAAGUUUUCAAGUUAAGGAAAGAGUAAAGAGUGGAGUUCAUUCCUCCAAAAAGCUAUUAGGGAACUAAGUAUUCCCAAAGAAGUUUAUAAAUAUUUUCACAUUGAGCAAGAAAGGGGAACAUCGAUUUCAAGAGAGCUUUUAAGCUAAGUUUUGAGCAAUUACCUCAAUUCAAAGAAAGAGUUUUGUUUUUACAAACAUACGAGUUAAGUAUAUUUUUGGAGUAGUAUUGAGCACCGAUACGCGGAUGCGAGUUCAUAUUAGCUCAAGUCUCCAUAAACCAUGUAGUCAUCAUGGGUAGUAAAGGAUCAUACUUUUAGAUGACACCUUAAGAUGCUUUUAGCAUAGACUAGUGGAUCCACUAAGUUAAACGUUCUAUAUGACGGCAAAGUAUAGGAAAGUUCUGGCAGCGUGGGCAAGACGUUAUAUCACCACUUAGGCUCAUAGUGGUGGUUGUCGGUUAGAUAGUCUCCCACAAAAGUUAUAUUACUUUAUAUAUAUAUAUAUNNNNNNAUUCCUUCUUACUCUUUUCAAGAUUAAGUUGUUGUUUAGCAUUCCAACUCGCAUACUCGUACAUUCAAUGUACUGAUGCCAGUUGGCUUGCAUCGUCUUAUGAUGCAGACGCAGGUAACCAGGAUUAGCAUCCAGCACCUCGUUGAUCCAGUUGAACACUCAGAGUCAGUGGUGAGCCUCUUUGCAUUCCAGAGGACUCUUUUAUUCGCUUUCUAGUUUAGUUUAUUAGGAUGCUGAGGGGUUUUGUCUCAACAUCCAUCUCAGUUGUUUAGAGGCUUCAUAGACAGUUAGUAGUUCAAUUGUCUUUACAUUAUCAUUCAGAUGUUGUUUGAAGACUGAGUUGUCAUUUUGGCUAAACUAUUAUUUCUUAAGUUGUGUAUGAGUUAUAUUUUCUUAUGUUUAAGUCUUCCGCUGAGUUAAGUAAGCUAGGACAAGGGUUCGCUUGAGGCCAGCAAUGGCCUUCGAGUGCCAGCCACGUCCAGGAUGUAGGCUCGGGUCGUGACAUUUUCAAUCUCUUUGCCAACCUUAAUCAAAUAAGAGAAGUUGUGUGCACAAGUUCCAAGCAGCUUUUCAUAAUAUAGCCCUUCUUGAACAUGGAUGAAGGUUGAGAUGAAUUCCUCUUCGGAUAAUGAAGGAUGCAUUUUUGAAGCUUCUAACCUCCAUCGUAUGGCAUAUUCUUGAAAAGAUUCAUGCGACAAUUUCUUCAGUUUGAGUAAAUUGGCUAUAUGCAAUUCAUCUCCAUUAUUGAACUCAUAUUGCUUUACACAGUUACGGGCCAUAUCUUUCCAUGUAUGCCAUUUGCUAAAAUCUUGCUUAGUGUACCAAGCAACUGCCAAUCCUGAUAAACUUUGAAUGAAUAAUCUCAUUCGUAUGGCUUCAACAUGCCCAAUACUAGCUAAUCUGCUGCAAUAGUCCUUUAAGUGAGCGACGGGAUUUCCUUUCCCGUUGUAAGUGUUGAGCUUAGGUAGCGUGUACCUUGGUGGAAGUUCAACAUUUGGAUGCACACAUAAAUUCUCAUACUUUAAACUCUGACAAUUCCUUGAGCGUAACUAUUCAUCAAAGGCUUCUCUCAGAUUGUGGAGUUCUUUUCCCAAAUCUUCAUGGAAAAUUGACUGAUUAUCCUUCUCACGUCUAGAAUAUAGAUGAGCUGCUAAUUGGUUAUGCUUGUUUUCUUUGCAGGGAAAUAAAAUUGUGGGAGGAUGGAUAUUUGGCGUCAUAGUGACUUGAAAGUUAUUGGGAUUGAUAGUGUAUAUUGAGGGCAUUUGUGGAGAGAUUAUAUAGGUAGAAGUUAGGCGAGGAGAUAUGGUUAAACAAAUAUUCUGAGUUGAGCUGGAAGCUUUAGUAGUGAUAGGAAGAAGGCUAAAUGUAGUUUCCAAAUUGAUCAAAUUGUUUCUUCGAGCCACAUUCUUCUCACAAUCAUCAUUUUGUUCUUGCACAAAUAUCAUGCCAUUGUUGAAUGCUUUCAAUUUCUCUGCCAUUAUAAUUUCGUCCUUAAUGCAGAUUCGCCGCCAAAAUAGAGUUCAAUGUUAGGCAACCUCUAAAGAAGAAACAAAACUAUAAAAACAAAAAUAAAUUAUUAGUGCAUGAGAAUAUAUGAAAUAAAUGCAUAAAUAAUAAAUAUUAGAUAAAAUAGACUAUGCAUGUGAUUUUGUAAAAUAAGAAUUUUAGACUGGAGGCAAAGAUUUAAGUCUAAGGCGAGUGGACGAGAGAGACGUAUUGGCUAAUAGGCUCUAACGCUAAAAUGGAAGGAAAGAGAAUUUGAUUUGGAGAAAGGUUUACAUAUGUCGAGCAUCAAAUUCUUUCUUCAACUUGAUCCCUAUCCUUUGCAAAUUUUGGCAUGCUUCCAAAAAUUAUCUCAAUUGCAUGUCAAAAAUUAUGCCCCAGCUUCAUUCCCCUUCUCAUAGAAAUACUAAAAUUUUAUAAUAAACCGAUCGGGCCUUAUAUAGGCUGCCUACGUAUCCACCAAGGAAAUCAGGUCGAACGUAGUUCCAAUUACAAGAAAGAGAUACACUAAAAUUUCUAAAUAAAUAUGACCGAGUCCUUAUAUGGGUUGCCUACGUAUCCACCAAGGAAAUCAGGUCAAGCGUAGUUUGCCUUACAUAAAAAGAAAUUUAAAACAUACAAAUAAUUGAUCAUUUAGGCUCUCAAAAAUACAUAAUUGUUUUCAAAAGAUGAUACACAAAAACUAAUUGUCUUGCUUUAUGCCUCUUAAAAGUCAUUUUUUGAGAAAGCCCUCAUACGCCUAAUGGUUGUUCUGAAUGAAACCAUUCUUGGUACUUCGCUCGGCUAUAUCAUAAGUGCAUGCAGUAGAUACCUGAAACGGUAAAUUUGGUGCAAUAAUCCUUGGUACAACAGUUGCUUGACUGUGAGAAGGAAUUUGACUGAUAGAUUGUGGAUAAAUCGCUCAAUUAUGACUUGACAUCGGCAUGACGGUCGAGAGUUGAUGCCAAACAAACUUAGGGUGAGCUACCCGUCGUUGAAUGAUCGUGCCACUAUCCAAUAGACUUUGGAUCUCUUCUUUUAAUCACCGGCACUCAUCAGUAGUGUGACCUAACAUGCCUGGAAAGCACCUUGUUUGGCUGGGUUAAAAGGAUGCAAAGGAAUUUCACGAGGCUUUGGUUGCAAAAUUCCUAAUGAUCUCAACUUUUCGAAUAUAAAUGAAAUUAGUUCACUCAAAGGGAUGAAAGUUUGAGCUUUUCUCGCUUCAGGCACUAGUGGAGAAACAUUUGGUGCUUCAGUGACAAUUGUCUUCCCUUUAUCCCUAGAUUGUAGCUCAUUCGAACAAUAAUGCCCCAAAGUUUAUUUUGCUACUUUGUUUUGAGAUUCAUGUCCUUUCAUUCCCUCAGGAGACUCUAUAGACUUCCUUUUCAACAAACCACACCCUUUAGAUGCGCUAUUAGGAGGCCUAUAUUGCUUAAUAAAAUCUUUGGUCAAAUCGACCCAAGAGAGCCAUUUCCUUGUGUCUUGGUUUGCAUACCACAUCAAGGCUGGCCCUGUAAGCGUCCUAAUAAAAAGUAUAAUAUUAAACUCAUUGCCUUUCCCUAUGCUUGCUAACCAAUCAAGAUAUGCCUUUAUAUGGUUCUGGGGAAGACCUGUCCUAUCAUACAUUAGAAUAUCAACAAGGUUAUAAUGUGUGUCGUUCUCAUUUUCCUUCUCAACCAAAUUUGUCCCAAGUUGUGGAGCAAGCUCAUUUGUGAAGAAAAUUUGGUUAGACUCGGCAUUAAAAUGUCUUUGAUCAUUUUCUCCAUCUUUGCUAGUUUCACUUGAAUCGUCAAAUGCCUCAUUUUGUGGAAGUGGAUGCAUGUCUAAAAAGUGUUGAGUAUUACAAUCAAAGUUGGGAUAUCCAGUUGCACGAAUAGGAGAGUAUCCCUCUAGAUCUUCAUCGGAGGAGUCCCUAAAGUUGUAAUCCAAUGAAUUUUCAUUGGAAGAGUUCUUAAGAUCGGCUAUCAUUUCCUUGAUGCCAUCAAUUUCUUGUUCCAUUUUUGCCACUUUUCCCUCAAGCUUAGCAAUUUUAUCCCGCUAUGACUCGGCUUCUUCACAGUUAAACUCGUCUUUAACUAAGUCAAUCACAAUUCGAUCGGCCAUGUUUUCCUUGAGUUUGUUUGUCCCUUUGAUAUUCAACUUAAGUCAACCUUUGAAAGGAAAAAUGAAAUAUUUGGUAAGCGUGGAGUAAGUAUGCGAAAGGUCAAGAGUAGGGCCGCUUGAUCACUCCAUCUACUUUUAAAGUAUACGACUUAGCCAUUCAUUGCGUCUUGAGCCACACCGUCCUCUAGCCCUGCCGAGCAUUUAAAAACCAACGAGAUCUGGUCCUAUAAGGAAUACUAUUUAAGAAAAUAAACAAAUAAUAAUAAACCAAUUUGAUGGAAAAAACUCGAGAUUAAGGAAAUUAUGGUUAAUCGAGCACACGAGAGAUGGAAUUGGAAGGUUGAAUGACCUUAAACUCUAUUUUAGUAUUUGGGGAUUAAAAAUUGUCAAGGAUGAAGAAAAUGUCAAACAAAUGAAAAACCUUUGACAUUUCUCUCGACUUGCGUGCCGAUACUUGGAAUUAGUGCGUAAAAAUAAAUAUUGACAACCCCUAAUAAAAAUAGCACGGCUAUUUUGAAUUGAAGAAGUGUUGCUCUUGAUGGAGAAAAUUGAACAAAUAUCAACAAGUGCUAUUUGGUAGAUCGCGCGAAUCUACCAAUUUAAGAAGCAACAAAUAUGUGAAAAAUGAAAGAAAUUGAAAGUAAAAGUAAAAGCUCCAUACGUAGAUCGAAUGCCAAAUGGAUUCUACGAAAUGCGGAACUAGUGAAAAAAAAGGCUUUUCUCGAUAGAAAGCUAAGAUUGUACCCGUAAAGGAGGGACUUGAAAAAGGUCGAGAAGGUAAAGAUUUAUAAGAGUGAAUUUUGGCAUGGCUCUAUAAAGUUUUAACGGGAAAAAAAUAUCACACCUAAUGAAUGAUAAACAAUUAUGCCAAUUUUUUAAAAAGUAAGAAGAAAAUUUUUAAAGCAAGUCGCGGAUACGAAUAUUGAGAGGAUCGGAGGAAGGAAAAUAGUUUUUAAAUUUUAAAGCAAGAAAGUGAUUUUUUUUGUAAGAUAUAAACCUAAGAAAAUUUUAAAACAAGGUCAAUAAAAAAAAUUACGCAAUCCUAUGAUGAUUAUGAGCCUAAUUGAUGCUUUAGAAUUGUAAAAAUGCACUAAGCACGAAAGAUAAAUAUAAAAAGAAAAGAUAUAUGAACAUGACAUAAGAAUUUGUAAAAAUGCAACAUGUAUCAAUUAAAGAAUAAGAUGAAGGCAAGAUAAUUUCUCUUCUGAAAAGAUAAGAAAAAAAAAACAAAGAUGAUGUUAGUAAUAAUAAAUUAAAAUCAUGGUGCAAAUGAAUUCAUAUAAGUCACAAAACAAUUAGGCAAGCAAAUAUUUAUAAAGCAUGUAACACAAAUAUAUCAAAUAAUGCGUCCUAACAUAUGGGUGGCCUCUUUAUGCCAGAGGUAGGCCUAACGCGUAUUUGAAAAAUAAAUGUGCCAAAAUAUGUCAUUCCAUUGCUCUUUAAUUAAUUAAACGAAUCUAUUCCCAAAAUUAGAUACAAAAAUAGCCUUAAGCUUUAUUACAUAUCAAGAAAAUUAAAAAUAAAGCUCUAUGUCGCUUCUACGCAUCUUCGUCUUAUGACAUGCUUGUGGUUUAAUCUCCACAGGCCAAAAAUUGACUUCAUAGUCAUCUGCAUCACAAAAGGGUUAGUAAUAUCCUCCCUCCUAAAGUUUAAUUAAUUUAGAACAAAUGGUCCAUAUUUUGGCACAACUAUUAUUCAAAUGAUGUACACAUAAAUGAUACGAGUCACUCGGGGUCGUGAACCCACUUCGACAGUUUGAUAAAGUUGACUAAUGAACUUAAUACACCAAGGAUAUUAAGCCUCUUAGGUUUAUAUGAUGCAUGUACCGCAAAAGGUAUUGAUUUAGCUCUAUCCUGGGUUGAUUAAGAGUGGGUUUACUAGACACAACGCUCCCGAGUGGACAACUCGAGUGAGAAGGCUACGCGUUCACACAGAAAAAGAUCCGGACACCCCGCGCAUAUGCCAACUCUCCUAAAUUUUGGAAUUUUGAAAGAAAUUUGAGGGUGCGCAAAACACACCUCGCGUGUACGUGUGAUAGUGUGAGUUUUCCAUAAUUUGAGGAAUUAUGAACGGAAUAACAGUUUAUAUGAAGCAGUAACAAGUAAACAAUUUAUAUAAAACAGUAACAAAUAAGCAGUUUAUAUCACAUAAACAUGAUAAGUAAAGCAUUUAGACAUUUAAAAUAAAUAAAAAACAACAAAAUUGAAACAAGUAAAAGUUAAAAACUUAAUUAUUAACCAAGGUUUGUCAUGGUUUAGAACCUAAAGUUCCCAGUAAAGUCGCCAAGCUGUUAUACCACAUUUUAACUCAAGGUCAAAAUGUGUACAACAUAUUGGUGAUUUCCAAAUUAUUCACAAACUUGAGAAGUCGCCACCUAAUUAUUAUGGUGAAUUAGGGCACCUAUAACGAUUAAAGUCUAUCGUCUAAAGUUAACUUCAUUUUAAGGUAUGCUAAACAUGAGAUUCUAGGUAAGAGUUGUAGUUAUCCUAAAGGGAAGGGGUAAGUCAUCUUUUAAGAUUCGUUAAAGACGGUUACCGGUCAAACUUAGGUUAAUUAAUUAAACUAAAAAUUAGUGCUAAAGAAUUUGAAAAAAUCAUAAGUUGGAAAACAUUUUAACAUUAAAAAAAAACUCUUUAAUAUUUUGAAAGAAUUAACUUGCAUUUCUUUUUUGAAAACAAUAGAUAAUCACUUGUUAAGAAUGACAGUUGUUUGUACAAAACUUGGUACCAAAAUGUAUACUAAAGAAAUAUGUAUGUACAUGAAGUUAAUCUGCAUGCCUUUAAAAAGCAUUGUUUACACCUUGAAAUCGAUAACAUAUUCUACACUUGAAAGACUCUUUCGAAUUUAAAAAAAACGGCAAAGCUUUAGUAAAACAAAAUCAUUUGUUUAAAGUAACUUUUUUUUAUCCAAAAUUUAUUGCUAAAGAUCUGAAAAUAAUAAUGAUAAAAAUAUUUGUUUUUCGCAGAAACAUUCUAAGGACUUAAAAACUCCUUUAAGACAUUUGUUGUCAAAAAAAAAUGGGAUAAAGGUCUGAAUAAUACCUCAACUUUGGUCGGAUUUGCUGUUGCGAUACUAAACUUUCAUGAGUAUCUAUUACCUCCCUAGACAAUUUAAUACCGUAUUUUAAACAUAUAUAUUUGCCCACAUGGACAUAAAAAAUAAUGUAAAAUUAUAAAUAGUAAUGUAUCCACGUGGGCACAUAUAUACCUUUAAAAUAACUAUUAAAUAGUUCAGGGGGUAAAAAAUACAGUAUUAAAUAGUCUAGGGAGGUAAUAGGUCCUUAUGAAAGUUUAGUAGCGCAAGAGCAAAUCCUACCAAAGUUGGGAUAUUUUUUAGACCCUUAUCCCAAAAAAAAAUCAAUGGAAAGCUUACCAAUUUUCAAACAAAGAAAAACUUAAAAGCCUAAUGGGGACAUUUGACAUCCUUAAAAGUUCUUUCUUUUUUAUGACCGACAUUAAAGACUUGCAAAAACUUUUUUAAAAAAACUCUCUGUUAACUAAAAAAUAACCCACGACAAGCAAUCAAGGAGCAACAAAUAUCACGUGACAAAUGCUCACAAAUGUCACUUAAGGAAAAGCGUAACAAAAGAUGACUAAAAAUUAUAAAAGAACAUUUUUCCAAAUUUCCUUGCUGGAUGAGUUUUGAGGAUGUGAGAGGCACAAAAAUAAGAGAGUAUGCCAUUUUUAAUGUCUAAUGGCAGCAAGAGACUAUACGGCGGUGAGAGUCUUUCACGAAGACUCCAUUUAGCUCCUAUUGUGAGGUAAUGAACGGAGGCUUGCGGUCUCCAAAUCACACUCAAACUCAACUACGCUUAGGUUUGAGAUUUUCGCAAAGAGAGUUGAAUACUUUGAGCUUUUAGAAAAUCAAACUAAUGCAAAGGAAAACUAAAGUUUCAAGAGAAGAAGUCGUCAUUCGAUGUGUAGGGAUGAAGAAAAUUUAUUAAGGAAAUCUCAGCAAACAAAAAUCGGCUUCCCCAAAAUGAAUGAAAGAGCAAGUAUUUAUUCAAAACUUAAAGCUUCUAGGCUUAGCAUUUGGGCAGGAUUUUUUCCAAAAUCAAGUCAAAACCCAUUUGAAUUUGAACAUUGCGAUUUGGAUGGGCUUGGUCCUUCACGUGAUUGACAAGAUUAUGUCACGAAAAUAGGGUAGCUAAACUCUGCUCUAUGAUUAAAGAAUAGUGGAGUUUGUUGAAAAGAGGAAAAAGACAGAAAGUAGAGGAAGAGGCGUAGGUGAUCUGAUGUUGCGCCUGCAGUUGUAGGGUUUAAAAAGAAGUUUGGGCUGGUGUUAAAUUUUCUUUGUGGGCUGAUCUGAAAGUUCCAUUGUGCCAUAUUUUGGAGCGGAUUUGGGCUCGUUUUGCUGGCCAAUUUUGGGUUGAAUUUGAAGGUCUUUUCUCUUCUUUCUUUGUAUUAUGUUGGGCUUCUAACUUAAUAAUUAAUACAAUAUAUAUUUUGAUAUGAUAACAACUAGAAAUUUACAUGAUAAAAAUAUCGCUAAUAUAUAUACAAAAUAUAUGACUUAUAAUUAAUUUAAUAAAUACGAAAUUAGAAAUAAGAUGACGACAAUUGAUUAUUUAAGAAAAGAGGUGUAAAAAGUGAUAAUAAUCAUUUCAAUAAUAAAACCUAUAAUUUUAGUAGAUAAAUAGUCGUAAUAGUAAAAAUAGUUGUGAAAAAAGAUAAUUUGAUACAUUAUUAAUUUAGAAGCUCGAAAAUAAUAAAUUAGAAGAAAGGAGGUCAAAAUUGGGUGUCUACAGCUGCCUUAUCGGAGGUUCAGAAAUUGGUCUACCUGGCCAUCCCUAAUCUCUCAAGGCAAAUAAUGAUCUAUGAAAGCUUCUGUAAAGCUAUCCCAAGUGGGUAGAGAUGUAUAUUUUCCCCUAGAUCUCUCCCAACUUUCGUACCACAAUACUACAACAUCACGCAAUCGAAAUGCUGCUAACUCAACUGACUCAGUCGCUGAGGCAUGCAGGACUCUAAAGAUCUGAUGAUGUUGAUCAACAAAGUGCUGAGGGUCCUCUAUGUGAUAUGUUCAUGUAAAUUGUGGAGGAUUCAAGGUAAGAAAUCCAUGAACUCUUGAACUUUCGAACCGUUUAGAAGGUCUGGCAACAUCUGGCGCAACUGGCUGGCGCUGUGCAGCUACUAACUGUGCUAACAUACAUAUUGCACUCUUGAAAUACUGGUCAGAUGGAAUAGGAGGAACUAGAUGUGGUACUGCUGGUAGAUUCGGAGGUCUUGUAGCCCUCGGAGGUUCCUGAAACGGUGGAGAAGCUAUAGGAGGCUGAGAAGAUGUCUCCCCCUGGGUCUCACAAUGGGAUACCUCCACCUGCGAUACCUUGCCAGUACCCUCGCCUGCAGCUGUAUCUAGCCACUGGCUAGUUGUGGUCUGUCUAGUGUCAGCCAUCUCUAUCUGCAUACAAAUAUCAAUUAUAAGCCAGAAACCUCAACCCUUAAGACACCGUUCUAUAGCACGAGUUGAGCAAAAGAAUUAUAGUAAUUCUAACAUGCCCGGUAGCUUCUUGCUUAUCGAAUGUGGUGCACAACACAUUUAUAAACAAGACUCUAGUAGACACAGCCUACAGACUCCCUAGGAUACAACAUUGUUCUGAUACAAAGUUUUUCACGCCCCAAAAUCAAGGGGCGCAACUAGCUCCUAAGGCCAGAACUCAGGCCCAAGCCAACCCUGCUAAACCAUUUGCUACUAGCGCAUGGCAACCACACGCAAUCAAGAAACAAACAAGUAUAUCUCGGAUUAAAACUAAGCCCUCAGCCAGGAAGGCCUCUGUCAACAUAUCUAUAGAAGAAACAUUUACACUCAAGAGUUCAUAUAAAGAAAAACCCAACUAGCACAUAAGUACUGAUUGGGCCGUCAGGGCCACCAUGAUCUCUAUACCAAAACUGAAAGCAGGUAUAUAUCAAGACAAUACAACAAAUAGCUCACAAGUUUUAGCAAACAAACAAACUAGGCCAGCAUGGCCAUAACAUAGCUAUACACCCCACACACUAGUCUGCAAGCCUCUAAGAGUAGUAAAGAUUAGUGGGACAAGGCCCCAGCCUACCCAUAAAAUAUAUACAACAAAAGCUAACAAACCUCCCAACUCUGGCAGCUUCGGAGGAAAGGGGCUAGCCAACCAGAUAGAAGUUAAUCCUGCUGUUGAGGAGGUCUACUGGGUCAUCUGUCGGGACCCGCAUACAUGAAUUCAGCACUCCUAGGCAAUGAGGCGUCAAUACAAAAUAAUGUACAGAGUAUGAAAGUUUAUACACUAAAUGAGCAAGUAUAUACCAAAAGCAAUCAGCUAAGGAAAUCAAAAUUUAGAUAAGCAUGCUAACCUACUACUAAAUCUAAAAAAAUACAAAAAUGAUCAAACAACAACCUAACCAAACCCCCAUAAGCUCGGUAGGUACAAACAACAUGCCACCUACCUACGCCCCCAUAAGCCCAGAAGGUGACAAAUCAAUUUACAUAACCUUAUCGGUAGCCCCUUGUCUUUGUAAGAAGUCACAUAGCCCUUUUUGGCAAUGAUAUAUCCCCGUAGGCAGUGCAUGGCCCUCUUAGACAACAUCAUAGCUCUGUGGGCUACACAUAGCCCUUUUUUGCAUCAACAUUGCCCUGUAGGCAACACAUAGCCCUCUUUGGCGUCAAAAUAGCCCCGUAGGCAAUACAUAACACUCUUUGGCAUCAAUAUAUCCCCGUGGGAAACACAUAGCCCUCUUAGGCAAUAACAUAGUCCUAUUAGACAACAUCAUAGCCCCCAUAGGCAGUUUAUAGCUCAACCGCUAACCACAAUAGCCCCAAGGGCGACAACAAACAUUUGAAUAAGCUAAAGGCGAGCAAUUUAGUUAUAAAAAAUAAUAUAUAUAUAUAUAUAGUUUCCAAGUCGUUCCAAACUUAGGGUCGUUCUUAACAGAUUAUGAGUCCAUAUAAUGAGGGUUUAUAACCACUCAAUCAGCCAACCACUCACAAUUACAUCUACAAGAUUGCCAACAUUAACUAUCCUACUUUAUCACUCCCAGGCACUAAGGAAACAUGUCGAACGAAGGGAAUAGCCUUAACAUACCUUUUCCUUUAUAAUUUAAACUGAAAAUACCUCUGUCUGCACCACUACAACACUAAAGAAAAAGGUAAAAUCAAUCAGUAAUUAAGGAUAAAAAUUAUUACGACAAUUCGGCAAUCGAUACGGAUUCCUAUCAUAAAUUACUAUCCAAUACCUAAGGUAUCCGUAAAGUGCUAAAAAGAUGGUUCCUACCUUUCUUUACACACCCAAAACACUUGAAUAAAUCAAAAUACUAAAAAAAAGCCUGCUGCCACAACCUCCACGGAGCUACAUCGCUCAAUUCACCGUGAAAAUUAUACCAAAACGACGAGCUCGCGACGUAGGGCAAUUUUUUAUAAGGGCCAAGAAGAGAUCAUGAACACAAAAGGAUGAUUUCAUGAGUAUUUCACUAAUUUUCGUGGGAUUCUUACGAGUUGGAAUGAAGAAAAAUGAAGUUAUUAUCUUAUAAGCUUCCACCGACUUAGGGGACCCACCUCACAUGAUUGCUUUUGCAGUCUCGCGAAAAUGUAAACAUCUCUCUAUUCUAAAGUUGUAUGAACAAAUAGUUUGAUGCGUUGGAAACUAGACUCGUAGACCUUCGAUUCGAUAGGUCGUGGACCCCAUAACUCUUUAUAGAUUUGGAGAAAACCUCUGAGACAUUUGACACAAAUUUCGGAGAAAUAUUUAAAAAGGAACUUGCGAUAACUUUUGCCAACUUUUAUUUUGCGACUUACCUAACUUCAAAACAUGAUAUAAAACCCUUGAACACUUAAAAUAGGACAUAUCACAAUAUUUUUAAUUUAUUUCUCACCCUCUUUGUGUUUCCACGGAGGUACGAGUUAACUUAGACGUUUCAAAAAGUCAGGGUGUUACACUAGGGUUGUUAGAAUUGUUUGUAAUCCGGGUAAUUAGUGAUUAUUUAUGGAUGUCCGUGUUAUUAUGAUUGUUUGUAGACCAAGAACAAACGGAACGAAUCCAGAAAGGGAAGGAUCAAGUUUCUUAGGGUGUCAAACUUUUUUCGAGGUAGGUGAUGGUUGUAAUUUUAUGAUUGUGUGAUGUAUGUUUGUUCUUGUUUCAUUAUGAUACUUGCAUGUAUGCGAAUGUUGCAUUAUGGAUCACACUUGUUGUAAAUGAGAACCCUUAUGCGCAUCAUGAAGAGAUAGAGUAGAAUGUUGAUGUUGAGAAUAUUGAGGAUGUGGGACAAGAGAAACAUGUGCAUGCUGAGACUACCGAUGUUCCUCCCAUAGACCUAGUGUUAGCUCGACAGAUCAUGUCAUUCUUGAAAGGGUUGGUUAGUCCUGGAGUACUUCCUGCAGUUCAAGCAACUCAAGCUCCCGUUAAUCCCCCUAUUGCUAGCACUGCGCCCAAGACCGGUGGAAUGGGAGGUAAUGAUGCUUUCUUCCGUCCUUUGUUGGGUUCUAUUAUGACUGGUAAUGAGCAUGAAAUGUUGACUAAGUUUUUGAAGUUAAAGCCUCCUUUGUUUCUUGGUUCUGAGAAUGAGGAUGCUUAUGAUUUUAUCUUAGAUUGCUAUGAGAGGCUUUAUAAGUUGGGAAUUGUCCAUCAGCAUGGGGCUGAGUUUGUGUCCUUUCAACUUCAAGGUGAGACUAAGCAGUGGUGGAGAGCUUAUGUGGAAUGCAGAUCUUCUACUUUACCUCCACUUACUUGGACCCAAUUUCAUGCUCUGUUUUUGGAGAAAUAUGUGCCUAGGACUUUGAGAGAACACAAGAAGGAUGAGUUCAUGGAUUUGGAGCAAGGUGGUAUGACUGUGGUUGCUUAUGAGGCCAAGUUUCAUGCUUUGUCUAGAUAUGCUACUCAAUUGGUGACUACUGAGGAAGAGAGAAUUCGGUUAUUUAUUAGGGGACUAAAUUAUGAGUUGCAAAUAUUAUCUAUUCAUAUGACUUCUGCAGAGAGGAGCUUCAAUGAGGUAACAGACUGUGUUAAGAAAUUGGAGGGGGUGAGGCAAGACGAUCACUCUAAGGCAUUGGCAAAAAGGGCCAAGAAUUCAAGCAACUUUCAAGGUCUUAUUCCAGAAGUUCAAGGAGGCCAACGCUGACAGCCAAGCCAAUUCAGUCUGCUAUGCCCGCUUCUACGGGUAAUUUCUUGGGAAAUCCACCUUAUAAUUCAAUUUAGGAUAGCUAGGGAGUUGCACCUUCGACGGGCAGGCCAUCUUUUGAUCGUACAUGUUACAAUUGUGGUGAACCUGGGCAUAUGAGUAGAGAUUGGCUCCACCCAAAUGUGUUAGAUUCCGCGCAGCAGCAGUCUAGAGCAGUGGUACCCACAGGGAAUGGUAAUAAUGGUCGAGGGCAUCCACAAGGUGAGCGAGGAAGUAAUCAGUGAGGCCAUAGAGGUAGAGAAAAUGGUAAUGCAGACAAGGGUAACGUGCAACCAGGCAGGGAAGUGGCUCGUCAAGAUGAUAGGGCUCAAUGUUAUGCACUUCCGGGCAAGAAUGAGGUAGAGGCAUCUGACAUAGUGAUCGCAGGUACUAUUCUUGUCUGUGACCGGAUGGCUAAUGUGUUAUUUGAUCCGAGUUCUACUUAUUCUUAUGUAUCCGUGCAAUUUGCCUCAAGGUUUGAUAUAAUUUGUGAUAUGCUUGAUGCCCCUGUCCAUGUUUCUACCCCAGUUGGAGAGUCAGUCAUAGUUACUCAUGUCUAUCGUGCUUAUCCUAUUAUGUUUAUGGGUUUUUAGACUUGGGUUGAUUUGGUGAUUCUGGAUAUGACUGAUUUUGAUAUAAUCUUAGGCAUGACUUGGUUGUCCCUCUAUUAUGAUGUGCUUAAUUGUAAUACUACGUCUGUAACUCUAGAAAUUUUAGGAAGGGAAAAAAUAGAGUGGGAAGGGGUGUACAAGCCUAAGCAAGAUAAGAUCAUAUCCUCCAUUCGGGCAAGGAAAUUGAUAGGGCAGGUUGUUUGGCUUUUUUGGCUCAUAUUAGGGAUGUUGAAAUUCAGGCUCCAUCCAUUGAGUCUAUUCUUGUGGUGUCAGAAUUUAGAGAAGUGUUUCUUAAUGACUUACCUAGUAUGCCUCCGGAUAGGGAUAUAAACUUUUGCAUUGAUUUAGAACCUGGUACUCAUCCCAUUUCCAUCCCUCCAUAUCGCAUGGCUCCAGCAAAAUUAAGAGAGCUUAAGGCUUAAAUCCAAGAGCUUCUUGAUAAGGGAUUUAUUCGUCCUAGUACUUCCCCAUGGGGUGCUCCAGUUUUGUUUGAUAAGAAAAAAUAUGGUAGUAUGAGAAUGUGUAUAGAUUACCAGUAAUUGAAUAGGGUCACUAUUCGAAACAAGUAUCCUUUGCCUCUAAUAGAUGAUCUUUUUGACUAAUUGCAAGGUGCAUCAUUUUUCUCCAUGAUUGAUCUAAGGUCUGACUACCAUCAAUUAAAAAUUAUGCCUAAGGAUGUGCCAAAGACAGCGUUUAGGACUCGCUAUGGGCACUAUGAGCUUUUAGUUAUGUCUUUUGGUUUGACCAAUGCGCCUNNNNNNNNNNNNNNNNNNNNNNNNNNNNNNNNNNNNNNNNNNNNNNNNNNNNNNNNNNNNNNNNNNNNNNNNNNNNNNNNNNNNNNNNNNNNNNNNNNNNNNNNNNNNNNNNNNNNNNNNNNNNNNNNNNNNNNNNNNNNNNNNNNNNNNNNNNNNNNNNNNNNNNNNNNNNNNNNNNNNNNNNNNNNNNNNNNNNNNNNNNNNNNNNNNNNNNNNNNNNNNNNNNNNNNNNNNNNNNNNNNNNNNNNNNNNGCAUGGCUCCGGUAGAAUUAAGAGAGCUUAAGGCUCAAAUCCAAGAGCUUCUUGAUAAGGGAUUUAUUCGUCAUACUGCUUCUCCAUGGGGUGCUCCAGUUUUGUUUGUUAAGAAGAAGGAUGGUAGUAUGAGGAUGUGUAUAUACAACCGACAAUUGAAUAGGGUCACUAUUCGAAACAAGUAUACCUUGCCUCGAAUAGAUGAUCUUUCUGACCAAUUUCAAGGUGCAUCAGUUUUCUCCAAGAGAUCUAAGGUCUGGCUACCAUCAGUUGAAAAUUAGGCCUGAGGAUGUGCCUAAGACGGCAUUUAGAACUCACUAUAGGCACUACGAGUUUCUGGUUAUGACCUUUAGCUUGACUAAUGUGCCUGUAGCUUUUAUGAGUUUAAUGAAUGGGGUGUUCAAGCCAUUUCUUGAUUCUUUCGUUAUAGUCUUUAUUGAUGAUAUUUUGGUCUAUUCGAAAAGUGAGGAAGAGCACGCCGACCAUCUUCGCAUUGUUUUGGGUGUUCUUGGGAAACAAAGGUUGUAUGCUAAAUUUUCUUAAGUGUGAAUUUUGGUUGACUUCGCUUGCAUUUUUGGGACAUGUAGUGUCAAAAGAAGGGGUAAUCGUAGAUCCUUAAAAGAUUGAGGCGGUUAGGAAUUGGGUUCAGUCUAGCUCUGUGAUGGAGGUUAGGAGUUUUAUGGGGCUCACUAGCUAUUAUCAUCGAUUUGUGAAGAACUUUGCUUCUAUUGCCACUCACUUGACCAAUUUGACCAAAAAGGAGAUACCAUUUGAAUGGACCGAAAAAUGUAAGGAGAGCUUCCAAAACCUCAAGACUCUCUUGACCACCGCACAUAUUCUAGCAUUACUGGUUGAAGGUAAAGAUUUUAUUGUUUAUUGUGAUGCUUCACAUUCUGGUUUGGGUGCUGUGUUGAUGCAGGAUAAUAAUGUUAUAGCUUAUGCCUCGCGACAAUUGAAGGUGCAUGAGAGAAAUUACCCAACACAUGAUUUGGAGUUGACAUCAGUAGUUUUUGCUCUUAAGAUUUGGCGGCAUUACCUUUAUGGUGNAUGAGAGGAAUUACCCAACACAUGAUUUAGAGUUGGCAGCGGUAAUGUUUGCACUUAGAUUUUGGGGCAUUAUAUUUAUGGUGUCAAGUGUGAGGUAUUUACUGAUCAUCGCAGUUUACAACAUGUGUUCACUCAAAAGGAUUUGAAAUUUAGACAGCGAAGGUGGAUGGAGUUACUUAAAUAUUAUGAUGUNNNNNNNNNNNNNNNNNNNNNNNNNNNNNNNNNNNNNNNNNNNNNNNNNNNNNNNNNNNNNNNNNNNNNNNNNNNNNNNNNNNNNNNNNNNNNNNNNNNNNNNNNNNNNNNNNNNNNNNNNNNNNNNNNNNNNNNNNNNNNNNNNNNNNNNNNNNNNNNNNNNNNNNNNNNNNNNNNNNNNNNNNNNNNNNNNNNNNNNNNNNNNNNNNNNNNNNNNNNNNNNNNNNNNNNNNNNNNNNNNNNGCCACAUUCAUUGACGAGAUCAAGGCCAAACAGUUUGAGGAUGAGAAUUUGGAGGAGCUUAGAAAGAAGAUUGUGAUUGGUAAGGCACAAGAGACCACUCUUGAUGCGGAAGGUGUACUUAGUUUCAAUGGAAGAAUUUGUGUGCCUCAAGUUGAUGAUUUGAUUCAAAAGUUGUUGAUAGAGUCCCAUGGUUCGCGAUAUUCUAUUCAUCCGAGUGUGACCAAGAUGUACCGAGAUUUGAAGCGAAACUAUUUGUGGUCGGGCAUGAAGAAGUAUAUAGCGGAGUUCGUGGCUACGUGUCAAAAUUGCUAACAAGUUAAAUAUGAACACCAAAGGCCUACAGGUUUGCUUCAAAAUAUGCCAAUUCUGGAAUGGAAAAAUGUCAAUUCCGGAAUAGAAGUGGGAGAGGAUAGCCAUGGAUUUUGUGGUUGGUCUUCCCAAUACCUUGGAGAAGUUUGAUUCUAUUUGGGUAGUGGUUGAUAGAUUGACUAAGUCAGCCCAUUUUAUUCUAGUAAGAAUAGAUUAUAAUGCUGAACAAUUGGCUAGGGUGUAUGUGAAAGAGAUAGUAAGGUUGCAUGGGGUCUCUCUAUCAUCUCAGACCGUGGUACCCAAUUCACAUCCAAGUUUUGGAGGAAAUUACAUGAUGAAUUGAGCACACAACUCACUUUUAGUACAACCUUCCAUCCACAGACAGACGGGCAGUCAGAGAGGACUAUUCAAGUAUUAGAAGACAUGUUGAGGGCAUGUGUGAUUGAUUUUGAAGGGCAUUGGGAUAAUUUCCUACCUUUGUGUGAAUUCUCCUAUAAUAAUAGUUAUCACUCUAUCAUAGAUAUGGCACUAUUUGAGGCACUCUGUGGGAGGGAUGUAGAUCACCCAUAGCAUGGUUCGAGGCUGGAGAUGUGAAACCAUUGGGGGUCGAUUUAGUGAAGAAUGCUCAAGAUAAGGUGAGGAGUAUUCAAACUAAGCUUCUAGCAGCCUAGAGUAGACAUAAAAAGUAUGCGGAUCAUAAGGUGAGAGACAUGGAGUUUCAAAUCUGUGAGAAUGUUCUUCUUAAGGUAUCACCCAUGAAAGGGGUGAUGAGAUUUGGCAAGAAGGGCAAAUUAAGUCCGCAAUAAUUGGUCCAUUUGAGGUCCUUGAAUGUGUAAGAUCGGUAGCGCAUAGGUUGGCUUUACCUCAUAGUCUAUCGGUUGUUCAUCCGGUAUUUCAUGUGUACAUGUUGAAGAGGUAUCAUGGUGACGGAAAUUAUAUCAUUAAGUGGGAUUCAAUUGUGUUAGAAAAAGACCUCCAAUAUGAGGAGGAACCGAUUGCAAUUCUUGAUCAUGAUAUGCGUAAGCUGAGGACCAAGGAGAUUAAGUUCGUGAAAGUUCAAUAGAAGCACCGUCCAGUUGAGGAAGCUACUUGAGAGACCGAGAGGGACAUGCGAGACAAGUAUCCUCAAUUGUUCGUCGAUUCAGGUACUACUCCAUUCUUUUCUUAGCCUAUUUUUCCUAAGUUGUCACUCGUGGACGAGUGAUAGGUAAAUUGGUAUCUAUUGUAACGACCGGAUUCCGUCGUUAUAGAAAAGCCAACGGGAAAAUUUGGGGCCGAAAAACCUUUUCGUAGUAUUUGGAUUUAUUCCAACCUAGUCCAGAUUUGGACGAAAUUGGAGUCAUUAAGGUGUAGGGAAAUUUGGCAUCAAUCGGGUGAUUUAUUUAUAAUUUUGAUUACAUGAUGGGAUAGAUAACUCGUUAAGAAAUCCGUACGACUUUACGGAAUUGAAUUUGGGCGAGUAGAACUCCCGGAAUCGAUCUUAGCGUGAAGGAGAUUUUCUGAGUGUCGUUGGUUAGAGGUGUGUUGUGAAAUAGGGGUCUUGGAAUUAUUAAAAUAGCUUACUAUUUCGUGCAACCCGCUUUGGCGCUGGGUUUUGUCGCUCUGGCGGGACCACUAUAGCAGGGUGAAGGCCGCUGUGGCGGGCCAGACGCGACUUAAAGUCGUAAAUAAACCCCUAAACGACUUAUUCAUGCACUUUUCAAUUUUUAGAGCUAAGGAACGAGCCCCAGGUGACUCUUGACAAUUUUUCACCAUUCUUGAGGCUAAAGGUAAGCUUUUCACUGCCCGAAUCCAUUUUUCGAUCCAUAGAACGUAAUAGAAUGGGUAAUUAUCGAUGGGGGAGGGUUUUGAAUUAGAAACCAUGGUGGAAAAAGCCCUAAUUUUGAUACUUGGGAUCAUGGGUAUGAUAUAGGAUUGUUAGAAUUAUUAGUAAUCCGGGUAAUUAGUGAUUGUUUAUUGAUGUCUGUGUUAUUAUGAUUGUUUGUAGAUCAAGAACAAGUGGAACGAAUCCGGAAAGGGAAGGAUCAAGUUUCUUAGGGUUUCAAGCUUGUUUCGAGGUAGGUGAUGGUUGUGAUUCUAUGAUUGUGUGAUGUAUGUUUGUUCUUGCUUCAUUAGUAUACUUGCAUGUAUGUGAAUGUUGAUACUUAUGAUUGUGAUUGUGAUUGUACUGUGUUGAAUGGAUCGGUUGCCACGUUCUGGCAUAAUUAUGGGAUCGGUUGUCACGUUCCAGCAUAAACAUUGGAUCGGGUACCACGUUCUGGUAUGCUAAUUGUUUGGGUUUAGGUUCCAUGAAAGGACCAAUGACUUGUCAUAAUUGUGUAUAUUAUUGAGCAUGUGAUAAUCGAUAUUGUAUAUGUUCGGUAUUUUGCAUGUUUAUAAUGUUGUAUUGACUUGCUUAUGUUACACUUAGUGGGAUAGCCGCGUGAUCCUAUCAUUACAUUGUAGUUGUGUUCUGAUACUGCACUUGCUCUUAUUUUUGUUGAGUACACGACAUUUUUCGGCUGCUAUUGACAAACCUCGCUUAGAAGACCAGUGAUCGUUCGAAUUCAAGGGUGAGUCAAUUCUUCCAGGCCGCCAUGAGUUCUCUUUUCGUCUAUGUCCACAUUUCAGACUUAGACUUUUCUAGUUAGUUGAUUAGUUCGUUAGUUUGGGGUUGCAUCCCUUCUUGUUUAGACUUGUUGAACUUUAGAUGUUUUGGUACAUUGACUUUCAGGUUCUAGGUGUAAUUUCCGCAUUGUUAGUUGUUAGAUCUUUUGGAAGUUUAUGGGAACUUCAGUCUUAGAUAUUAUUCCUAUUUUUGUAUCCUUAAAUGCUUUAGUUUUUGGUUUAGAUGCUUGGUUGGGGUUGUAGUAGUGGUUCUCCCACCGGAGGGUUAGUGUGGGUGCCAAUCACGACGGUCUGGGUCAUGACAAAGGUUAUACUAAUAGAGGUAAAAGUAGAAACUCAAGAGGUUUUAUUUUUAAUACCGUUUUAUUUCUACCUUUUUCAUUUUCUUUAGAAAUAUUAUAUAAAUAUUGAAAUAAUAGAAUUCCUAAAUAACUGUUGAUCAGUAGAAUUUCUUGAAGAAUUUGAUUUAUGAGCAAAGUGUGUGCGCUCAAAGAAUUUGUGAUCAACAAAAAAAUAAUAUUGUACUUGGAUAAAAAGGAAAGAACUUUGGAAAAUAGAAACAAAACAGGUAUAGGUCGUAACAAAUAAGGAAAUUAAAGCAAGUUCAAGUAGAAUUGGAUUGAUUAAUCAAACUAGGUUUGAUCUUAGAGAGCAAAGUGUAGAAAACAUUUAAUAGUUUCAGGAUUGAAAAUAUAAGUACAUUUAAUAGUUUAGAGAAUAUAUUUUUUUCAAUCAAUCUAAAACACCUAUUUCUACUUGGUCUCCUUCAAUACAUACAAAGUGCACUAGCACAAGAAGUCGAAGCUACGCCAUUUUCAUGAUCAAGAUAAAUUUUUGAUUUUGUGUUACAAUCAUACCAAUGGCUUUUCCAAUUUCCAUAUUAGAUUAUGAACAAAUAAUUUCAUACUUUUAAGAGUCAUUGAUUUAAUUCUCUGUGUAUAUACUAAAACUUUAUACACUUGAUCAUCUAUUCUAUAAGUAAACAGACACAUAAACGAAUAUAUGAUCUAUUAAUUUUUUUAUUAAAAUUGAAUAAAAAUUAUACUAUGAAAAAUAUUAUAUCUAAAUACAUGGUUAAUAAUAUAAUCUCAUAAUUAAUAAUAUAUAGCCCAACAGUAAUUUAAAAUUAAUUACUUGAAAAGUUAAUGAAAUUUUAAGGUGAAAUCCACGAAGAUAGGCCAUGAUUUCUUACUUUUUUGAGAGAGGAGUUUUUCACAAAACAUUAUAUGUGUAUUUUGAUUUCCGCACUUCACUUUUAGUUUGCGAUUGAACCCGAUUCUUUAAAAAAAAUUACAUAACAAGGUAAACACAUAUAUAUACACACAUUAGUUUUUCGACACGUGUAUUACACGCGAUUAUCAAUUUAGAAAAUAUAUGUUAUAGUAAAUAGUUUUGCUUAUUUAAGUGAAGAUUUGAAUAAUAAACUUUGCACAAAAUAAUAUUACAAAUUCUUUUGUGAAUGUUCAAUGUGGAUCGUCAUAUAUAUAUUUCUCUUAUUCACGGGAAUCUAUGAAGAUGGUCAAUCAAAAAAUUUAUUAGUUAAAUGCAAUAAUGCAUAUAUUUAUUUCAAUUUGAUGAGGUUCAAUCAUGUAAUUAGUCGUAUCUCAGUAAUAUUACCUUAUAAACGAUAUUUGUUGUGUAUUAUUCUUGAUCACACAAUUUUUUUUUAAAUGCAAGAAGAAGAGUAGGAAAUUAAAAAAAAUUAUGGUUGAAAAAUGAGAGGAAGCCCCUCUAUUUAUAGUCAACAAAGGUAGAAUGAACAAGUGUUUUUUGUGUCUUAUCUGAAAAGUCAUAACCUUUCCGAUAAGUCAUAACCCUUUGGAAAAGUCAAAACAUAUUGACAAGUCACAACUCUUUGGAAAAGUCACAACUCCAUAAAAAAUCACAACCCUUUGUAAAAAGUCACAACUUAUCGGAAAAGUCACAACUCAUCGAGAAAGUGACCUUUCUGAGAAGUGACAACCCUUUGGAAAAAUCACAACUUAUUGAAAAAGUCACUACUCAUCGAAAAAUCACAGCCCUUUGAAAAAAGUCACAACUCAUCGGAAAAGUCACAACUCAUCGAAAAAGUCACAAACUAAGUUAAGGAUAUUAUUGUAAUUUAACAUUCAAGUUAGGAGUUCAUGUUUUUAAAGUAAUAUAGAUAUAUAUAGAGAGAAAAAAAUUCUCUCUCCUCUGCCCCUCUUUUCCUUGCCUCUCUCCUCCCACUGCCCUCUCUCUCUCCCUCUCGCUCCUCUCUCUCUUCAUCCCACACAAUUGCAGCCCAAAAAAUAUUUCGCAUAAUAUGAAAAUUGUAUUUUUUUUAUUAUGUAUCAAAUAUAUUUGUAUUUCAUAUCAAUUGUAUUUGUGAUAAAACUUGAUAUAACGAAUACAAUAUGUAUUGAUCCUCUCUGUCAACGAAUACAAUAAUUUGACAAAGAGUAAACUUCAAGAAAAUGAAAAGAAACAAAAGCUAAUUCAUUCUGUUUUUAUUACUUUACAAGUAUAUUGCUAUAUUUAUUUUUCGGUUACUAUAUCCAUUGCGCAAAUUCGUACGUCUUUAUUUGUUGUCUGUUAAUAUUAAAAAUAAUUUUGAUGUUGCAUGUCUAUAAUUAUAAUAUUCUUCAAUUAAUUUCACUUGAUAUUUUUUUUAAAAUAAAAAUAUUCUCAAAUAUUGUUUUCACUGUUUAUUAUACAAUUCUACAUCUAUAAUAAAAUACUAGUUACUAGAUAUAAAAGUCCGAACAAGCCCGUUUGCUAAGAAUUGCUCAAGUGAGCAGUAGUGGGUCCCAUGAAGCUUUCUCUCAGUAGCCUCUUAGUUUUCAAUAAAAGAAACUCAGUUCCUCUCUUUGUAAAUUUAGAAACUUGACCCUAAGCUCCUCCCUAUUCCUCUUCUAAUAGUAAAAAAAUAUAUAUAGUAAAAUAUAUAGUAAUAUCCACCAAACUAUAACAUUUACUAAAGGCAUAAUACAUAAACAUGACUCUUAACUUGGUUUUAACGGACAUCUAUGCCCUCCAACUUUGAGUGUGCACAAGUAGACACUUAAACUUGUAUAAAAUUGAACAAGUAGACACACAUGUCCUACAUGGCAUAAUACACGUAGGACACAAAAUUGUCACGUAGGGUGACAUGUAGGAAACGUGUGUCUACUUAUUCAAUUUUAUACAAGUUUAAGUGUCUACUUAUGCACACCCAAAAUAAAUAUGACUUAUAACUUGGCUUUAACGGAUAACUAUGUCCUUCAACUUUGAGAGUGCACAAGUAGACACUUAAACUUGUAUAAAAUUGAACAAGUAGACACACAUGUCCUACAUGGCAUAAUACACGUAGGACACAAAAUUGUCACGUAGGGUGACAUGUAGGAAACGUGUGUCUACUUAUUCAAUUUUAUACAAGUUUAAGUGUCUACUUGUGCACUCUCAAAGUUGAAGGACAUAGUUAUCCGUUAAAGCCAAGUUAUAAGUCAUAUUUAUGUAUUAUGUAUUUAUUAAAUAGUUCUUCUUUCCUUAAUUAUUCCCAAGUCCCAACCAUUUAAAGAAGAAAGGGUAGUUAAUUAAGAAGAUGAAUUAUUUGACUAUUAUUAAGAAGAUAAAAAUAAUAAUUACGUUCAAAAUGUACUAUACUAUAUUAGAUUAACCACUCAUCUCUUUGAAAGGAUAAUGAAAGGUAAGUAAAUCAUAUUUAAUUUUAUCAUCAAUAUAUUUAAAUUGGGGUAAGUUUUAAGUCAAAACUUCGUUAUCUAUGUUUUGAAUAUCGAAGUACUAUUUAGUCAGACCUUCAAGGAUCGUGACAUCUUGAUAUUUUUGACAUUGAUUCUCGAACUUCUAGAAUAUUUAGAUUGAUUCACCAUGCGCUUAUAUAUUUUUUCGAGAAAAAUAUUGUUAAACAUGCAUGACAACUGACAUCUACCUACAUUUUUUUCAAUAUUUCAAUCUGACCAUACAUCUGUUAUCUUGAUCAAUUCAAUAAGAAGAAUUUUCCAAUCAAACGAUGGAAAAUUAAACUCUUCAUCACUAAUUAAAUGGAUGAAUAAACAACACAUAUAGUAUAAAUUUGUGUACUCUUUGACUUGACAAAGUUGGUUCAUGUUCCUCCCACGAACAGUAUAAUAAAUAGGGGAAGAUCAAGAAAAUACCAUGGGAUAUUCCAAGGUUAUUCUUUCUCUAAAUACAAAAUAUAUAUCUUAUUUUAAAUAACGUAAUAAAAUAUUAACAAAAUAUGUGUUUACCGCACAAACAAUAAUUAAGUCUUGGAUUAUAAAAUUCAUUCAAACUUUGACACAAUUUAUUUAUAAUUAAGCUGAAAACCAGAAUCCCAAUACCCAAAAUAAUAAUAAUAAUAAUAAAAAUGUCUGCUUAAUAUACAGAUGAUAGAAAAUAGUAACAAGGCAUAAGUAUCCCUAGACUAUAACCGAAAUUCCAGAGACACACUUUAAUUAAACUAAGGUCCUAUUACCCUCUGAACCCAUUUUUUUUUUAAUUUUGUACACUUUUUUUACUUACGUGGCAUCCAAAUACAGGGGCAGAGCCAACAUACAUUCAGGGGUUCAUCUGAAUCCCCUUCGACGGAAAAUAUUAAUAUAUAUACAUGGUUAAAUUUUUAUUUAAUGUAUAUAUAGUUGAUGUCGAACCCCCUUCGGUUAGUUCGUGUGUUUACUUUUUCAAAUUUUGAGCCCCGUUGUUAAAAAUCUUAGCUCUGCCACUGUCCAAACAUCUCUCACACACCUCAACUACGUGGAGCUAUAGAGUGUGCUACGUAAGUCUAAAGGUGUACAAUAUUACAAAAAAAAAUUGGGUGGGGGGUAAUAAAACCUUAGUUUAAUGUGUCUCUAAAAUUUCGAUUAUAGUCUAAAAUACUUGUGCCUUAUCCCUAAAAAAAUAGGUAAAACUAACAGAAAAAAAAAAAGAAAGAGAAACAAGUAGUAAAGAAGAAGCUAAUUGUGUUUAAAUCUACACAACAAAAGUAAACCAACUAAUUAAUAAUGGCUGGUCAUGAUUAGCACUAAGUGUUUCCUAUAAGCUGUCUUGCUUUUAUUAAGGACUUAAACAAAUAUUUACUUCAAAUAAGUGUUGUAUCCUCGUGUGAAUAAUUGUUUUAUAAGUAUAUUUUAAGACCAAACAUAUAUAACUAAUUUAUUUGUCUUCCCUAGUGUAGAUUUUCUCCCCAACAACCAAGCUGCAAGUCUGGUACUUUAUUCAUUCGGACUAAUUUAUAUGACAUUAUUUAAAUUAGUAUAUUCUUUGAUUAUUUGUGUGUUUAUUAAUCAUUUAACUAAGAAUAAAAGAUGAUUUUAAAGUUAAAUUAUUUUUCGUUAUAAAAAUGUAACAUUUUUUUGGAACAAACAAAAAAAAAUGUAUCACAUACAUUGAGACAAAGAAUUAUUACUUUUUUCUUCAUUCUUUUCCCUUUUUGACUCUCUCUGAUCCAAUUUAUGUGACAUUCUUUCUUUUUUAGUCUGUCACAUAAAGAAUAUUCAUUUUUUUUUACAAUUAGAAACUAUUUAAAUCUAAAAAAAUUCGUUUAAUAUUCUAAUUAUUCCUUAGUGAAAUGAUUUAUAGCCACAUAAAUGAUAAAUAGUACUCCCUCCAUUUCUAUUUAGUUGUUAAUCAUUUUAGGUUUCACGCCUCUUAUGAUGUAUUUUUUUUAUCAUAUUGAUAUGCAAAUAAUUGUAAUUUAUAGUACUUUUCGUAUAGUUUUUGAAUAUAUCUAAAUUUUUUGUUUAAAAUAUCAAGUUAAUGUAAUCCAAUUUAACUUUGAAAAUUAGUCAAAUUGACUUUUGAAAAACGCAACAUGACAAUUAAAAGUCAACGGGGGAGUAAGUUUACCAUUGUGUGAUUAUUUAUUUUUUUCUUGAAGUCAAAUUUUUAAUAAAUGAACAUAAAUUAAUGGCUUAAGUCAUUUAUAGCCACUUAAAGUUGUCCUCAUAUUUCAUUUGGACACUUCAAUUAAGGUUUGUACCAUUGAACAUUUUUACCAUUUCGAAUUGAUACAUAUUUGACAUAUUUUUGACAAUCAUCCAAAAUAUUAAGUGUGUGAGUUAUACUUGUGAUGACAUGGCACAAGGACGAAUCAAAUUAUGACAUGUGUCAUUUGGAUCCAAAAAAUUAUUUUUAAAAUAUAUUUUAAAUGAUAAAAGUAAAAUAAAAUUUUGUACCCCUAAAAAAUUCACCCACCCACCCAAACCUUCCCACGUUACCCAUCAAAAUUUACGCCCCCCGGCGUCGCCUUUUUUACUUCUUUUUUUCUUCUUCUUCUUUAUUAUAAAUCAACAAUGGUAGAUUAUUUAGAUUCAAAAUUUUAAAAAACUUUAAUAGUUACAUUGUUGCCCAAUCCACCCAAAUUCUUCCCCUUCUACCCAUCAAAACAACCACUCUUUUCUUCUUCUAUCAACAAUGGCGAAAUACCCAUUUUCUUUCAGUUGAAUAGCAUCAAAACUUUCUAUUUGUUACCUUUACCUUUUUCUCAUUACUAAUCAUUUAUCACAAUUACAAUAGAUAUAUAACAACAAACUUUUGCCUGAAAAAAUCAAUUCAUAUUUUUUCCAUCUGAAUAAAUGGAUGUUUGCCGAAAUAUUGAAGAUGUAGAUCUACAUAAAAAAGAAGAAGGAAAAAACAGAAGAAGAAGAACGGGAAAGGGUGAGAGAAAGAGAGAGGUGGAGGGGGUGGGGUGUGGGGUGCGCCUGUGUAAAAAGAAUUAUGAAGAUGGUGAAUGAGAAUAGUACAUGGGUGUAAUUUUGGGUUAGGGAAGAAGACUACAUUUUCAAAAAAAACAAAAAUUCCCUUUUCAUUAAUUUUGGUAUAUAAGUUAGAAAGAAAAGAAAAAUUAUUAAUUUCAAUAGAUUUACAUACCUAAAGAGAGUGUAGCACAUGUUUUUUGACAUGUCAACAUUUUGUGUCGGAUAGAAAUGACUUUUGAACAAAUAAAGUGUUCAAUAGAUACAAAGAUAAGUUGAGGUGUUCAAAUGAAAUAUGUGGACAACUUUAAGGGGCUGCAUAUGACUUAAGCCUAAAUUAAUUUAUUUUGAUUAUUUAAUUGACCAAUCAACAUGAAUUAGUCAUUUAGUUUUACUAUGUUGGUUAAAUUCAUACUUUCAAGGCUUAUAACCCUCAAGGGUAAAAUAGAAAGAAUAGUGUCAUUUAUGCAUUGAUUUUUUGAAAUGACAAAUACUCCCUCCGUCCACUUUUAAUUGUCAUGUUUCACUUUUCGAAAGUCAAUUUGACUAAUUUUCAAAGUUAAAUUAGAUUACAUUAAUUCGAUAUUUUAAACAAAAAAAAUAGAUAUUCAAAAACUAUACGAAAAGUAGGGGUGUCAAAAAGAUAUGAAAAACUGAUCGAACCGACCAAACCAUACCGAAGUGAUUUAUAGGAUAUUUUAAAUAUAACUGUGGACUUUUAUUAAUCUUAUAACCGUCCUGAAUAAUUGGGAUGGUCUUUUUAAUUUAUAUAAAAAUCCAAAAAAUACCGAACCGAACCAAAUAGUCUUACAUAUAUGUUAUACUAGAUGGGAAGGCCCGUGGCAAGCACGGGCCCAAUAGUCAAAAUAUUAUGUUUGUUAAAAUAUUAAUAUUAAUGAAUCAAGGGUGAUGGCUUUUGCAGAAGAUGGAUAAUAUUAUAUACUAUUAGAUAUAUUGAGAAUGUGUACAACAGACAUCAGUAUGAUGCUGACUUGCAAAAGAGCAAAUGAAAAUUUCAGAAAGAACGAUACAUGAUCAGUUAAAGCGGGGGGGGGGGGGGGGGGGGGGGGGGGGGGNNNNNNNNNNNNNNNNNNNNNNNNNNNNNNNNNNNNNNNNNNNNNNNNNNNNNNNNNNNNNNNNNNNNNNNNNNNNNNNNNNNNNNNNNNNNNNNNNNNNGUCCUUCACAACUCCCUCUUCUAAAUAAGGGUAAUAUUUUAUAUACUACCACAUAUGUUAAAUUUAAUAUACAAAUAUAUUUGGGCAAAUUACAGAAAUCACAUACUUUUAAGGCAAAAUUACAAUCUAUCCCUUAAAAGUUUAUAAUUACAUAAAUCUUCAAACGGAUACAAUAAUAUAAGUGCUGAUACAUUAAUUUGAUGCACGAGAUACAAUAAUAUAAGCGCUGAUACAUUAAUCUGAUGCGCGAGAUACAAUAAUAUAAGCGCUGAUACAUAAUCUGAUGCGCGAUAUACAAUAAUAUAAGCGAUGAUACACUAAUCUGAUGACGCGAAAAUGAGGAAUUUUGGAGAUUUGUAAAACUUAUAGGAGAUAAUGAUAAUAAGUAAACUAAAAUGUGGGAUUUCUCUAAUUUUUCCAAUAUAUUUUAUAAAUUCCUUUUUCAAAUACAUAAAAAGUUAGGCCUCUAGACUUUGGGUCUGUAGUUGAUUAGAUUAGUUUUAACUUUUUAAAGGAUUCAAUUACUAGACUCAUACGUUCAUAAAUCAUACCCAAUUACCCAUAUUAAAUAUAAUAAUAUUGAUAUAUCAAAUAAUUAUCUUAUGGCUAAAUACCAAAACGGUAAAGCCUAACGCGCUAUAUACUAGUUCUAUUGAAAGUUUAUCACUAACAAAAUAACGAAAAUUAGUCGAACCGUAUCGAUAUCGAAAAAAAUCGACAUGAUUGGAAUGGUUUAAAAAAUCUAAUUUUGGUCAUGCAUUGUAAAAUAACCAAAAUAUUGGGAUGAUAUUUUUUAAAAAAAAUAAUCGACCGAACCGUCUCAUGAUUGACACCUCUAACGAAAAUUACUAUAAAUUACAAUUUUUUGCAUAUCAAUAUGUUGAAAAAAAUAUAUCGUAAAAUAUUAGUCAAAUUUUUUAUAGUUUGACUCUAAAAAAGAAAACCAUGACAAUUAAAAGUGGACGGAGAGAGUAUUAAGGAACAUCUAUUUUUAAUAAGAACGGCGUAUAAAUAGAAAUGAAGGGAGUACUUUAGAUUAAAAAAUUUGAAGAUCUUUUUAUAUAUAAAAAAAAUAAAAAUUCAAUCUCAAAUUUAUGAGGCUAAUAUGGGAAUGAUAUUUUCCAUCUGGGUCGAAUAACAGAUCCCACUUUAAAAUAUGCAUAGGGUACUUCUGUUUCUGCGUGUGAUAUAGAACACAUAUUUCGAUAGUAAGUUUAUGUAUACCUAUAUUGCACUUUAGUAGCUAGUGUACAUAAAACCUUGACAAAGGUUCAAGUACUUGAGAAUGAUAAAAAGAGUUGACAAGUUAUAUUAUAUUAGAAUUGAUAUCAAAUAAUCGUUGACGAUAUCUUUAAUAUAAUCUAGUGUUCAAAAUAAUAAAUCGUGACGAAGAUCUUGAAUUUAAAUCUGACAAAUGGUAUGAAAAAAUCAAUGAUUGACAAAUAAAAUACGCAAUUCAAGUAUAUUUUACUUUACUUAAUUAAAAAAGUGACAUUCUAAACUUAUAUAGUCCAUAUACCAAGAUAUAAUGUUAGUGGGCUACAAAUGAGUUAUAUAUUGUGCAACAUGUAAAAUCGUAAGAUAUAAAAUACAGUUCGUGCUUUGGGGGGGGGGGGGGAUAAAAGACUUUCGUACAAGUCCUAACAUUAUUGUAUGGAGAUGUGUUCUCCUAUGGUGAAUGUAAUGCGGAUUUUUCAGUCUGACAAUAUAUGAAAAAAUUGAAUACGUAUAAUGAAUGAUUAUCAUGUCUAGCUAGACAAUAAAUAUUACAUGACAGUACAAUUUUUGAAGGAUUUUAAAGCGAUUCCAUUGAAUAGUACCCCAAUGGCUAUGAAAUCUCUAACUAUAAAGAUCGAUUUCGAUCUCAUUAAAAUGGUUAGAAAAUACCAUGUCAUAGUGCAAUUGGUGCACUUAUAUAUCCUACUAUUUUGAUUCAUGGUAUAAUAAUUAUAUUAAUGUGGAUACAAAGUAUAACAUCACACUUAUUGAUGGAGAUAUUAGAGUACAUCAGAUAUUGAUACAAAUUAUUUAUUUUGAUCAAUCGUGUCAAAGUUUAUUGAUUAUGAAAUUGCAGAUAAUUAUUUGAUUUAUAUGAAGUUUAAUCUCAAGAAAGUUAUCUAUUUUCAUGUGGAAAUACUGUCAUAUCAAAUCCACAAGACCGUCAAUUUUAUUGUAAGUGUACCUCAGUGCUUAGUUGUUGUUACUAACAAAAACGAGCAAUUUGUCCACGCCGACAAAGUCACGAAUUGCGUAAUUGUGAAAAAUGUAUUUGGUUGAGAUCAAUAAGUCAACAUAUCUAGAAAAUAUGUGACCUUCCUUCGAAAAGAGAUAUUCCAACAAAAAAUAUGAAGACAUUAUUUCAUGUAUAGCUCAAUUAAGAGGACACAUCAAAGGAGAUGAAACAAAAUAUAUCUUACCAAAAUUCUUAUUUUACUCAUGUAUUUAAAAGAAGGAUGAAAUAGAUGUUCAACACGUUCAUUCAAGUGAUAAUUUAGCAGAUAUAUUCACCAAUAUAUUACUAACUUUAACCUUUGAGAAGUUGAGAUACAAAAUUGGAAUGCGUCAUCUUUGAGUUGUUAAAUGAUGUCUUCAUCGGGGGAAUAAAUACGCGUUGCGCUCUUUUUUCCUUAACCAUAUUUUAUCCCACUGAGUUUUUCAGAUAAAGAGUUUUAAUGAAGCAUCAAACAAAGCGUAUUAAUACAUUUUUUUCUUUCACUGAAAAUUUUCUUUUACAUGGACAUCUAAAGGGGAGUGGUCUAAAAUCAAUGUCCACAUAAAUAUACUUUGUAUGUAACAUAAAUGUACACAAUAUAUUUUGUGUUGUAACAGAUAUGUACACACAAUAUACAUUGUGUGUAAGAUUGAUAUACAUGCAACACACUAUGUGUUGGAAACUAGCCAUCCAUACAAUACACUUGGGAGCCGUUUGGUUACUGGUUAGAGUUAUGCAUGUAUUAGUUAUGUAAGAUUUAGUUAUGCAUGUAUUAGUUAUGCAAGGUUUAGUUAUGAGGGUAUUAAUUAUGCAGAGUUUAGUUAUGCAUGUAUUAAUUAUGUAAGGUGUAGUUAUGCAGAUAUUAAUUAUGCAAGAUUUACUUAUGUAGGUAUUAGUUAUGUAGGGUUUAGUUAGGUAAAUAUUACAAUACAUUAGUAAGCUAAUUUUUAUUUCUUAAUUUCAAAAAUAUUUAGUGAACUAAUAAUUAUUAUACCCAUUAAAAUAAACAACUAUCUAAAUAACACAUUAUUAUUAAAAAAAUAUCAAUAGAUAAAAACACUAAAGUAAAUAACAAAUAACUAAAAAUAUUAUAAUACAUAUAUAUGGCAGUGCGUUGCGAAGAAACUAAGCAAAUAAAUUAAUUACAAUUAACCAUCACUGUCUUACCGCCAAAGAAAACAGUUAAUAAAAAAUUAAGCAAAAAAUCUAAAUUAAUUAAGCAACUAACAAGACAAAAAAUCCAAAAAAAAAAAAUUGAUAGUGUUUUUUUAUUUACAUAUAAUAACCAUUUGAUUUGUAAUAAAUUAAUCUACAUUUAAAAGUGAAGUCAGGGGUAAUAAUUCCUGCCAAAUUACUUUGAUGUGCAAGAACUUUCGUUCCAGAACUUGGCAUCGAGUUUUCUACUAUUACUUAAAAUGUUUUUCACUGUGUAAGUAAUAAUCUUGAAUUUUGAUCGUCUUUACCGUGUGAAGUGGCGGUAAAUGGAUGGGUUGGUUCAAAUUUGGGUUAGUUGAAAAUGAGUCAACAUAAAAUGGGUAAUAACAACCCGCCCAUAUUUGAUAUAGGUAAAAAUGGAUUAGAUAACAAAUGGAUUGGGUAAAAUACUAGUUUACUCAUAUUUUCAUGAGUAAAUAGUACUCUACUUAAGAAUUCAACAUGGAAAAAAUAUUUUACUCUUUUUUUAGAUGAAAUAUGUUGAAAAUGUUUCAUUUAGUUUUAUUGUAUCAUAAAAGUAAAAUACAAAAAAAUCCUAUAACUUUUCAAUAUAAAAUAAAUUUAUGUUUUCCUCGAAAAUGUUUUCCUGAAAAACAAAUAGAUUUUUAACUUAUUUUCUCAUGUUUGGUUGGUGAGUAGAAAAUAUUUUCCGAAAAAAAUUUGUAGUUAUUUGAUUUAUGAAUGAUUUUUUUUUUGAGAAAUAUCUAUUAUUUUUACUAGAGUAGAAAAUAAUUUUUGAAAUUGAAAAUAUUUUUUAAAAACAAAUUUAAAUUUUUUUUCGGGGUUGGGGAGGGAGGGAGGGNNNNNNNNNNNNNNNNNNNNNNNNNNNNNNNNNNNNNNNNNNNNNNNNNNNNNNNNNNNNNNNNNNNNNNNNNNNNNNNNNNNNNNNNNNNNNNNNNNNNNNNNNNNNNNNNNNNNNNNNNNNNNNNNNNNNNNNNNNNNNNNNNNNNNNNNNNNNNNNNNNNNNNNNNNNNNNNNNNNNNNNNNNNNNNNNNNNNNNNNNNNNNNNNNNNNNNNNNNNNNNNNNNNNNNNNNNNNNNNNNNNNNNNAUGAUUUGCUUAUUUUACACUAUUAUUCAUUAUCCAAUAUAAAUUAAACAAAUAUAUUUAAAAUAUAUUUAGAAUUAACAAAAUAAAUGUACAUUUAAAAUAGAUAUUUUUGAAAGGCCAAAGACUUCACAUUUUCAAUUAUAUAGAAAAAUAAUUAGUUUUAUAGAUGAACAUAAAAAGGAAGAGAAGUUACAAUAUAUUUGAUAAUAUCAUGAAUUUUGAGUGAAUAAAAGUUAGAAGCUUAACUCAUUUGGCUAAUUCAUAUUUUACCCAUAUUAUCUAUAUUUUAUCCAUAUUUUUAUGGAUUGAAUAUGAAUAUCAACCCAUGUAAAAAGUCACUCACCCAACCCACUAAAUAUGGACAGAUUAGACCAGUUACCAAAAUAUGGGAUCAUUUUGCCGGCAAUAACCAUGUGCAAUAGUGCAAGUUAUCUCCAGACUCAAGAGUAGACCAUCUCUUUUAUAUGAUGUUUUAAUAAAUAAAUAGUAUAACUCUUUUAAAAGCACACAUAAUAAAAAAAAAUCGAAAGUUAAUUGAAAAGGAUAAAUAUGUAAUUUUAUUAUUUUAAUUCAUGUAUAACUAAUACUCACACAACUUAUUCGACAUUCUACCAUGCAUAUAAUUAUACAUAGAUUUUCUCAUAAGUUAUGUGAGUAUUAAUUAUGUAAAAUUACUAAAACACAAUCAAACACCGUAUAAAAUUAAUACAUAAAUAAGUUUUAUACAACAUUUGAAACCUACCAACCAAACAUGGUAUAAAAUUAAUACAUGAAUAAUUUUUAUCCAUUCACAAACCAAACAAUGUAUAAAAUUAAUACAUGAAUAAACAAGUUAUUCAUGUAUUAGGCUGAGCUUUAACCAGUUACCAAACGGCCCCUUGGUACCCAAGUAUACACAUGAAAAAUAAAUAUUCAUAUAAUAUAGUUGUUUGGUUGGGAACUAGUUAUCUCAGGAUUAACUAUUCUGGGGUUAGUUAUCCUGGGAUAACUUAUCCCACCAUGUAUAUGGAUAACUUAUCUCACUAUGCUAUAAAUGGUGGGAUAAGUUAUCCCAAAUAUGUCAAUCAAACAAGAUAUUUAAAUUUUAUCCCAUGCCUAUUUUUUUAUCCCAAGACUAUUUAUAUUUAUCCCUCACACCAAACGAGUGGUGGUGUGUAUGGUAUAAGGGUUUGAAAAAUACCCUAACUUUGAUCGACAUUGCUAUUACGAUACCAAACUUUAAUGAGGACCUAUUACUCCCCAGACUAUUUAAUACCAUAUUUUAAACAUAUUUAUUAGCCCACGUGGACAUAAAAAAUAAUGUAAAAUUAUAAAUAGUAAUGUGUCCACGUGAGCACAUAUAUACCUUUAAAAUACACUAUUAAAUAGUUCUGGGGGGUAAUAGGUCCUUCAUAAAAUUUGGUAUCGUAACAGCAAUUUCGAUCAAAGUUGGAAUAUUUUUUAGACCCUUAGCCCUAUACUAUAUAUAUAUAUAUAUUUUAUGACAAGGGAAACCCGCAACCUCUAUCAUUUGGGUGCGCACAGGAUAAAACUCAUGCUCUUAUGCAAUAGCUUGCAAACCACAUAGGAAAGGUAAUCCGCACUAGGCAAGCCCGGUGCGACGAGCUCAAUCCAAAAGGCAAACCCUUGCUUUCGACUUCCUACAUGAAAGUCCCAAGCAAAUCACUGGGUCACCCCAAAGGGUAUAUAUAUAUAUAUAUAUAUAACAUAAGACAAGAGUAAGGGAAAAGAAAAUAUUUUCUCAUCUAUCUUUCUUUUUAAUUUUACUACAUUAUCUUUGUUUAAUAACACUUUUCAAUUCUUUUUUGGAUGAAGAAUGCUCACCCAUUUUCCCUCGCUUUUUUUUCCUGUUAUCUUCUUGCUUCUCUUUUUCCUCCUCUACCUAGUCCUUGAUAUGCAAUUGUAGCUUAAAGGAUAUGAAACAAAAUGAAAUAGCAAAAGGGAUGAAUUUAGUGGAAGAAGAAUAAACUAUAAAAAAAAAAAAUUAAAAAGAAAUAAGUAAAGAAAAAUAAAUAAAAAUAUGAAAUUAAAUGAAUUUAACACAUGGCAGACAACGAUCGGUGAGCAAUUUUUCCUUCUUAUAGUUGAGGUUGAAUGAGAAAGAUUGUAUUUACCCUCGUACUUUUUUUUUAAUUAAAGAAUGCUACACUGUACAUGCUUGAAAAACUCGAAAGUCAGGUUAUGCAAUGACCAAAAUUUGGUAUGAUUUGUCCAGUGUCCACAAUAGAUAAACUAUAAGACACUCAGCUUGUAAGUUACAAUUCAAUAGUAGGUAAAACUUACCAGAUACCAUUUACCAUUGGCAACUUUCAAGCUACGAAUACGAUAAUUGACGAUACAUCUAAAACUGUGAACUGACAAAUGAUCCGAUACAAGAUAAAGAAAAAUGACAUGACAACUUUAAAUUCAUUUAUACCAUACACUAUCACUAUCUGAUUCUAUACUGGUACACACAAUUGACAUUGUAAAUACUUUUCACAAACCUGUGCACAAUAGUCGUAAACUCGUAUACCCAGUUUUAUUCCAUGGGUGCACAGACAAGUAACCAGCCACUUUGUUCCUCAGAACUAGACAGGAACAUCAGUUGUUUCUGAAAGUUCAGGACCAUUAUCACUCUUUCAUUCACCUGAACCCGGAGGGAGUAGCUUGAGCACCCGGUCCACCUGGUCUCGACAUAGCUCUAGAUUGGAGGAGCAUCUCUUCAUAGUUCUGAUUACAAAAAAUCAAUGUGAACAGCAUGAAACAAGAAAGCCAGCAUGGUAAUUGGUAAAUAUCUCAAAGUAAAUUUACCCGUUUGUCAAAUGCAUCGUCACUUGAACUAAUAAUCUUAUCUGCAAGGCCAUAGUCAAUGGCCUCUAGUGCCCUGAAAUAUUUAGGGCGUAGGAUAUCUUUCUUAAUUUCUUCCUUUGGUUUUCCAGUUCCUUGUGAUAAUAGUUCAAGGUAAUACUCUGAGUUUGAUUCUAGUUCUUUGGC